Molecule: long non-coding RNA, 122026 nt
Filed under: Triticum aestivum (bread wheat)
Lineage: Eukaryota; Viridiplantae; Streptophyta; Magnoliopsida; Poales; Poaceae
Description: long non-coding RNA (TAES_LNC009704)
Source: RNAcentral
AUUUUGCAACAACAACUGAUUCCAUGCAUGGAUGUUGUAUUGCAGCAACACAACAUAGCGCAUGGAAGAUCACAAGUUUUGCAACAAAGUACUUACCAGCUGUUGCAAGAAUUGUGUUGUCAGCACCUAUGGCAGAUCCCUGAGCAGUCGCAGUGUCAGGCCAUCCAAAAUGUUGUUCAUGCUAUUAUUCUGCAUCAACAACAAAAACAACAACAACAACCAUCGAGCCAGGUGUCCUUCCAACAGCCUCUGCAACAAUAUCCAUUAGGCCAGGGCUCCUUCCGGCCAUCUCAGCAAAACCCACAGGACCAGGGCUCUGUCCAGCCUCAACAACUGCCCCAGUUCGAGGAAAUAAGGAACCUAGCGCUACAGAUGCUACCUGCAAUGUGCAAUGUCUACAUCCCUCCAUAUUGCACAAUCGCGCCAUUUGGCAUCUUCGGUACUAACUGAGAAGAAAAUAACUCUAGUACUAGAUAUAUGAAACACCGUUUUCUCAGUCCAUGGUUUGGUCAUUGUAGCGUCGAAAAAAUAAUGUGACAUGCACUAUCAUAUAAGAAUCCGAACUAUACUAGUUCAAACUUGGGAAUAAAAGACAAACACAUGUCUUGUCUACAUAUUUAUGUUGCAUCUAUUUAUAUAUUAAAAGUAAUAUAAGGUGAACCAGGAGCAAGGUAAAUAUGCUAGAAAAUUGCACGUUAAUUAGAAAUUACUUGCCCUCGAUCUGGUAAAUCUUAACAAAUAGAAUUAUCUUGACCGUUAGAUUUAUAUAACAUAUAUAAUGCUCUGGGCCUCCAACGACUGUACGUGACACAUCUGAACGAACAUAUGGUAAAGAAAAUAUAUUUGGUAAAUGGUGGGCCUGUUUAAAAAGAGAACUCACGUACAUGCACCAACUAAGAAAAACACAUACAUGUAAACGGGAAAAGGAUGAGAUUUUCUCACGUACGUGCUCCCUGGCUCCACCCCGUUGAAAAAAUAUACAUCUGGAGGCCACUUUGUUUCCUCAUCAAAAAAACUUACGUUAAAAAGAUUGCAUGCAUCCCAGGGAAAAUAGUCAAGAAGAAGUCGGACUUUUCCUUACAAAAACAAGGAACGUGUUAAGUUGACUUCAAAGAAAAAAGGAACAUGUUAAGUUAAAAAAAAACAAGAAACCUGUUAAGUUAGAAAAAAACAAGGAACGUGUUGUCCAAGGAAAGAUAUGUGUCAAAUCUUACAAAAAAAAAGAAUACACACACGUACGUUCAUGCACUUGGAAAAUAGAAAAAAAGGAACAUCACGUAUGUAUACACUUCGGAAACUCAUUACAUGACCAUGUCUGAUAUACUCCUCUAAUGCUUAAUAUUAGUGCCUAAUAAUUUAUAUUUAAAAUUUAAUUUACUGAUCAAAUAUCCCCACUGUUUAAAUUUUAAUUUGGCACAUUGUUUGGCUAUAGUAUGAACCUGAAUUUCCUCUUAUUAUUAUAUAUCAUGGUAAUAAUCCAAAGGCGACUAAUCUGCACCGGCGCACCGGCGCAAUCAAUUCGGCUGGACACAGCGCGGCCGUUUGAUUAGAUUGCAUUUAACCAUCAGAUCUGGAAUCGUUUUCUUUCCAAUUAAACGGAUUCAACCAAACAGCAGAGGGGAAAACAAAGCAGCGCCGCCGCCAACACUAGCCAUGGACGACCGAUGUAGCAAAACCUUGAAGAACCGCCGCCGGUCGCCACCCUCGCCUCUGGUCGCUGCCCUCGCCGUCGGUCACCGCCGGUCGCCGCCCUCGCCGCCUGCGUUUCUCAUCGGCUUCAUGCAUGCAACAACAUGCACUCGUGGUUGCAGGCUUGCAUCUCCGGCUCCGGGGACAUGGCCGCAUCUCCGGUAGCGCCGGCCGCCGGCCGCAGCACCUGUCGUUGUGGUCGCGCUGUACCUCGCCGUGUGCCCUCCCGAGGCUCUUGCUGGUUCCAACAAAAAACGAUACCUGUUGUAGCAAAAAAGUAUCGCUUCCAGCAAAAAAGCUUACCGCUACAGCCCGCCAUCGUCAUUGUAGCAAAAAUGUUAACCCGAUGUAGCUUCUGUGGUUGCCGACUGCAGCAAAAAAUGACAUGGCUGUAGCAAAACACAAAAGAAAAACACUGGCCGGCCGCUGUGUAUGGUGGUAACAAACCCUAUAGCCGGUGGUAGCGAAAAACUUCAUAGUGUGCUGCAAAAAAAUGUUGUCACCCGUCGUCGAGGUUGCAUCAUCUUCAUGAAUUAUGCCGCAAAAAAACGUUGUCGCCGGUAGUAGCAAAUGAAGCCGCCGGUAGUAGCAAAACAAGACACUGGUUCCAGCCAAAAAAAAAAUCAGCGACAGAACCUUUGGUUGGUUCCAACAAAAAAACUUGUCGGUUGUAACAUCCCUCGCCGCCGGAUGUAGCAUCUCCCGGGGCUGGUUGCAACACUCCAUAAAAAAAGUUGUCUAUGAGCGCAUCCAUGGUGACUGCUGCACCGUCAGCAAUGAGGGGAAGAGGAGGCAAUGAAAAUCAUUCGAGUCAUAGCUCCACAGGACGCGGCUGCAGCAUGGGGAGUCCAAAAAUCUGUCACAAGCAACAUGCGCCGCGCCAUCCUCCUGCGCAGGAGAGAGAAGAAAAAGGAAUAAGAGGAAGAAGAAAGGAAACAGGAGAAAGAAAAAAGAAAGGAUUGGUGGUUGGCUCAGGCAAUUAGUCAAGCGAGGGGCACGCGGGGCCGCAGGACACAGCGCAAUCGAACGAAGCGCGCGCGUCCGGGCGAAGACUCGGCCGGACUGCCGUCUGGAAACGUUUCCCUAAUCCAAAGGCUUUAUCUGAAUGACAAGUCGUCUGGGUUACCGGCUAACUAGAAAAAAGAUAAAUAUGCUAGAGAAUUCCAUAAUAAUUAGAAAUAUCUAGCCUUUAAUUAUGUAAACCAGAAAAUCACAACCGUUGGAUUUACUUUAAAGGUAAAUUUCUAUAAAUUCCCACCAUUGCCAGUAUGUAGAAACAUGUGCUGCUUCAAUUCUCCCAUAAUCACCAAUCAAUCAACAACACAAAACAUACCUCAGUUAAAAAAACUGAACAAAAAAAAGAAAAAAAGAAGAAAGGACAAGAUACACGCAUGUACACGACAGCCUUGGCUUGAAACACAUCAGUAGAUCAAGUGUCCGCCUCCCUUACACGUACGUCCCAUGAGGUUUACUAGCCUACCGCCGCCGCAUCAUGCCAUCCUCUCCUUUCAGCUCCCAUGCUCUCCAGCACCCUCAUUGCGGCGCCACUACUCGCCUAGGGAUAUUGCUGCUCAGACCGUGGAGCUUAACCACAUCAGCAUCAGCACGUAUGGGCCUCAUUAUACUGCAGCACGUAUUGCGCCCCCUUAAGUCCAGGUCUGUUUGCUGGCACAUAUGCUUUGGAAAUAGGCCACUAUGUUUGUACUUCAAAAUUGUUUCUGUAUUCUUGAGUGGUACAUCCUUUUAAGCGCCAGUUUUUUAUGUUAAUUCAUGCUGACAACACUUAACCUAGCCUUUCAUGUUCACGUACUAAAUACAGGAGCAAGUAAAAACAACAGACCACCUAAUUGCUCUGCAUGUACUACAUAGGAAAAUUUGUCAUGUUCUACGAUCGCACCAUCCCACCCUUCUCUCUUGGUAUGGGCGCCAAUUGAGGGAUUGAUAAAACUGAAACGAAGACGUCACAGGGCUGGAAGUACCGCUAGCCUGGUUUGCACUGCAACCUACCCAACGCCAUCAGAAACUAGCAACUGAGUCAGGUGUUGAUCGAUUCUCUCAAAUUGCUCUCAUGUAAGUACUACCCCUUGCAUGUGCGUACAUACCUUUGUUGCAUUCUCAAACAGAUAGAACAUGUUUGAUCGGUGCAUGGCUAUUUUUCAUCACAUGACAUCCAGAUAACAAGCAUGAAAGGACUACAUUGGAGAUCAAAAAAUAUUGGUUCCUGGCUAGAGUACCACUACCUAUGGACUUGUCUCCAUAGAAUUUGUUCCCAAGAUGUUAUUUUAAUUAAUCUCUUUAGCUUUCUUCCAUUGCAAACGGUGAUGUGCAUCAUGGUAUAUACGUGACCAUCUUGCACAUGUAUACACAAGAGGCUCAGAUGGAGGUGCUGGAUUCUGGACGAGGGAAUAUGAAGCAGGAGUGAGCGAAGAGUAAAUAAUGGUGGGAGUACCGAUUGGUGUUAUGAAGAAAAAUGCCAUCCAAAGAUUGAUUAGUGUCAUGGAAGAUUAAUUUCUGAAUGCGAAUAUAUAUGUUACAUUGGUUUGGAUCUUUUUGAGAUAAUUCCACCUAAAUUAGGUUCUUUCUUAUUUCAUAUGUAUACCUUAUUUCAGUAAAAGUUCACAACGAACUUAGUAGGACAAAUAUAAUUUUGUUUGUUCUUUCUGUUGUCCGCCACCAAAGCUCAAUUUGAACUCUCUAGAAAUGGACAAUGAUUUAUGCAUUCUAUAUCUUCUUGAUUGAUUAGCCAUGACAAGGAAAUAAAAGGAUUGACUGAUAUAGCAUAACUUUGGAACGAUUAGAGGUUACUACAAAUAAGAGUAGUGUCUGUUGGAAUUUUGCUAGUAGGCCUUUGGCCCAAAGCCCAACUAAAAUUCUGAAAUUCUCUUGGCUCAUUUAUGCACACAUGUGAGUUGAGUGAGUGAGACUAAAGUUUAGUCCCACCCUGGAAGUUGAGAGAGAGUUGCACCUCUUUAUAAGGUGAGCUCUUCUACCACUUGUAUGAGCAUGAGAAGAGGAGACCUACACGCGCGCUCCUCCUCCACGCUCGCCACGCCUCGUCGCGCCGCGCCGUGCCGCGGGUUGCGGGAUUGAGCCGAGCCGAGGACGUUUUCUAUAUUUUUGCUGCUCGGGAAAAAUUAAUGAGUCAUUAAUUAAUAAUUAAUGGACACAUUAAUUACUGAACCGUUUCCGAUUUUUUUGGAUCGUGACGACUCGGACGUGGGGUUUACUCCCAGGACCUACCCGGCCCGCACUAUAUAGUCAGGAAGACGUCUACCCUAGCCGCCGCCGCUUCGUAUGGUUUCUCACCAUCGUUACAGAUCAUUGCGCCGCCAAGCAAGUUUUCUCCAUCCCUCCUUUCGGCGUGCACCGGGAGAAGGGACAGCAGACCUCCGGAACCCCGCCUCUCGUGAUCCUAUACGGGAGAGGGGCGAUCAGGUUUUUGGGGAGCGCACUCGCAUGACUGCUGGCAGCGACGACUUCGCAAACGACGACUUCUUCCCCGACCUCGGCAACCUCAUCCUCGACGACAUGGGCGACAACGUCAACGCCGGCGGUGCUACACCCACUGCACCGUAUGUUAUUCUCUCCUUCUUGUUCGAGAUCAUGGUAGAAUUCAUGUUUCUAGUAUAUGUGCCCUAGAUGUGAUCUGUUCAUCUACUAUGGUAGUUCGCAUGAUUAGUUUAAUCUCUGUUAUUGCUGUCAUGAUCUAUUUCCUAUUUAUUCGGAUUAAAUCUCGUAGUAAUUUUCUCAUUUUUCCAACAAUCCAAAAACCUGAUUAUAGGAAAUUUACUCCGAGUGGUUUUGCUGCGCAUCUGAAAGCCGCUUGCCUUUAAGGGGGCGCAAUAUAAGAGGUGGCGCACCAGAGCAGUCUACUGGUUUCAGAUCAUGGGCUGCUAUGACGCCACCAAGGGCAAGCCUGAGGGCGAUCUUAAUCCAGCACAGCUGGAAGCUUUCAAGAAGAUCAAUACCCUCUUUAAAGGCACGCUUCUGAGUGUUCUUGAUGACUCCAUUGUAGAUUCGUAUAUGUCGUUUGACAAUGGCAAGAACAUGUGGGCUACGCUCGAGGCCAAGUUUGGUGCCUCGGACGCCGGCAGCGAGUUGUACGUCAUGGAGCAAUUCUAUGACUCCAAGAUGACUGAUGGGCGCCCUGUUGUACAGCAGGCUCAUGAGAUACAGUUGCUCGCAAAAGAACUUGAGUACUUCAAGUGUGUGUUGGCGAACAAAUUUGUUGCCGGAGGCAUCAUUGCCAAGCUUCCACCUUCGUGGAACAAUUUUGCUACUUCCCUGAAACACAAGAGACAGGAGUUUUUCGUUGCGGAUCUCAUUGGUACUCUUGAUGUUGAAGAGAAGGCGAGAGCAAAGGAUACACGUGCUUGAGUUGCUAAGGGAGGUUCUAGUGCCCACAUGGUACAGAAGAAGAACUUCCAGCCCAACAAGUUCAAAAACAACAAGAACAAAACUUAGGGCAAAGGCAAGUUCGAUACAAAGAACAAGCCAUCACAUUCUACCAACUUCAAGAAGAACUCUCAUAAGAAGGGGAAGGGACUUUGCCAUGUCUAUGGUGAUCCUAAUCACUGGGCUCCGAAGUGUCCCAACCGCUUUGAGGAGCGCGAACAUGAGAAGAGCGGCAAGUCUGCUAAUGUUGUCAUCGGUGAUACUGAUAUGAAGGAAUCAGGGUACGGUAUUUUUCCUACCAUCCUUUCAGUAUUCCAAACCCCUGACUGGUUAAUUGACACCGGUGCCAAUGUACAUGUUUGUGCUGAUGCCUCCAUGUUUUCUUCUUACCAGGCCACUGGGACUUCUCCUAUGCUGAUGGGGAACGGGUCACAUGCCAUCGUUCGAGGUGUUGGUACGGUCGAUCUGAAGUUUACUUCGGGGAAGACCGUGCGUCUGAAGAACGUUCAUCAUGUGCCGUCCAUCAAUAAAAAUCUCGUUAGCGGUUCCCGUUUAUGUCGAGAUGGUUUUAAGUUGGUUUUCGAAUCCAAUAAAGUUAUAAUUUCUAAGUAUGGACAAUUUGUUGGAAAAGGCUAUGAGAGCGGAGGCUUGUUUCGCCUGUCUUUGUCAGAUAUUUGCACUAAAGUUAUUAAUAAUGUUUGCCACAACAAUGAGUCUGAUAUUUGGCAUUCACGACUUUGUCACAUUAACUUUGGUUGCAUGACGCGGCUAGCCAAUAUGAAUUUAAUUCCGAAAAUCUCUACUGUCAAAGGAUCUAAGUGCCAAGUAUGUGUGCAAGGUAAGCAACCUCGCAAGUCCCAUAAGACUGCAGAGGCAACAGACUUGGCGCCACUAGAGCUUAUACAUUCUGAUAUUUGUGAGAUGAAUGACGUGUUGACAAAAGGUGGAAAGAGAUACCUCAUGACGUUGAUUGAUGACUCCACUAGAUAUUGUUAUGUGUAUCUUAUGAAAUCAAAAGAUGAGGCUUUGGCUUUCUUCAAAAACUAUAGAGCUGAGGCAGAGAACCAACUUGAUCGAAAAAUUAAACGGCUUAGGUCCGAUCAUGGUGGAGAGUAUUUUUCCAAUGAAUUUGAUCUAUUUUGUGCGGAACAUGGUAUAAUCCAUGAGAGGAUGCCUCCCUACUCACCCCAGUCAGAUGGGGUAGCCGAAAGAAAGAACCAAACUCUAACUGAUAUGGUUAACACCAUGUUAGACACUUCGGGUCUAUCCAAGGAAUGGUGGGGGGAGGCGCUAAUGACUGCGUGUCAUGUCCUAAACCGAGUUCCCACAAAGCAUAAGACCAUGACUCCAUUUGAGGAAUGUUAAAGGAAAAGGUUGAAACUCUCUUACCUACGUACUUGGGGUUGUUUGGCGAAAGUCAAUAUACCAAUUCCCAAGAAGCGCAAGCUUGGACCAAAAAUCGUGGGUUGUGUUCUUCUUGGCUAUGCUUUUCAUAGCAUCGGCUAUAGAUUUUUGAUAAUAAAAUCUGAGGUAUCCGACAUGCAUGUUGGUACGAUUAUGGAGUCGAAUGAUGCAACUUUUUUUGAGGACAUAUUUCCUAUGAAGGAUAUGUCGAGUUCAUCAAAUCAGGAGACACCUACUCCAUCUAGUGAGGAAUUCAUUGUAAUUCCUGAACCCACCAUUGCGAUGGAACACAUUGAGAAUCCUGUUGAGGGUGACAAUGGAACUCUUGUGAGGAGUAAGAGACAUAGGACUACAAAGUCCUUUGGUGAUGAUUUCAUUGUGUACCUCGUGGAUGACACACCCAGGACUAUUUCAGAAGCCUGUGCAUCUCUUGAUGCUGACUACUGGAAGGAAGCUGUACGUAGCGAGAUGGAUUCCAUCUUAGGUAACGGAACCUGGGAGAUCACUGACCGUCCUUAUGGGUGAAAACCUGUAGGAUGUAAGUGGGUGUUCAAGAAGAAGCUUAGACCUGAUGGUACGAUUGAAAUGUACAAGGCACGGCUUGUGGCCAAGGGUUAUACCCUGAAAGAAGGUGUAGACUUCUUUGAUACUUACUCACCCGUGGCUAGACUGACCACAAUUGGGUGCUACUAUCACUUGUUGCCUCACAUGGUCUUCUCGUUCAUCAAAUGGACGUUAAGAACGCUUUCCUCAAUGGAGAGUUGAAGGAGGAAAUUUACAUGGAUCAGCCAGAUGGUUUUGUAGUACCUGGUUAGUAAGGAAAGGUGUGCAAGUUAUUAAAGUAUUUAUAUGGCCUUAAACAAGCUCCUAAAGAGUGGCAUGAGUAGUUUGAAAGAACAUUAACUGCUACCGGCUUUGUAGUAAACGAUGGUGACAAGUGCGUGUACUAUCGCUAUGGUGGGGGCGAAGGAGUUAUUCUUUGUUUGUAUGUCGACGACAUAUUGAUCUUUCGAACCAAACUUGAUUUAAUCAAGGAGGUUAAGGAUUUCUUAUCUCGCUGUUUUGAGAUGAAGGAUCUAGGAGUAGCUGAUGUUAUCUUAAACAUCAAGCUGUUGAGAGAUGAGAAUGGUGGGAUCACACUGCUUCAGUCACACUAUGUGGAAAAGGUCUUGAAUCGUUUUGGGUAUAGCGACUGCACACCUUCUCCAACCCCAUAUGAUGCUAGCAUGUUGCAUCGAAAGAAUCGACGGAUUGCUAGAGAUCAACUGAGGUAUUCUCAUAUUAUUGGCUCGCUUAUGUAUUUGGCGAGUGCCACGAGGCCAAACAUCUCGUUUGCUGUUAGCAAGCUGAGUCGGUUUGUGUCAAAACCAGGAGAUGAUCAUUGGCAUGCACUUGAGAGAGUUAUGUGCUAUUUGAAAGGCACCGCGAGCUAUGGGAUUCACUACACCGGGUAUCCAAGAGUACUGGAGGGUUAUAGUGACUCAAACUGGAUAUCUGAUGCUAAUGAGAUUAAGGCCACAAGUGGUUAUGUUUUUACACUUGGUGGUGGCGCUGUUUCUUGGAAGUCCUGCAAGCAGACCAUCUUAAUGAGGUCAACUAUGGAAGCAGAACUCACAACAUUAGAAACUGCCACUGUUCAAGCAGUGUGGCUUCAUGAGCUCUUGAUGGACUUUCCUAUGAUUGAAGAACCAAUACCCCCUAUCCCAAUGAACUGUGAUAAUCAAACUAUGAUCGUCAAGAUAAAUAGUUCUAAGGACAAUAUGAAGUCCUCAAGGCAUGUGAAGAGGAGACUGAAAUCUGUCAGAAAAUUGAGGAACUCCGGAGUUAUUACGUUGGAUUAUAUCCAAACGUCAAAAAAAUUGGCAGAUCCCUUCACAAAGGGUCUAUCACGUAAUGUGAUAGAUAAUGCAUCGAUGGAGAUGGGUCUGAGACCCACCGCAUGAGUUGUCCAUAGUGGUAACCCACUCUUUGUGAUCGGAUAUCCCGUGAAGUAUAAGUGGGAGACAAGCUGUUGGUCAGCUGGGAGGAGAGUAUCCCUAUAUUACCUGUCCCACUCCAUGAAGAUGCAAUACUCUCCUAAUCUGCAUGGCAGGUUGAUACUUAUCUUAAUGUGUUCCAAGUGGCUUAUUCGGGUAAGCAGAGAUGUUGUCCUGCAGAACAUCUUCUGAGGAACACACCUAUAUGAAUUUGACUGUUAACGUCGCAGUCUGUGAGAAUUGGGUGUUCUCUAAUAAAUUCAUGAAAAGGCCCUGGAGUAUGACGUAUACGCUCCACCCGCAGGGAAGCCUUGCGGCAGCCCAGUAUCGGUCAAGAAUUUGUGUGAAACUAGUUGCGCAGAAAAUUUGUAGUUCAAGGCAUAGUCCACUAUUCAAGUUGUGAUCUAGUGUAGCAUAAAUCUCUAAGUGGAAGUUCAACUUCACAGUCUCCACUAAGCCCCGGUAUAUAAACAAUGUUUUGGAACUAAAUGAUGAGAUGUGCCAAUGAGACUUUGUGGGGGAUUGUUGGAAUUUUGCUAGUAGGCCUUUGGCCCAAAGCCCAACUAAAAUUCUGAAAUUGUCUUGGCCCAUUCAUGCACACAUGUGAGUGGAGUGAGUGAGACUAAAGUUUAGUCCCACCCCGGAAGUUGAGAGAGAGCACCUCUUUAUAAGGUGAGCUCUUCUACCACUUGUAUGAGCAUGAGAAUAGGAGACCUACACACGCGCUCCUCCUCCUCGCUCGCCACGCCACCCCUCGUCACGACGCGCCGCGGGUUGCGGGAUUGAGCCGAGCCGAGGACAGAGCUAUGCACAUUGUCUAUUUUUUGCUACCCGAAAAAAUUAAUGAGUCAUUAAUUAAUAAUUAAUGGACACGUUAAUUACUAAACCGUUUUCGAUUCUUUUGGAUCAUGAAGACUCGGACAUGGGGUUUACUCCCACGACCUACCGGGCCCGCAUUAUAUAGUCCGGCAGACGUCUACCCUAGCUGCCGCCGCUUCAUAUGGUUUCUUACCACCGUUCCAGAUCAUUGCGCCGCCAAGCAAGUCUUCUCCAUCCGUCCCUUCGGCGUGCAUCGGGAGAAGGGACAACAGGCCUCCGGAACCCCGCCUCUCGUGAUCCUGUACGGGAGAGGGGCGAUCAGGUUUUUGGGGAGCGCACUCGCGCGACUGCUGGCAGCGACGACUUCGCGAAUGACGACUUUUUCCCUGACCUCGGCAACCUCAUCCUCGACGACAUGGGCGACAACGUCAACGCCGGCGGUGCUGCACCCGCUGCACCUUAUGUUAUUCUAUCCUUCUUGUUCGAGAUCAUGGUAGAAUUCACGUUUCUAGUAUAUGCCCUAGAUGUGAUCUGUUCAUCUACUAUGCUAGUUCGCAUGAUUAGUUUAAUAUCUGCUAUUGCUGUCAUGAUCUAUUUCCUAUUUAUUCGGAUUAAAUCUCGUAGUAAUUUGCUCAUUUUUCCAAUAGUACCAUCUAAUAGAUGAUGUAAAUCUCCUCUAGUUUGACGUUGUUGAGCUAAUUUACAAAAAAAACCUCAUCAUUAUUGGACGUCCUUAACAGCUCAAGAACAAGUUGGGGUCGAACUAAUGGAUUUUACACUUUUACAUUAAAGGUUUAGCUAAAGCUAGCAGGUGUUUUUAAACCUGAAUUUUUUUCCUCCUGAAUUUCUUUGUAUUUUCUUAUUGACACUAUUUAUACAAUCAUCUGACAAAGAUUAGCUAAAGCUGUUUGUAGAUACGUUGAAACCUGAAAAGCUUCUUUGGUUAUCCUUUUAAUAGUUCUACGUUUAUUUUCUCAUAGGUCAUAAUUCUUAUGUAAUACCAAGAUGCAUUGUGGUAGUGUACAUGUGUUAAAUUCAGGUUGUUAUUCACAAUUUGCGACAAAAUUUAGCUCACGCUACAUUCAAAUAUGUUGAAAUGUGAAAGCUUUUUUUUCUUCUCCUUUCUACACCUUGCAUCGGAUUGCAUCCCUUUAGUUAUCCAACAUUUUGUACAACAUGUAGAGAUUAGGAAGUUCAUCAUAGUUUGUUUAUUUCGGUGCUAAUAAAUGUAUGAAAUCUGCAUUUCCAAGCUACUAGGACAAGUAAAAAAUAAUAAUUUUACUAUAGGAUUCAAAAACAGCAGUUCUGAAGUGCACUUUAUUUAUUUUUGAAAGUGAUCACAUUUUGUUUCAUUUUUCUAUAGACAAAUCUACUAAUACAUACUCACGAUAAAACUAUAAAAGUUCUAGUCCGCACAUUGGGCGGGCCACCCGGCUAGUUAGUCUAAAGAUAACAAAAUGAGUCUGGAAUUUGAAUUAAAUUGAAGUAUUUUCUUGGACUUUCAAAUUGAGUUUUAUUAAAGUAGUAAGGACUAUCCACAUCCUUGGCUUGCCCCUGAUCAAUUAUUUCCAGAGAAGCAUUCAAUUCAUCAAUCAAUUACAUUGAUUUUAGUGGCUGGUACUUCUCCUCAACAUCAGUAUAUUCACCGUGGCCACUCCAAAUCGGCAAGAAUGAGGUACCAGUGCUCUGGAGCAGUGCAAGCUAAUUGCUUCUCAUCUGAAGGGGUGCGGCCGCAGGAGAGGUAUUUCUGGUGGGCCAAGGGACUAAGAAGCGACUGUGGCAGCGGUAUAGACGCCCGCAAAGCCCCAUAAUUUGUUUUUGGUUUACAGGAAAAAUGCACAUCCAUACCAGCCUGGGGAAUAUAGGACCGUAUUGGAUGGAAAACCAUGUCCGGAUGGUUGCGAGCGGUUUAAGGGUUAGCUUUUGUAACGCCCGGUUAGUUAUGCUAUAGCAAUUCCCUGCUAAUGAUGUCACGUUACCACGAUUACUGUUGUUAACCUCACAAUGAUUCAAUCCCCUUCAAAUUGAAAUUUAAAAUAAAGGCAAACAUCAAAAGUUUUCAAAUAUUAAAACUAAAAUCUUUGAGAGGUGACAAAUAAUGCAUAAGUAAUUAUGGUGGAGAAACCACACUUUAAUCAAAUGUUUAAAUACUCUAAAAUGAAAAAAAACAGUUGCUUAAACUAUUAUUUAAAUGCUUUUAAAAUAGUAAAAAUCUUCUAACUAAAUUAUUUGGGUACCAAACUUUUGGUGGCAGUGGUAUAUUUAGUACAACUAAUUUAGAUGCUAAUUAUAUAAAAAGGAAAAGCAAAAGGGGGCAACCCCUCGCUGGGCCUCGGCCUAGCUGCCACUAGGCUAGCUAGGCUGGCCCCGCCGCCUCCCUUAACCCCCCCCCCCCACUCCCCAUCGAACCCAAGCCCGAUCGCCCCACUUCCCCCANNNNNNNNNNNNNNNNNNNNNNNNNNNNNNNNNNNNNNNNNNNNNNNNNNNNNNNNNNNNNNNNNNNNNNNNNNNNNNNNNNNNNNNNNNNNNNNNNNNNNNNNNNNNNNNNNNNNNNNNNNNNNNNNNNNNNNNNNNNNNNNNNNNNNNNNNNNNNNNNNNNNNNNNNNNNNNNNNNNNNNNNNNNNNNNNNNNNNNNNNNNNNNNNNNNNNNNNNNNNNNNNNNNNNNNNNNNNNNNNNNNNNNNNNNNNNNNNNNNNNNNNNNNNNNNNUUGAUCCCAUCUGGAUCGGGGAGGGUAAUGCCCCAAUCGACCCCGUUGCCGUCGCGGGAUUGCCCGCCGACGUCGCCAGGCCUCCUCCCCGCCACCCGUCUCCGGCUCGCCUCCCCUCUCGCUCCUCUUCCCCGACCCGAUCUGGAUCGUGAACGAGCAAUGAGCUCGAAGCCCCCUUCACCGGCGCCAUCACCGUGCGCCACCACCACCGCCUGAAGACCUCACCGUCGCCGAACCUUGCGUCGCCUCCUCGUAUCCCUCCCCUACUCGCGUCCUCAAGCCAGGCCGAGCCCCUUCUCGGCAACGCCGUGAGACGCCCCCGUCUCCCUCCUCUUUCCACUGCGUUCACCGCGCCGCCCGCCGUGCCCCUCGCCGUGCGCACGCCCACCACCGCACCAGCCCCCGCUCCGCGCACGACCCUACCCGCGUCCGCGCCAUGAUCCCCUUUUCCACCCUACCUUCCUGCGCUCGCCGCGGUCCUGAUGCUCCCCCGCGCCCUCUUUUGGGGGCGCCGACUGCCCCUGUCCCACUGCUCGCCGCCGUGCCUCGCCAUCGCUCUACUGCUAAGUUAUUGCUGCGCUGCGGCCGUCGCCUCUUCCCGCUGCUCCGCCAGCGCCGAAGCUCCCGAUUGGCUCCACCACUUCUCACGUUAAACCGCCGGCCUAAAUGGCCUAACCCCCGGCUAAUGAACCCCCACUAUCCCACUGACACCGGGACCCACAUUCCCUAAUUAACCAUUUAAUAAAUUAAAACUCUUAAAUUAACAUUAGUGUAUGACAUGUGCGUCCCCUAUUAAUUUAUAAUUUUACUGCUAGUUUUAUUAGUUUCUGUUUUUUCUGCAUAUUUCUUUUGUAUUUGAACAGGCUUUAUAUAAUAAUAUUUAGCGUCUCAUACACAUAUAAAUGUAAUUAUAGCAUAUACAUACAAAUAGUCUCAUCAAAUCAUGUCAUCACCAUAAUCAUCAUCCAUCACAAAGUGAUCUCUCGUCAUCAUCUCGAAAAUAGCAAUACAAGUCUCGAUUACUUGCAACUACAUCGUCAUCCAUCUAAACAAUGAUAUACGCGAGAAGCGCUAUCACUAUGAGUGAGAGCGGAACUAUGCAGUACAUGAGUUUGUAUCCCUCUCUCACAUUAGCGUGAACCUAAACUAACUACUGGCUGUUGCUCGGAAACCGGAAACCGGUACACCUGGGCCUGACACUCCGGCCACUCGUCGUAUACUCCUGGCGUAGCACUUCUUCGCCAUCGAUGAUCUAUAAACCUACAUCGUCAGAUGAGUCGAUGAUAUGCAACAUAUAUAGUUGAGCAACAGAAAGAGACAGACUUGGCAAAAAUAGAAGCAACAUAUCAUAAGCAUAAAUAACAAAGUUCAUCGUACGCAAAAUGCCCUAACUAGAGUGAUCUUCGCUAGUCGAGGAGGACGGUUUAAUUACAUCACAAAUAAUUUUUCGUCGUGCAUAACUCAAAGUUCCGUCAUACAGAAAGUAUGAACUAAAUGGACACAUUGUCAUAUUUCAAAAAUCACUCCCACAUGUCGUGCCAUCCAUCCAAGUCAAGGAGAUAGUGCCCGAGCUUAGUGAAAGGCUUUAGGUCGAGACGCUGAGCGGCUAUGCGUGUUCGGACGUCUUCCCACGACAUUUGUCCUUCUUCAUAGAACAUCCCUGUUUUUUCGACGACCUCCUUCAUCACUGGAAGAAAAAGGGCCUGUUGUCCCGGUUCUGGAACCGGGACUAAAGGGUCGGUACUAAUGCCCUGUCCCUUUAGUCCCGGUUCAAUCCAGAACCAGGACAGUUGGGCCUCCACGUGGCCUGUGCGCGGAGCCUAGGCGGGAGACCCUUUGGUCCAAUAAGCAUCCACGCAUCAGCAUUUAUGUGGUUGGGGUUUUUGUUUUUUUUGAAGGGGGGGGCAUUGGGGGUUUUGGGGGGUUAAUUUUGGUGUUUCAUAUAUUGUGUUAGCUAGCUAUAAUUAAUAGAGAGAAUUGUCCUCUCUUAUGUCCGUGCUUGCUCGACGCUACGUACUAUACAUACGUAUAGAGAGGACUAGACACGGUAGCUAGCUAGUAAGCAAACGAAGGAAAUAGAAGAUCGUCAUGAACAUAUAUGCAUACAGAGAGAAGUAAUAUCGACCACCUCUCCUUCUCCGAGAGAUUGGUCGAACAACAAGUUCUCAUAUAUCUAUCCGACACUACCGGCUACAUAUAUACAAUAAUUAUCUCUUACAAAUAUAAUCAUACGGAUUCAGGGUCCACAUAGUAUUCUCUGUCUUCAAGGAUCACGUGGUCAAGAAAGAAUGCCGCCAAUUCCUCUUGAAUUGCUCGCAUGCGAGCUGGUGCUAGGAGUUCAUCCCGCUUCCGAAACAUCUAAUUUAAAGAAGGGGGUUAAUACAUAUAUACAUAUAUAUAUAUAUAUAUAUAUAUAUAUAUAUAUAUAUAUAUAUAUAUGAAUGAAUGAAACUCAACACGAAUGAUGGUAAUAAAAUAAAAUUGUGAAUGUUGUUAUUUACGUACUUCAUAUUGUUCGUCAGUGUAGCCCCGCUCAUAGGUCGUGUGGCGGAUGGACUCGCAAACGUAGUAUCCACAGAAAUCAUUCCUUUGUUCCUGCCACAACCACUUUAUAAGAAAUAGAGGUCAAUCAAACUGAUAAGCAAGAAUGCCAAAUGGUAUUGAUGAAACUUGUCAGGACCCCGAUUCCAAGCCACAUCGAUCUAGCCGGUAACACCUCAUAUCACUUUGCGGCCUCACGCACGAUAUUCCACGGGUGUCGCCUUACCAUGGCCCGGGACCGUUUGCGCCUUUUGGCUCACGUAUAUGAUAGUGUUGCUAGCAUCCAUAUGACAGAGAACCCGGGCCGACAUGGCUAGUCGUGAACCCAAAGUGGCACAGACCUAUGGAGACAGGCAUACAUGAAUCACAUCGAGCAUGUCGGUCAUCAGUGUGUGAUUCCGGGCUGUAGCACUGGGCUAACAGGACUCCGGGGAACCCGGGCUGUAGCAGGCUAGGCAGGACUCCGGAAGUCACCGCGUGACAUUUACCCGAAGGGACAGACAUAGGAACGAAGUGAAUCACAUGCCGGCAAGUCAAGUGUCCUGAGCAGUAGUACUGGGCUAGCAGGACUCCGGUGAACCGGGCUGUAGCGGACUACUAUGGCUCGAGGAACACUAGACUACAUUUCCCCAUAAGAAAGGCUGCCAAGGAUAAACAACUAGAUUGUCGGAUCCCACUCAUACCAAGCAUUUCAAUCAUACACACAAUAUGCCCGAUAUGAGUACAUACAACAUGGCAUCACAACAAAACUCUACAACUCAAGUACUUUAUUUAAAGGCUCUAGAGAGCCAUACAUAACAUGUUCAUACAGAUAGGGGUCACAUGACCCGACACUCAAGUCAUACAAUCAUACAAGCACAUGCGGAAGCAACCGGUCUGAGUACAGACACUAGAAAGAAAGAAGGCUCCUCGAGGCCUGUCUAUCUACAUAGGGCCCUCCAUGGCCAGGAUCACCACCUGGGUGGCUAGUCACUCGUCGAUGUCAAGGUCUACAUAGAACCCAUCGAAGGGGGCUGUGUUGUCGUCUGAAAACAGUAAUUAAGCAAACAUGAGUACAAAGGUACUCAGCAAGUCUUACAAAAGAACCUACUAUACAUGCUUAUUCUCAAGAAGGUGGUGGGGAUAUUGCAGCAAGCCAGUUUUCACUCUUGGCUAAACUAUCCUACAGAACUUCUCUAGUAAAAUAGUUUUCGCACACGAGUCCACUACUCACCAACACAAUACUCCACCGGGGAUCCUCCCUCGUCAUCCUAUGAGAGGGCCAUCCUCGGUACUCACACUUAUCUUGACUAUUUUAGUAGUAUCCAUUUAAUUGUCUAUGAACUGUAUAGGCAACCAAGUAGUCCUUUACCGCGGACGCGGCUAUUCGAAUAGUUUUAUACCCUGCAGGGGUGUACUUCGUCAUACAUGCUUUCACCACUUAUCGUCGUUUACACGACAUGUACUCGGCAACCUUCAAGCGAAAGCCCAGCGAGGGUGUCGGCCACGGCCUACCUAAACACUUAAGUCUCUAGUCCAGGUUUAUCGCCUAUCUAGGUUCCAUCCGCAGGGAGUCCGGGCGAGGUUUCCACAUACGGCCCCGAACGAUGUGAACAGGGUCCCGAGACGCCAAACGGGCGCCCGGCAUACCCGGCCAUGGUGUAUCUACCGCAACAUAGCCCACCCUUAGGGUCAGCGCUACGCACGGCCGCCAACACAUAACCUACAAACACCAGAAACUAUUUGCAACUCCUAGACAGAGUACAAGGGUGAUUAAGAAGCCGAGAGGGUCAAUUAAGGAUCCCAAUGCAUGGUAGUAGCUGAAUCUUAAAUCACACAUACCGAUCUCAGUUCUUAGGGACGGUCUCAAUGAAACAACCCACCAUGUACUCCUACAUGGCCUCUCAUCGAUACCUUUACCAAAACAUGUUCAACACAUUCCUCAUAUUACCGACAUAAUCAUAUCACCCUAGCCCAUCACCCAGAUGAACCAGACCUGACACAACUAUAAGCAUAGCAGGCAUAGCAAGGUAGGAAUCACAUACAUGGCUCAAUCAACUCCUACACAUGCUAGUGGGUUUCAUCUAGUUACUGUGGCAAUGACAGGUCAUGCAGAGGAUAAGGGUUCAACUAUCGUAGCACACAGCAGUUUGAAUCACAUUGUCUUAAUGCAGUAAACAAGAGCAGAGGCAAGAACAUGGGUUGUAUCGGAAUGAUCAAUGGGUUGCUUGACUGAUGGAGUGGUAGUGGGAUACUGCCCUUCAGUUGGAUACUCAUGAAUAUCCUCGGAGGCAGAACCUACCACGAAGAACACAUCGGAACACAAUCAACACAUGAUGAUAUGCAACAAUAUGAUGCAUGCUAUGACAUGGCAAUAUGAAUGUGUCUUGGCCUAAUGCAAGCUAAAAUAGAAAGGGAUGAACUCAUUUGAAUCAAAGAUUCAAAUAUUAGCUCAUUAAACAUGGCCUUAGUAGUGCAUUUCCUUAUUCUGCUUAAACAGCAAGGUAAACUUGUUUUUUCAUGCUUGAAACCAUUACAGAUGGAUAUAUUGAAUUUUUCUGAUAAUUUUUCAUAUAUAAAUUAUUUCAUUUGGAGUUACGGUUGAAUUUCUAUGAUUUUUAGAAGUUUCAAACAUUUUCUGGAAUUUCUUGAAUAAAAAUAAAUCCAGAAAAUGCAUUACUGCGUCAGCAUUGCAUCAUGCUGACCUCCGCAGGUCAAAGGCACCAGCCUAGGUCAAACCUGACUGGUGGGCCCCUUCUGUCAGUCUCUCAGUUAAAUAACAGGAUUAGAUUAACACUAAUUAGCUGUCAGUGGGGCCUGGGCCCACAUGUCACUGACUGAUUAAAAUAAAAUUAGUUAAAACUAAUCCUAGAUUAGUUAGCAAACCGGCCCCACCUGUCAUAGACUUAGGGGGGGUCUACCUGGGCCCACCCAGGGUCAAACUGGGUCAAACUCGCCGGCGCAGCUCGGAAAACGCCUACAGGGCACGAGCGAGGCCGUUCUUGGGCUCAUUGGAGAGCUCUUGCAGUCGCGCAUCUAGUGGCGGUGGUGGCCGGAGACGACGACGGCGAGCUCCAAGGCGGCGGCCGGAGUUCGGCCAUGUGCGGGGUGUCGGCUGUGGCGUGCAAACGUGGAAACUGAGGCACUAGCGAGGCACUACGCGAUGCGGCAAGCACGUUGCAUAGCACGGGAUAAUCAAAUGGUUGCCGGAGCGGCACCGGUGACAAGCUCGAGCGGAGACGAGCUUCGGCCAUGGUGGAACUAUGGCCUAGAGGGUGCAAACGCGUGGAAAAGAAGAGGGGAAAGGUGGCGGAGCUCACAGGGAGGUCGAUGAGCAGCUCAGUGGGCUCGGGGGCGACAGAAGUGAGGCGAAUCGAUGAGCAGCGUCCGGCGGGUACCGAGGUUGAAGACGAUCCGAUGGCGGCGAUGCAGGGCCUCCGGCGAUGCGUGGCUCGGUGGGAAGGGCGAGGGGGUGACGGAGGGCGCGACUACGGCGGUGAGACGGCGACGGGUGCGUCGGCCAUCGCGGGAGAGGGAGAGGGAGAUGAGUGGGAGAGUGAGAGAGGAUGAGAGGGGGACGUGGGGGUCGCGUGGCAUUCCCUGGACGUCUCCCGGCAUCGGCGGAAGCAGGAGGUGGCCGGCGUGUGGCCGCGGGCGCCGGCCACGCGCUCUGCGUCCUUCUGGCGCGAGGAGGACGACGACUGGCAGCGCCAGUAGGCUGGGCCGAGCCAGGUGGGCUGGCCAGCACAGGUAAGGCUCAGGUGGGCUUCUCCCUCUUUUUUUUAAUUUGUUUCUGUUUUCUAUUUAACUGUAAAUGUUGGGCUUUAUUUAAAAUACUAAAACAUUUCCAAAAAUCCUGAAAAUAAUUGUGGGCUCUGUUUGGAUUAUUUCCAAUAGCAAACAUUUAUUUGCAGAAUUAUUUGAGCAUUUAAAUGCCCAAAUUCAAAUACUUAUGAUUUAAAUCAAUGACCUUCUGUUGACCUAGAAAAGUUGUGCACCAAUUUUGCCAGAGGUUCUAACCCAAGACAAAGAGGGUGAACUUUUUAGAAGGGCAUUUCAGGUUCAUUGAAAAUAAUUUUAGUAAUCCCUAGUUGUUUCCAGGGGGGUGUUGGGGGUUUCUGCCUUCCCCAAUUCAAAUUUAAGAGGAAUUUAAACAUGAUGCACAUUCUAAUGCUUGAACUAGCUAGGGUGUGACAACUCACCCCCACUCAAAAGAAUCUCGUCCCGAGAUUUAGGAUCCUCUGGAAAGAAGGUGGGGUACUCGAGUCGAAGACGAUCCUCCCUUUCCCAAGUGGCUUCUUUCUCGGAAUGGUGUGUCCAUUGAACCUUGAGAAACUUGAUAUUAUGACGUCGAGUGGUACACUCGGCUUGAUCAAGGAUACGAACGGGAUAUUCCCGAUAAGAGAGGUUAUCUUGUAGAUCAAGCAUUUCGUGGUCCACUCCACGGAUAGGAUCCGCGAAGCAACGCCUGAGUUGUGAAACGUGGAAGACAUCAUGAACUCUGGAAAGAUGCGGAGGUAGUUCCAAUUGGUAGGCAACUUCUCCUCGUUUGGCAAGAAUGCGAAAGGGUCCAAUGUAACGAGGAGCCAAUUUGCCUUUGAUACCGAAAUGAUGGGUUCCUUUUAAUGGGGUAACCCGAAGGUAAGCCUUCUCGUCGAUUCAUAAGUCAUAGGCUUAUGUUUACGAUCAUAUUGACUCUUUUGACGAGAUUGGGCUGUUUUCAAUUUCUCACGAAUAACGCGAACCUGCUCUUCCGCUUCCUGAAUCAUAUCCGGGCCAAAGAGUUGUCUUUCCCCGGUUUCUGACCAGUUAAGAGGCGUUCGACAUUUUCGUCCAUAGAGAACUUCGAAAGGAGCUUUGCCCAAGCUAGCUUGAUAACUAUUGUUAUAAGCAAACUAUGCGAAUGGGAAGCAUUUCUCCCAACUCAUUCCGAAUGAGAUAACAGAAGCUCGGAGCAUAUCUUCUAGAAUUUGAUUGACUCGCUCUACUUGACCACUUGAUUGAGGAUGGAAGGCGGUACUAAAAGAGAGACGAGUUCCCAUAGCAUUUUGGAAACUUUCCCAAAAUCGAGAGGUGAAGAGACUCCCACGGUCUGAGUUAAUUUCCAAUGGGACACCAUGGAGAGACACUAUUCGGGAGAUGUAUAAAUCGGCUAGCUGGCUAGCAGUGAUACUCGCACGAACAGGUAGGAAAUGGGCUACUUUGGAAAGACGGUCGAUCACGACGAAGAUGGCAUUAUUCCCUCUCUUGUUCCUGGGAAACCCAGUAAUGAAAUCCAUACUGAUUUUAUCCCAUUUCCAUUCAGGAAUAGCCAAAGGUUGAAGGGUGCCAGCAGGCCGUUGAUGCCCUGCUUUAACACGAUGACAGACGUCGCAGCUAGCAAUGUAUCGAGCGAUUUCUCUCUUCAUCCUAGUACAUCAAAACCUCUGGCGUAGGUCUUGAUACAUUUUAUUGCUACCGGGAUGAAUGGUGAGAGGGGAUUCAUGAGCUUCCUUAAGGAUCAAUUGGCGUAGAUGUUGUUUCUUGGGAACCACCAAACGGUUCUCAAAGAAGACAGCACCCCGCUUAUCCAUGGAAAAACAUUUAGCAACUCCGCUAGCAAUGUUUUCCUUAAUCCGGGAUAUGCCCUUAUCAUACCGCUGGGCAGUUAUGAUCUGAUCCAUAAGGUUAGGUUUCGCCACCAGGGUGGAUAGGAAUCCUCGAGGAACAAUGUGAAGAUUAAGCUUACGGAAUUCCUCAUGGAGAAGUGGUUGACUUUGUUGUAACAUCAGGUUGUUACAAUAGGAUUUACGGCGUAGUGCAGCAGCCAUGACAUUGGCUUUGCCCGGUGUGUAGGUUAUUCCUAAGUCGUAAUCCGAGAUCAACUCAACCCAACGUCUUUGCCUGAGAUUCAAAUCUGGUUGGGUGAAGAUAUAUUUCAAGCUUUGGUGAUCGGUGAAGAUCUCGCAACGAUUAAGUGCAUGGACUACAGCUGCCAGCUCUAGAUCAUGUGUGGGAUAAUUUUCCUCAUGUGGGUGUAAUUGCCGUGAAGCGUAGGCAAUUACCUGACGAUCUUGCAUGAGUAUGCAACCUAGUCCUUGUCGCGAGGCGUCACAAUAGAUAAUAAAGUCCUUGGAUAAAUCAGGUGGUACCAGUACGGGAGCAGAUGUCAGGCGUCUUUUCAGUUCCUAAAAGCUGAACUCGCACUGUGGAGUCUACUCGAACUUUUUAUCUUUCUUGAGGAGUUUAGUUAGAGGUUUAGCAACCUUGGAGAAAUUCUCGACGAAGCGGCGGCAAUAGCUCGCUAAGCCAAGGAAGCUCCAAACUUGCUUGACCGUCUCAGGUGGAGUCUAAUCAAGGACGGCUUGAACUCGCUCGGGAUUGACGGCAAUACCCUUACCAGAGAUUACAUGGCCUAGAUAGGUUACUUCUGGCAACCAAAAUUCACACUUGGAGAAUUUGGCAUAAAGGCGAUGCUCUCGAAGUUUCAUCAAUACCAGCCUUAGAUGUUCGGCAUGUUCCUCUUCAUUCUUGGAGUAGAUUAGUAUGUCAUUGAGGUAUACUACGAUGAAUUUAUCCAAGUACUCCAUGAAAACCGAGUUCAUUAGCCGGGAGAAGGUAGCCGGGGCAUUGGUUAAACCGAAGGACAUAACGGUGUACUCGUAUUGGCCAUAACGAGUAACAAAGGCCGUUUUGGGAAUGUCCCCGUUUCUGAUUUAGAUUUGAUGGUAGCCCAACCUCAAAUCCAUCUUGGAAAAGACUGAGGAUCCAGCAAACUAAUCAUACAGAUCAUUGAUCCUGGGAAGUGGGUAUUUGUUCUUGAUGGUGACCAAGUUGAUAGGUCGGUAAUCCACAACCAUUCGAUCUGUUCCAUCCUUCUUGACGAAGAGGACGGGGCAAGCCCAAGGAGAGGAACUAGGACGGAUGAAACCCUUUUUCAAGGACUCAUCGAGUUGGUUCUCAAGCUCGGCUAGUUCUAAGGGUGCCAUCUUGUAGGGUCUUCUAGAAAUUAGAAUGGUUCCUGGAACAAGGUCUAUCACAAACUCGACAUCCCUGUCAGGUGGAACACCUGGCAGUUCUUCUGGAAAGGCAUCCGGAAAGUCUCGGACUACCGGAACAUCCUCAAGGUCUGGAAGGGGGUUGGCAUUUAGGGAGUAAAGUUGGCACUUGGCCACUCGAGUUAAGACAUUAACUGUCUUGCCCGAUGGGUGAGUAAGUUGAACGGUUCUAGUGGCACAGUCAAUCUUAGCAUAAUGAGCUGACAUCCAGUCCAUACCUAAGAUGAUGUUUAUGUCCGAGGACUUGAGAGCUAUUAAGGAUGCAAGGAAGACAAGUCUAUCGACAAGAAUUUCGUUCCCAUGGCUUACUCUAGAAGUUUGCCAUCUAGAGCCAGGGGUUUGAAUUUCCAUGGUAGAGGGCAUGUCACAGAAUGUCGUGUUGUGCAAUCGAGCAUAGUUCUCGGAUAUGAAUGAAUGAUAUGCUCCAGUAUCGAAAAGAACAGAUGCCGGAUGGCAGUUAACAAGGAGCGUACCAAGGACGACGUUGGGAUCCUCAUGAGCCUCCUCGGCUGAAACAUAGUUGACAUGGCCACGUGCAGUGGUGGCUGGCUUAGCGUAGAAUGUUUUUCCCGCGGGCUUACCACGGCCAACGGACUUUCCAGUUUGAUUGGGGUUGUUGUUCUGGGGACACUCUCGGCUAUAGUGACCCGGCUCUCCACACUUAAAGCAUGUCACCACAUUGGGGCGUGGAGCAGCAUUAGCAGCGGGGCCACCAUAGGGCUUGGGCGGUGCAAAUUGCUGGUUGGGACGUGGUGCCUCAAAGGAUGGCCUCGGGAUGAACCUGGGUGGCAGUGCCGUGCUUGGAAUCCACACCCGGCGCUUCUGAGCUCCAGAGCCGAUGAAGAGCCAAAAUCACGGGAGUGCUUGCGUGAAGUGUCAUAAUCAGUCUGGCCUUUCUCAGCACUGAUGGCUUUAUGGACCAACUUCUAAAAGGAGGUGCACUUGUGCAGACGAAGACCACGGUGAAGCUCAGGGCUAAGUCCCUUGCGGAACCUUGCCUGCUUCUUAGCAUCAGUAGAUACCUCUUCAGGGGCAUAACGUGCCAGAUUCCCAAAUUCACGACUGUAAGCAUCCACAGUCAGUCUUCCUUGGGUGAAGUUGCAGAACUCCUCCCUCUUGCGAUCCAUGAGACCUUCCGGAAUGUGAUGCUCACGGAAAGCCUCACUGAAUUCAGCCCAAGUAGUGAUUUGGCCGACCGGGCGCAUAGCUUCGAAGUUUUCCCACCAAAGGCUAGCAGGGCCUUUGAGGUGAUAGGCAGCAUAAGUAACCUUGUCGGCUUUGGCUACGUUGGCAGAACGUAGCUUGUGGGUGAUGCUGUGAAGCCAGUCAUCCACGUCGAGGGGCUCGACGGAAUGGUUAAACUUUGGUGGGUACAUCUUGAUAAAGUCAUUGAUUGACACCAACUCAUUUCGCGGGUGGCGUGCAGUGUUCUGCUCAAUCCGCUCCAGCAGGCGGUUGGUCUCACGCUUCUUUCUUUCUGCCUCCAGCAUUACUUCGGCCAGAGAAGGCGGGUGAGGCAGAUUUUCACCUCUAGCAGCACUGGCUUCCCCCUGCUCCGGGGCAACAGGGUUGCUGCGAGUAUUGACCAUCCUAGGAGAAAACAAGACAACGGUUUAGACAAGGAUGGCUCAAACUGAGCAAGGAUGUGCAGAAUGUAAUGGAUAACACGGAACACAGAGAUGUUCAUCCGUAUGUCAUGGUAAUAUAAAACUGCCAUAUAUAUACCAACGGUCAUACACAUCACACAUAGUUUAGUACAAGCCCAGGCUACAGUACAACUAUGAUGAAAGACGUUACAUCUCAUCGGAGGCAUUCCAAGCUCCUAUACAUUAUUGUCUACACCUUCGGAAUUGAUUACACGCAAAGUCAUAUUCCAAAAGUCACGCAGGACAGUGGAGAUACAACUACUACAAUACUAGUGGUACUACUACUAACUCAGACAGCUCCGUACUAGUCCUCAUAGAAGUCACCUCCAUAGCCUGGAAGUUCAACGUGACCAUCCGGGAACAGACGGUCCUGAGGAGCCUGUGGACCAUAGGGGCUUGGAUGGGGUCUUGGACCAACAAACGGUGGCCUGCGGGGACCACAGGGUGGGGUGAUGCCUCCCACAUCACGCCAAUCCACCACGUCUGGCAAAGCAGACCUCACAGGAUACAAAUCCCUUGUAUCCAUACAUCCAGCUUGCACCACAGGUGCAAACCGAGUCAAUGUGGCCCAAUGAUCAGCACGGGUAUUAAAAAGCUCCAGCCUCAAGGCCUGAUUCUCUCGGUCCUUAUAUUCGAGCAUCUCGGCAGUGGUACGAGUUAAUGAAUCCUCCUGAGUGGAGUCAGCAUAGAUAGCCUGAAGAUACCCUUGCGCUCCCGGAAGUGAAGCUAGCAUGUAUCGGAAGUCGGUGUUCCGAAGCAGGCCAGUCCGGACUCGCAUGAUUGUCAUCAUGGAAUAGGCAGCAUCCUGCACAGCCAUCUCAACAGUAACCCCGAGUCCAUAGGAACAGUGAAGGGGCUCGGUAGAUCCAGGAUAAGAAGGAAAUAUCUUGACGGUGCAGAAAUACUGGCUUUGAUUAAAGUCUCAGAAUUGCUCUUCGACGGUGUAUUCGGGAUACCAACGGUAACCCGUCUCGAUCAUGACCCGGACUAACAUAGCAGUAUGACCGGGCACGUCGAGCCACCGGGUCAGGCGAACCACUUUGUUUUGAGCACGGUUGGGCAUCUGAAAGCACAACCACAAUGCAAAGACAUCAGAAUUUCUAGGGAAAAUUGGACAGCAUAACAGCUGUAAAUGCUCAGAAAAAGAUUUGAGACAUCCACAACAGUUCGCAAUACCACUCAACAACAUCAUAUCAAGGUUCUGAUCCAAAUAGCAGCAUACUAAAAAUAGUAGAAACUGAACUGGGGCUUGUAACAACAAUCCUAUAAGCUACUACGGAUUAGUAACACGUGAACCUGAUAGAAGAAGAGAGACUAGUCCUUAACCCACAUUGAAUGAAAAGGGAAUGACUCAGAUAAGAGGCAUAGGGUAAAGGAGUAAAAGAGCCUUACGUUCCCUCCCACAAUCAAUUCCCCUACAUAUAACUAAAGCAUUUCCAGACUCGACAUCGACCAGUUUGGCUCAACGAACCUACAGGCAGUCCGGCACUGAUGCCAACGCUGUCAGGACCCCGAUUCCAAGACACAUCGAUCUAGCUGGUAACACCUCAUAUCACUUUGCGGCCUCACGCACGAUAUUCCACGGGUGUCGCCUUACCAUGGCCCGGGACCGUUUGCGCCUUUUGGCUCACGUAUAUGAUAGUGUCGCUAGCAUCCAUAUGAUAGAGAACCCGGGCCGACAUGGCUAGUCGUGAACCCAAAGAGGCACAGACCUAUGGAGACAGGCAUACAUGAAUCACAUCGAGCAUGUCGGUCAUCAGCGAGUGAUUCCGGGCUGUAGCACUGGGCUAACAGGACUCCGGGGAACCCGGGCUGUAGCAGGCUAGGCAGGACUCCGGAAGUCACCGCGUAACAUUUCCCCGAAGGGACAGACAUAGGAAUGAAGUGAAUCACAUGCCGGCAAGUCAAGUGUCCUGAGCUGUAGUGCUGGGCUAGCAGGACUCUGGUGAACCGGGCUGUAGCGGACUACUAUGGCUCAAGGAACACUAGACUACAUUUCCCCAUAAGAAAGGCUGCCAAGGAUAAACAACUAGAUUGCCGGAUCCCACUCAUACCAAGCAUUUCAAUCAUACACGCAAUAUGUCCGAUAUGAGUACAUACAACAUGGCAUCACAACAAAACUCUACAACUCAAGUACUUUAUUUAAAGGCUCUAGAGAGCCAUACAUAACAGGUUCAUACAGAUAGGGGUCACAUGACCCGACACUCAAGUCAUACAAUCAUACAAGCACAUGCGGAAGCAACCGGUCUGAGUACAGACACUAGAAAGAAAGAAGGCUCCUCGAGGCCUGUCUAUCUACAUAGGGCCCUCCAUGGCCAGGAUCACCACCUGGGUGGCUACUUACUCGUCGACGUCAAGGUCUACAUAGAACCCAUCGGAGGGGGCGGUGUUGUCGUCUGAAAACAGUAAUUAAGCAAACAUGAGUACAAAGGUACUCAGCAAGUCUUACAACAGAACCUAGUAUACAUGCUUAUACUCAAGAAGGUGGUGGGGAUAUUGCAGCAAGCCAGCUUUGACUCUUGGCUAAACUAUCCUACGGAACUUCUCUAGUAAAAUAGUUUUCGCACACGAGUCCACUACUCGCCAACACAAUACUCCACAGGGGAUCCUCCCUCGUCAUCCUAUGAGAGGGCCAUCCUCGGUACUCACACUUAUCUUGAGUAUUUUAGUAGUAUCCAUUUACUUGUCUAUGAACUGUAUAGGAAACCAAGUAGUCAUACACGCUAUUCGGAUAGUUUUAUACCCUGCAGGGGUGUACUUCGUCAUACACGCUUUCACCACUUAUCGCCGUUUACAUGACAUGUACUCGGCAACCUUCAAGCGGAAGCCCAGCGAGGGUGUCGGCCACGGCCUACCUAAACACUUAAGUCUCUAGUCCAGGUUUAUCGCCUAUCCAGGUUCCAUCCACAGGGAGUCCGGCCGAGGUUUCCACAUACGGCCCCGAACGAAGUGAACAUGGUUUCGAGACGCCAAACGGGCGCCCGGCAUACCCGGCCACGGUGUAUCUACCGCAACAUAGCCCACCCCUAGGGUCAGCGCUAUGCACGGCCGCCAACACAUAACCUACAAACACCAGAAACUAUUUGCAACUCCUGGACAGAGUACAAGGGUGAUUAAGAAGUCGAGAUGGUCAAUUAAGGAUCCCAAUGCAUGGUAGUAGUGAAUCUUAAAUCGCACAUACAGAUCUCAGUUCUUAGGGACGGUCUCAAUGAAACAACCCACCAUGUACUCCUACAUGGCCUCUCAUCGAUAUCUUUACCAAAACAUGUUCAACACAUUCCUCAUAUUACCGACAUAAUCAUAUCACCCUAGCCCAUCACCCAGAUGAACCAGACCUGACACAACUCUAAGCAUAGCAGGCAUAGCAAGGUAGGAAUUAUAUACAUGGCUCAAUCAACUCCUACACAUGCUAGUGGGUUUCAUCUAGUUACUGUGGCAAUGACAGGUCAUGCAGAGGAUAAGGGUUCAACUACUGUAGCACACAGCAGUUUGAAUCACGUUGUCUUAAUGCAGUAAACAAGAGCACAGGCGAGAACAUGGGUUGUAUCGGAAUGAUCAAUGGGUUGCUUGCUUGAUGGAGUGGUAGUGGAAUACUGCCCUUCAGUGGGAUACUCGUGAAUAUCCUCGGAGCCAGAACCUACCACGAAGAACACAUCGGAACACAAUCAACACAUGACGAUAUGCAACAAUAUGAUGCAUGCUAUGACGUAUCUUGGCCUAAUGCAAGCUAAAAUAGAAAGGGAUGAACUCAUUUGAAUCAAAAAUUCAAAUAUUAGCUCAUUAAACAUGACCUUAGUAGUGCAUUUCCUUAUUCUGCUUAAACAGCAAGGUAAACUUGUUUUGUCAUGCAUGAAACCAUUACAGAUGGAUAGAUUGAAUUUUUCUGAUAAUUUUUCAUAUAUAAAUUAUUUCAUUUGGAGUUACGGUUGAAUCUCUAUGAUUUUUAGAAGUUUUAAACAUUUUCUGGAAAUUACUGAAUAAAAAUAAAUCCAAAAAAUGCAUUACGGCGUCAGCAUUGUGUCAUGCUGACCUCAGCAGGUCAAAGGCGCCAGCCCAGGUCAAACCUGACUGGUGGGCCCCUUCUGUCAGUCUCUCAGUUAAAUAACAGGAUUAGAUUAACACUAAUUAACUGUCAGUGGGGCCUGGGCCCACAUGUCAGUGACUGAUUAAAAUAAAAUUAGUUAAAACUAAUCCUAGAUUAGUUAGCAGACCGGCCCCACCUGUCAUAGACUCAGGGGGGUCUACCUGGGCCCACCCAGGGUCAAACUGGGUCAAACUCGCCGGCGUUGAGCCGCCGGCGAGACCCGAGACAGUGGCGCAGCUCGGAAAACGCCUACAGGGCACGAGCGAGGCCGUUCUUGGGCUCGUUGGAGAGCUCUUGCAGUCGCGCAUCUAGUGCUGGUGGUGGCCGGGCCUACGGUGGCCGGAGACGACGACGGCGAGCUCCAAGGCGGCGGCCGGAGUUCGGCCAUGUGCGGGGUGUGGGCUGCGGCGUGCAAACGUGGAAACUGAGGCGCUAGCGAGGCACUACGUGAUGCGGCAAGCACGUUGCGUAGCACGGGAUGACCAAAUGGUCGCCGGAGCGGCGCUGACGACAAGCUCGAGCGGAGACGAGCUUCGGCCAUGGUGAAACUAUGGCCUAGAGGGUGCAAACGCGUGGAAAAGAAGAGGGGAAAGGUGGCGGAGCUCACAGGGAGGUCGAUGAGCAGCUCAGUGGGCUCGGGGCGACCGGAGUGAGGCGAAUCGACGAGCGGCGUCCGGCGGGUACCGAGGUUGAAGACAAUCCGAUGGCGGCGAUGCAGGGCCUUCGGCGAUGCGUGGCUCGGUGGGGAGGGCGAGGGCGUUACGGCGGAGCUUCUGGACAGGUCAGAGAGGCGAGGUGGUGAUGGAGGGCGCGACUAUGAUGGUGAGACGGCGAUUAAAAAGAAAGAUCUGGUUCACUCGUACGUGAAAAAAGUAGCAAGCGCUCGAUGCCUUCCUUUGCAUCGAUGCCAGACGCGGUGCUGGGAAUCGACAAGAUAACCGCCAAUCUACCACGAUUAAAUUCCUAGCGCCUCCUUCUAGCGCCUCCCACUGAAAAUGCCCUAAAGGUUUUGGAGGGAUUUUUUUACUGUGUCCUACUUCACGAAUCACGAGGCAAAUCAAGUAGCCGGCAUGGCCUGGCCGGUGAGUGCCAUUGCACUUACUUGCCCCAGCAAUUUUCCGCGUGCAUUGUAGAAUUCUUUCUCCGAGUCCUGUGAAUUAAAGAUGGUGCAGACAAAAAUAUAUCCUAUAUGCGUACAUGUGCAUGAUCAGAACAUGUUUUUACGUGCGUCUACUAUAAAUCAUGACCAUUUUUAACACAAAUCAUGACCAUUCAUGAUUAGUGAAUCAUACUGUCUUAACUUAUGUGAAAUCAUGUGGAGUAAUAUAAUAUAAUAUAAUAAAUAGAUAGAUCCAUGUUGUAUUAUUUUUUGUUUACAAAAAAUAUCUGUCAUUACACAUUUUGAUUUAUGCAUUUGUUUACAAAAAAAACAGUAACAUUUCAUGGUGGAAAGUUUGUAUUGUUUCAUACUGAACACCAAUGUUUUCCUGUAAAAGAAAAUAAUGCCUACGCAUAUGCUUUUAUAUUAUUAUUAUUCUUUCAAACUUAUUCAUACAGUAUUUUUGAUUGUGCAACCAUAAUUUUUAUUGUCUCUCUCGUUCCACUACAUGCUCUUACUCAAUGAUUUUUUUAUAACGGGUGUUUUUAUUAACUCAAAAUAUAGUAUCAAGCGGAUACAAAACAUAAUGAGCCACACCUGGUCUCUGCAUAACUAAGAUGCACACAGCCAAAAGCAGAUGUCUGACAAAAAUAAGAUAAGAAAAUCGACAUAUCGACAACAGUGAGUCAUAUAGUCCCGACACUAUGCCCCCGUUGAAGGACGGGGUGGAGCGAUCUGGAGAUUAUGCUGCCCUCCAUGUUGAGUAAAUACCUCCCUGGCCACUUGUUCCAAACGCAUAGACGCCGCCACGAAUAAUGGUCGGUACUCUGUUCAGUGUAGCAUACACCAUGUAGGAAGUGAGUGCUCACUCCUAGUUACUAAAUUAUGUACACACUAGUAGAAAAAGGGCCAUUUGUCCCGGUUCGUAAGGCCCAUUUGUCCCAAUUGGGGAACCGGGACUAAAGGGUCGGUACUAAAGCCCUACACCUUUAGUCCCGGUUCUUACACCAACCGAGACAGAUGGGGCUCCACGUGGCCGCUACAGCUUGCCGUGGCAGGGGGGCCUUUUGUCCCGGUUGGUAGCACCAACCGGGACCAAUAAGCUACCACGCGUCCGCAUUUGAGGGGCUAGGGUUUUUGUUUUUUUUCUGAAGGGGGGGGGGUGGGUUUGUAUGGUUAAUUUUGGGGGGUUUCACAUAUUGUGUUAGGUAGCUAAUUAAUUAAUAGAGAGAAGUGUCCUCACUUAUCUCCGUGCUUGGUCGACGCUACGUACUAUACGUAUAGAGAGGCCCUCAACACGCUAGCCAGUAAGCAAAUGAAGUAAACCAUUAAGUACAGAAGUUCGUCAUGAACAUAUGCAUACAAACAUAAGUGAUAUCGACCUCUCCUUCUCCGAGAGAUAGGUCGAACAACAAGUUUCCGUAUAUCUAUCCGGCGCUACUAGCUACAUAUAUACAAUAUUAAGAUCUCUUACAAUAUAAUCCCCUAAUUAUAUAUGAACUCAGCUUCCAGAUGGUAUUCUCCGGCUUUAUUGAUGGCGUGGUCAAGAAAGAUUCCCUCCAAUUCCUCUUGAAUUGCUUUGAUGCGAUCUUGUGGUAGGAGUUCAUCUCGCAUCUGCCACAUCUAAUUUGAAGAAGGGGGUCAAUCACCAGUAGAAUAACAACCAUUUGUCCUGGUUCAUAAGGUUAAUUUGUCCCGGUUGGGGAACCGAGACUAAAGGGUCUUUACUAAAGCCCUACACCUUUAGUCCUGGUUCUUACACCAACUGGGACAGAUGGGCCUCCAUGUGGCUGCUGCGGCGAGCCCAGGCCGGAGGUCCUUUGGUCCCGGUUAGUGGCACUGAUACGUCUCCAACGUAUCUAUAAUUUUUGAUUGCUCCAUGCUAUUAUGUUAUCUAUUUUGGAUGUUAAUGGCUUUAUUUUACACCUUUAUAUCAUUUUUGGGACUAACCUACUAAUCGGAGGCCCAACCCAAAUUGUUGUUUUCUACCUAUUUUAGGUUUUCGAAGAAAAGGAAUAUCAAACGGAGUCCAAACGGAAUGAAACCUUCGAGAACGUGAUUUUCUCAAUGAACAUGAUUCAGGAGAAUUGGAGUGUGCUCCAAGAAACAAGGGAGGAAGGCACGAGGCAGGGGGCGCGCCUACCCCCUUGGGCGCGCCCUCCACCCUCGUGGGCCCUCCGCUGCUCCACCGACGUACUUCUUCCUCCUAUAUAUAUCCACGUACCCCCAAACAUCCAGGAGCACCACGAAAACCUAAUUCCACCGCUGCAACCUUCUGUACCCGAGAGAUCCCAUCUUGGGGCCUUUUCCGGAGGUCCACCGGAGGGGGCAUCGAUCAUGGAGGGCCUCUACAUCAACUCCAUGGCCUCUCCGGUGAUGUGUGAGUAGUUUACUUCAGACCUAGGGGUCUAUAGUUAUUAGCUAGAUGGCUUCUUCUUCUCUCUUUGGAUCUCAAUACAAAGUUCUCCUCGAUUUUCUUGGAGAUCUAUUUGAUGUAACCUUCUUUUGCGGUGUGUUUGUCGAGAUCCGAUGAAUUGUGGGUUUGUGAUCCAGAUUAUCUAUGAACAAUAUUUGAUUCUCCUAUGAAUUCUAGUAUGUAUGAUUGGUUUAUCUUUGCAAGUCUCUUCGAAUUAUCAGUUUGGUUUGGCCUACUAGAUUGAUUUCUUGCAAUGGGAGAAGUGCUUAGCUUUGGGUUCAAUCUUGCAGUGUUUGAUCCCAGUGACAGAAAGGGAACCGAUACGUAUUGUAUUGUUGCCAUCGAGGAUAAAAAGAUGGGGUUUAUAUCAUAUCGCAUGAGUUUAUCCCUCUACAUCAUGUCAUCUUCCUUAAAGCAUUACUAUGUUCUCUUGAACUUAAUACUCUAGAUGCAUGCUGGAUAGCGGUCCAUGUGUCGAGUAAUAGUAGUAGAUGCAGAAUCGUUUCGGUCUACUUGUCUCGGACGUGAUGCCUAUAUACAUGAUCAUACCUAGAUAUUCUCAUAACUAUGUUCAAUUCUGUACAAUAUGGUGCACGGGGUUACAUCGGCCUGCAAAGACAUUUCUGCGAUGUGAGACAUCCGAAAAGCAACGAAAACGGGAGAUUAUACAUUUAUUGAAGAGGGCAGGUGUGACAGAUACCGUGAGGGCGUCGAGCUCAGCCAAAGACGAUGGACAGCUGAGCACGGCCUGUGUCAGAGCCGGUGCGGGAGCAGGUGCAGGUGCAGGUGCUGGUGCAACGCUAGUCGAGCUGCUCCUGAAGAAGUCAACAAUGGGAAAGUCCGCUGCAUUUUUUCUGCAUUUUGCGUGCUCCAAUUGAAAAUGGCUGGAACCAAGACAGUAGACAUAUCUGCAACCACCUGUUUUCCGGCAGCUACCGCUGUCGCGACUGUCUCAGAUGAUUUCUUCUCAACCGCAAUCUCAACCUUCUUGUCGAUGUUUUAUUCGGUUAACCUCCAUCUUUCCUUUCUCUCCUCCGUGGUCUCACGGUAGUACUUCUUCCACGUGGCCCCGUCUCCGACACCGUGAACGCGUCCAUACGACGACCGAGUCUCCACGGGGAGUCCUUUCAAUAUGUUCAAUGCCCGGUUGAAUGGAGUGUCCCACUUGGGCCUUGCCAAUGCCUCAGACGGCGAGUCGCUUUCGGCCGCAAUCUUAUGCUGCUCUCUCUACAAAAGGAACACGGAUCAUUUACAAAUAUGACUAAACGUGCAGUCGAACUGAUCAGAAACUAAAAUUACCAGCAGUCUCAUGAACUCCGUCGUGAUCGGGUCCGUCUUGAAAACCUUCUUGACUGAGUCCCAAUGGUGUCGUGCCCUGAGGACGUCAUGCUCCUACGGGACGGUGAAGUCCGCCAAGGGGUCUGGGAUGCCAGAUUUUCGCGUUUCGUGUCCUCCUUGGCCCAUAUGGACCUCUUCCUGCCGUAACCACUGCUUCCGAGGUGGUGGCGCCCCAUGUUCCUUUGUGGAAGCCCCUUCAUGUACUUCGACUUUGUUUUGGCAGCUUCGGCCUCGCAAGCCGCCUUGAAUAUUUCAAAGUGUUCUCUAGUGAUUGUCAGAUUAUCCUUUACAAUCUCGGAGUAGGGUUGAUACGUCUCCAACGUAUCUAUUAUUUUUGAUUGCUCCAUGCUAUAUUAUCUACUGUUUUGGACAUUAUUGGGCUUUAUUAUCUACUUUUAUAUUAUUUUUGGGACUAACCUAUUAACCGGAGGCCCAGCCUAGAAUUGUUGUUUUUUGACUGUUUUAGGGUUUCGAAGAAAAGGAAUAUCAAACGGAGUCCAAACGGAAUGAAACCUUCGGGAACGUGAUUUUCUGAAUGAACAAGACCCUGGAGACUUGGACCCUACGUCAAGACACAAAAGAGGAGGACACGAGGUAGGGGGCGCGCCUAACCCCCCCCCCCCCUCGAGGCACGCCCUCCACCCUCGUGGGGCCCCUGUUGCUCCACCGACGUACUCCUUCCUCCUAUAUAUACCUACGUACUUCCAAACGAUCAGAUACGGAGCCAAAACCCUAAUUCCACUGCCGCAACUUUCUGUAUCCACGAGAUCCCAUUUGGUGCCUGUUCCGGAGCUCCGCCGGAGGGGGCAUCGAUCACGGAGGGCUUCUACAUCAACACCAUAGCCUCUCCGAUGAAGUGUGAGUAGUUCACCUCAGACGUACCGGUCCAUAUUUAUUACCUAGAUGGCUUCUUCUCUCUUUUUGGAUCUCAAUACAAUGUUCUCCCCCUCUCUUGUGGAGAACUAUUCGAUGUAAUCUUGUUUUUGCAGUGUGUUUAUUGAGAUUGAUGAAUUGUGGGUUUAUGAUCAAGUCUAUGUAUGAAUAAUAUUUGAAUCUUCUCUAAAUUCUUUUAUGUAUGAUUGUUUAUCUUUGCAAGUCUCUUCGAAUUAUCAGUUUGGUUUGGCCUACUAGAUUGAUCUUUCUUACAAUGGGAGAAGUGCUUAGCUUUGGGUUCAAUCUUGCGGUGUCCUUUCCCAAUGACAGUAGGGGCAGCAAGGCAUGUAUUGUAUUGUUGCCAUCGAGGACAACAAGAUGGGGUUUUCAUCAUAUUGCAUGAGUCUAUCCCUCUACAUCAUGUCAUCUUGCUUAAGGCGUUACUCUGUUUUUAACUUAAUACUCUAGAUGCAUGCUGGAUAGCGGUCGAUGAGUGAAACCUAUGGCCCCCGGGUCUAUCUUUAUCAUAUUAAUCUCCUACUACUUAGUUAUUUCCUUUGCUUUUUCCUUUGCCUUUAUUUUACUUUUGAUCUUUAUCACAAAAAUACCAAACAUAUUAUCUUUAUCAUAUCUAUCAGAUCUCACUCUCGUAAGUGGCUGUGUAGGGAUUGACAACCCCUAUUCGCGUUGGUUGCGAGGAUUUAUUUGUUUUGUGCAAGUACGAGAGACUCGCGCGUAGCCUCCUACUGGAUUGAUACCUUGGUUCUCAAAAACUGAGGGAAAUACUUACACUACUUUGCUGCAUCAUCCUUCCUCUUCGCGGAAAACCAACGUAGUGCUCAAGAGCUGGCAAUAAGGAUUUCUGGCGCCGUUGCCGGGGAGGUCUAAGCAAAAGUCAACAUACCAAGUACCCAUCACAUACCCUUAUCUCCUGCAUUACAUUAUUUUCCAUUUGCCUCUCGUUUUCCUCUCCCCCACUUCACCCUUGCCGUUUUAUUCGCCCUCUCUCUCUCUCUCUAUCCUCCCUCUCUUUCUCUAUUUGCCUCUUUUUUCCCACUUGCUUUCUGUUUGCUUGUGUGUUAGUUGCUUGCUUGUCACGAUGGCUCAAGAUAAUACUAAAUUACGUGACUUCACCAAUACCAACAACAAUGAUUUUAUUAACACUCCGAUUGCUCCUCUUACCGAUGCUGAAUCUUGAGAAAUUAAUACUGCUUUGCUGAAUCUUGUCAUGAAAGAUCUGUUUUUCGGCCUUCCUAGUGAAGAUGCCGCUACCCACCUAAAUAGAUUCGUUGAUUUGUGUGACAUGCAAAAGAAGAAAGGUGUGGAUAAUGAUAUUGUUAAAUUGAAGCUAUUUCCUUUUUCGCUUAGAGAUCGUGCUAAAGCUUGGUUUUCGUCUUUGCCUAAAAAUACUAUUGAUUCAUGGAAUAAGUGCAAAGAUGCUUUUAUCUCUAAGUAUUUUCCUCCUGCUAAGAUCAUCUCUCUUAGAAACGAUAUUAUGAAUUUUAAGCAACUUGAUCAUGAACAUGUUGCACAAGCUUGGGAGAGAAUGAAACUAAUGAUACGUAAUUGCCCUGCCCAUGGUUUAAAUUUGUGGAUGAUUAUACCAAAUUUUUAUGCCGGAUUGAACUUUGCUUCUAGAAAUCUUUUAGAUUAGGCCGCGGGAGGCACUUUUAUGGAAAUCACUUUAGGAGAAGCUACUAAACUCCUAGAUAAUAUUAUGGUUAAUUAUUCUCAACGGCAUACCGAAAGAUCUACUAAUAAAAACGUGCAUGCGAUAGAAGAAAUUAAUGUUUCGAGUGGAAAGAUGGAUGAACUUCUGAAAUUAUUUGCUAAUAAGAGUAUUUCUUCUGAUCCUAAUGAUAUGCCCUUGUCUACUUUGAUUGAGAAUAAUAAUUAAUCUAUGGAUGUGGAUUUUGUUGGUAGGAACAAUUUUGGUAACAACGCGUACAGAGGAAAUUUCAACCCUAGGCCUUAUCCUAGUAAUCUCUCUAAUAAUUAUGGUAAUUCCUACAACAAUUCUUAUGGAAAUUAUAAUAAGAUGCCCUCUGAUUUUGGAUCUAAUAUUAGAGAAUUUAUUACUUUCCAAAAGAAUUUCAAUGCUUUGAUUGAAGAAAAAUUGCUUAAGAUUGAUGAUUUGGCUAGGAACGUUGAUAGAAUUACUCUUGAUGUUGAUUCUUUGAAACUUAGAUCUAUUCCACCUAAGCAUGAUGUCAAUGAGUCUCUCAAAGCCAUGAGAAUUUCCAUUGAUGAGUGCAAAGAAAGAACCACUAGGAUGCGUGUUAAGAAAGAUGCCUUUAUAAGAGCGUGUUCUUCUAAUUCCUAUGAAAAUAAUGAUGAAGAUCAAAAAGUUAUUGAUGUCCUCCCUAUUAAAUCUUUGUUUUGCAAUAUGAAUCUUGAUAAUCAUGGGACUGAAUAUGAUCCACCUUUACCUAGAAGGCGUUCCAAUAAUUCAGAAUUUGUUGAUCUUGAUGCUAAAAUUGAUAAAGGUGGGAUUGAAGAAAUUAAAACCCUAGAUGUUGCUAAACCCACUAUUAUGGAUUUCAAGGAACUUAACUAUGAAAACUGCCCUUUGAUUGAUUGUAUAUCCUUGUUACAAUCCGUGCUAAAUUCUCCUCAUGCUUAUAGUCAAAAUAAAGCAUUUACUAAACAUAUUGUUGAUGCCUUGAUGCAAUCUUAUGAAGAAAAACUUGAAUUGGAAGUUUCUAUCCCUAUAAAGCUUUAUGAUGAGUGGGAACCAACUAUUAAAAUUAAAAUUAAAUAUCAUGAAUGCUAUGCUUUAUGUGAUUUGUGUGCUAGUGUUUCCACGAUUCCAUAGACUUUGUGUGAUUUGUUAGGUUUCCGUGAUUUUGAUGAUUGCUCUUUAAACUUGCACCUUGCGGAUUCCACUAUUAAGAAACCUAUGGGAAGAAUUAAUGAUGUUCUUAUUGUUGCAAAUAGCAAUUAUGUGCCCGUAGAUUUUAUUGUUCUUGACAUAGAUUGCAAUCUUUCAUGUCCUAUUAUUCUUGGUAGACCUUUCCUUAGAACGACUGGUGCAAUUAUUGAUAUGAAGGAAGGAAAUAUUAGAUUCCAAUUUCCAUUAAGGAAAGGCAUGGAACACUUUCCUAGAAAGUAAAUUAAAUUACCUUAUGAAUCUAUUAUGAUAGCCACUUAUGGAUUGCCUACCAAAGAUGGCAAUACCUAGAUCUAUCCUUGCUUGUUAUGCCUAGCUAGGGGCGUUAAACGAUAGCGCUUGUUGGGAGGCAACCCAAUUUUAUUUUUAUUCCUUGAUUUUUUCUCCUGUUUAGUAAUAAAUAAUUUAUAUAGCCUCUGUUUUGGUUCUGUUCUUUGUGUUUAAUUAGUGUUUGUGCCAAGUAGAACCGUUAGGAAGACUUGGGGAAAGUCUUGUUACACUUGCUGUAAAAAACUGAAACUUCAGCGCUCACGAGAACUGCUGCCAUUUUUAUUUGGAAAGUGCUAUGUAGUUAAUUAUUUUUCAGAUGAUUAACAGAUAAAUUCCUCACGUCCAGAAAUUUAUUUUAGAAUUUUUGGGGUUCCAGCUCUUGAGCUAGCUACAGAGUACUACAGGCUGUUCUGUUUUUGAAAGAUUCUGUUUUUCGUGUGUUGUUUGCUUAUUUUGAUGAACCUAUGGCUAGUAAAAUAGUUUAUAUACCAUAGAGAAAUUGGAAUACAGUAGGUAUAACACCAAUAUAAAUAAAUAAUGAGUUCAUUACAGUACCUUGAAGUGGUCUUUUAUUUUCUUUCGCUAACGGAGCUCAUGAGAUUUUCUACUUUAAGUUUUGUGUUGUGAAGUUUUCAAGUUUUGGGUAAAGAUUUGAUGGAUUAUGGAACAAGGAGUGACAAGAGCCUAAGCUUGGGGGUUCCCAUGGCACCCCCAAGAUAAUCUAAGUACACCUAAAAACCAAAGCUUGGGGAUGCGCCGGAAGUCAUCCCCUCUUUCAUCUACUUCUAUCGGUAACUUUACUUGGAGCUAUAUUUUUAUUCGCCACAUGAUAUGUGUUUUGCUUGGAGCGUCUUGUAUUAUUUGAGUCUUUAUUUGUUAGUUUACCACAAUCAUCCUUGCUGUACACACCUUUUGAGAGAGCCAUACAUGAUUUGGAAUUUGUUAGAAUACUCUAUGUGCUUCGCUUAUAUCUUUUGAGUUAUAUAGUUUUGCUCUAGUACUUCACUUAUAUCUUUUAGAGCACGGUGGUGGAUUUGUUUUAUAGAAACAAUUGAUCUCUCAUGCUCCACUUAGAUUAUUUUGAGAUUCUUAAUAGCAUGUUAAUUUGCUUAAAAUCCUAAUAUGCUAGGUAUUCAAAGUUAGUAAAAUUUUCUUAAGAGUGUUUUGAAUACUAAGAGAAGUUUGAUGCUUGAUGAUUGUUUUGAGAUAUGGAGGUAAUAAUAUCAAAGUCGUUCUCGUUGACUAGUUGUGAAAUUGAGAAAUACUUGUGUUGAAGUUUGCAUGUCCCGUAGCACGCACGUAUGGUAAACGUUGUGUAACAAAUUUGAAACAUGAGGUGUUAUUUGAUUGUCUUCCUUGUGAGUGGCGGUCGGGGACGAGCGAUGGUCUUUUCCUACCAAUCGAUCCCCCUAGGAGCAUGCGAAUAGUACCAAGGUUUUUGAUGACUUGUAGAUUUUUGCAGUAAGUAUGUGAGUUCUUUAUGACUAAUGUUGAGUCCAUGAAUUAUACGCACUCUCACCCUUCCAUCCUUGCUAGCCUCUUCGGUACCGUGCAUUGCCCUUUCCCACAUUGAGAGUUGGAGCAAACUUCGCCAGUGCAUCCAAACCCCGUGCUAUGAUACGCUCAUUCACACAUAAACCUCCUUAUAUCUUCCUCAAAACAGCCACCAUACCUACCUAUUAUGGCAUUUCCAUAGCCAUUCCGACAUAUAUUGCCAUGCAACUUUCCACCAUUCCGUUCAUCAUGACACAUUCAUCAUUGUCAUAUUGCGUAGCAUAAUCAUGUAGUUGACAUAGUAUUUGUGGCAAGGCCACCGUUCAUAAUUCAUUCAUACAUGUCACUCUUGGUCCAUUGCAUGUCCCGGUACACCGCCGGAGGCAUUCAUAUAGAGCCAUACUUUGUUCUAGUAUCGAGUAGUAAUUAUUGAGUCGUAAAUAAAUAGAAGUGUGAUGAUCAUCAUUAAUAGAGCAUGGUCCCAAAAAGAAAAAAAAGGAAGGGCCAAAAAAAGGCCAAAUAAAAAAAUAUAAAAAAGGGGGCAAUGCUACUAUCCUUUUUUUCCAAACUUGUGCUUCCAAGUAGCACCGUAAUCUUCAAGAUAGAGAGUCUCUUGAUUUGUCACUUUCAUAUACUAGUGGGAAUUUUUCAUUAUAGAACUUGGCUUGUAUAUUCCAACAAUGGGCGUCCCCAAGUUCCCUAGGUCUUCGUGAGCAAGCAAGUUGGAUGCACACCCACUUAGUUUCUUUUGUUGAGCUUUCAUACAUUUAUAGCUCUAGUGCAUCCGUUGCAUGGCAAUUCCUACUCCUUGCAUUAACAUCAAUCAAUGGGCAUCUCCAUAGCCCAUUGAUUAGCCUCGUUGAUGUGAGACUUUCUCCUUUUUGUCUUCUCCACAUAACCCCACUCAUUAGAUUCUAUUCCACCCAUAGUGUUAUGUCCAUGGCUUGCAAUCAUAUAUUGCGUGAAAGUUUAUAGGUUUGAGAUCACUAAAGUAUGAAACAAUUGCUUGGCUUGUCAUCGGGGUUGUGCAUGAUGAGAGCAUACUUGUGUGACGAAAAUGAAGCAUGACUAAACUAUAUGAUUUUGUAGGGGUGAACUUUCUUUGGCCAUGUUAUUUUGAGAAGACACAAUUGCUCAGUUAGUAUGCUUAAAGUAUUAUUAUUUUAUGUCAAUAUGAACUUUUGUCUUGAAUGUUUCAGAUCCGAAUAUUCAUACCACAAUUAAGAAGAAUUACAUUAAAAUCAUGCCAAGUAGCACUCCACAUCAAAAAUUCUGUUUUUAUCAUUUACCUACUCGAGGACGAGCCGGAAUUAAGCUUGGGGAUGCUUGAUACAUCUCCAACGUAUCUAUAAUUUUUGAUUGCUCCAUGCUAUAUUAUCUACUGUUUUGGACAAUAUUGGGCUUUAUUAUCCACUUGUAUAUUAUUUUUGGGACUAACCUAUUAACCGGAGGCCCAGCCCAGAAUUGUUGUUUUUUGCCUGUUUUAGGGUUUCGAAGAAAAGGAAUAUCAAACGGAGUCCAAACGGAAUGAAACCUUCGGGAACGUGAUUUUCUCAACGAACAAGAUCUAGGAGACUUGGACCCUCCAUCAAGACAUAAAAGAGGAGGCCACGAGGUAGGGGGCGUNNNNNNNNNNNNNNNNNNNNNNNNNNNNNNNNNNNNNNNNNNNNNNNNNNNNNNNNNNNNNNNNNNNNNNNNNNNNNNNNNNNNNNNNNNNNNNNNNNNNNNNNNNNNNNNNNNNNNNNNNNNNNNNNNNNNNNNNNNNNNNNNNNNNNNNNNNNNNNNNNNNNNNNNNNNNNNNNNNNNNNNNNNNNNNNNNNNNNNNNNNNNNNNNNNNNNNNNNNNNNNNNNNNNNNNNNNNNNNNNNNNNNNNNNNNNNNNNNNNNNNNNNNNNNNNNNNNNNNNNNNNNNNNNNNNNNNNNNNNNNNNNNNNNNNNNNNNNNNNNNNNNNNNUGGGCCCCCCUGUUGCUCCACCGACGUACUCCUUCCUCCUAUAUAUACCUACUAUUGGGGAACGUAGCAGAAUUUUAAAAUUUUCUACGCAUACCAAGAUCAAUCUAUGGAGUCAUAUAGCAACGAGGGAGAGAGGAGUGCAUCUACAUACCCUUGUAGAUCGCGCGCGGAAGCGUUCAAGAGAACGGGGUUGAUGGAGUCGUACUCGUCGUGAUCCAAAUCACCGAUGACCAAGUGCCGAAUGGACAGCACCUCCGCGUACAACACACGUACGGUUGGGAAGACGUCUCCUCCUUCUUGAUCCAGCAAGGGGGAAGGAGAGGUUGAUGAAGAUCCAGCAGCACGACGGCGUGGUGGUGGAUGCAGCAGGAUCCCGGCAGGGCUUCGCCAAGCGCAAGCGGGGAGGAGAGGUGUUACGGAAGGAGAGGGAGGCGCCAAGAGCAAGGGUGCGGCUGCCCUCCCUCCCCCCCCUCUUUAUAUAGGGGCCUUGGGGGGGCGCCGGCCCUAGGAGAUGGAUCUCCAAGGGGGGCGAAGGCCAAGGGGUGGCUUCCCCCCCAAGCCAAGUGGGGGGCGCCCCCACCCCUAGGGUUUCCCAACCCUAGGCGCAUGGGAGGCCCAAGGGGGGCGCACCAGCCCACUAGGGGCUGGUUCUGCUCCCAAUUCAGCCCAUGGGGCCCUCCGGGAUGGGUGGCCCCACCCGGUGGACCCCCGGGACCCUUCCGGUGGUCCUGGUACAAUACCGGUGACCCCCGAAACCUUCCCGAUGGCCGAAAUUGUACUUCCUAUAUAUAAAUCUUUACCUCCGAACCAUUCCGGAACUCCUCGUGACGUACGGGAUCUCAUCCGGUACUCCGAACAUAUCCUUGGUUACUACAUACUAAUAUCUCUACAACCCUAGCGUCACCGAACCUUAAGUGUGUAGACCCUACGGGUUCGGGAGACAUGCAGACAUGACAGAGACGCCUCUCCGGUCAAUAACCAACAGCGGGAUCUGGAUACCCAUGUUGGCUCCCACGUGCUCCACGAUGAUCUCAUCGGAUGAACCACGAUGUCGAGGAUUCAAUCAAUCUGUGUAGAAUUCCCUUUGUCAAUCGGUACGUUACUUGCCCGAGACUCGAUCGUCGGUAUCCCAAUACCUCGUUCAAUCUCGUUACCAGCAAGUCACUUUACUCGUGCCGUAAUGCAUGAUCCCAUGAUCAACCACUUGGUCACAAUGAGCUCAUUAUGAUCAUGCAUUACCGAGUGGGCCCAGAGAUACCUCUCCGUCAUACGGAGUGACAAAUCCCAGUCUCGAUUCGUGCCAACCCAACAGACACUUUCGGAGAUACCUGUAAUGUACCUUUAUAGUCACCCAGUUACGUUGUGACGUUUGGCACACCCAAGGCACUCCUACGGUAUCCGGGAGUUGCCCAAUCUCAUGGUCUAAGGAAAUGAUACUUGACAUUCGGAAAAGCUACAGCAAACGAACUACACGAUCUUUGAGCUAUGCUUAGGAUUGGGUCUUGUCCAUCACAUCAUUCUCCUAAUGAUGUGAACCCGUUAUCAAUGACAUCCAAUGUCCAUAGUCAGGAAACCAUGACUAUCUUUUGAUCAACGAGCUAGUCAACUAGAGGCUCACUAGGGACGUGUUGUCGUCUAUGUAUUCACACAUGUAUUACGAUUUCCGGAUAACACAAUUAUAGCAUGAAAAAUAGACAAUUAUCAUGAACAAAGAAAUAUAAUAAUAACCAUUUUAUUAUUGCCUCUAGGGCAUAUUUCCAACAGUCUCCCACUUGCACUAGCGUCAGUAGUCUAGUUACAUUUUGAUGAAUCCAACACCCAUGAAGUUCUGGAGUUGAUCAUGUUUUGCUCUAGGGAGAGGUUUAGUCAAUGGAUCUGCCACAUUCAGGUCCGUAUGUACUUUACAAAUCUCUAUGUAUCCAUUUUGAACACUUUCAUGAAUGGAGUUGAAGUGACGCUUGAUAUGCCUGGUCUUCCUGUGAAAUCUGGGCUCCUUGGCAAGUGCAAUAGCUCCAGUGUUGUCACAGAAUAGAGUCAUCGGGCCCGGUGCAUUGGGUGUGACUCCUAGGUCGGUAAUGAACUCCUUCACCCAGAUUGCUUCUUGUGCUGCCUCCGAGGCUGCCAUGUACUCUGCUUCACAUGUAGAUCCCGCCACAACGCUUUGCUUGCAACUCCACCAGCUUACUGCCCCACCAUUCAAAAUAUACACGUAUCCGGUUUCCGACUUAGAGUCAUCCAGAUCUGUGUCGAAGCUAGCAUCAACGUAACCCUUUACGACGAGCUCUUCGUCACCUCCAUAAACGAGAAACAUAUCCUUAGUCCUUUUUAGGUACUUGAGGAUAUUCUUGACUGCUGUCUAGUGUUCCAUGCCGGGAUUACUUUGGUACCUUCCUACCAAACUUACGGCAAGGUUUUCAUCAGGUCUGGUACACAGCAUAGCAUACAUGAUAGACCCUAUGGCCGAGGCAUAGGGGAUGACACUCAUCUUUUCUCUAUCUUCUGUCGUGGUCGUGCAUUGAGCCUCGCUCAAUCUCGUACCUUGCAAUACAGGCAAGAACCCUUCUUUUACUGAUCCAUUUUGAACUUCUUCAAUAUCUUAUCAAGGUAUGUACUCUGUGAAAGACCAAUGAGGCGUCUCGAUCUAUCUCUAUAGAUCUUGAUGCCUAAUAUAUAAGCAGCUUCUCCAAGAUCCUUCAUUGAAAAACACGUGUUCAAGUAGGCCUUUAUGCUUUCCAAGAAUUCUAUAUCAUUUCCCAUCAACAAUAUGUCAUCCACAUCCAAUAUGAGAAAUGCUACAAAGCUCCCACUCACUUUCUUGUAAAUGCAGACUUCUCCAUAAGUAUGCGUAAACCCAAACGCUUUGAUCAUCUCAUCAAAACGAAUGUUCCAUCUCCGAGAUGCUUGCACCAGCCCAUAAAUCGAAUGUUGGAGCUUGUACACCUUGUCAGCAUUCUUAGGAUCGACAAAACCUUCCGGCUGCAUCAUAUACAAUUCUUCCUUAAGGAAACCAUUAAGGAAUGUUGUUUUGACGUCCAUUUGCCAUAUUCAUAAUCAUAGAAUGCGGCAAUUGCUAACAUCGUAGUCAACCCCUUGAACUUGCCGAUAACCCUUAGCGACAAGCCGAGCUUUAUAGAUGGUCACAUUACCAUCCGCGUCUGUCUUCUUCUUAAAGAUCCAUUUAUUUUCUAUGGCUCGCCGAUCAUCGGGCAAGUCAGUCAAAGUCCAUACUUUGUUUUCAUACAUGGAUCUUAUCUCGGAUUUCAUGGCUUCCAGCCAUUUGUUGGAAUUCAGGCCCGCCAUCGCUUCUUCAUAGUUCGAAGUUCACCGUUGUCUAACAACAUGAUUUCCAAGACAGGGUUGCCGUACCACUCUGGUGCGGGACGUGUCCCCGUGGACCUACGAAGUUCAGUAGCAACUUGAUCUGAAGUUUCAUGAUCAUCAUCAUCAAUUUCCUCUCUAGUCGUUGCAGGCACCUUAGGAACAUUUUCUUGAGCUGCGCCACUUACCGGUUCAAGAGGUAAUAAUACUUCAUCAAGUUCUACUUUCCUCCCACUUAUUUCUUUCGAGAGAAACUCUUUCUCUAGAAAGGACCCAUUCUUGGCAACAAAGAUCUUGCCUUCGGAUCUGAGGUAGAAGGUAUACCCAAUAGUUUCUUUAGGGUAUCCUAUGAAGACGCAUUUUUCCAAUUUGGGUUCGAGCUUUUCAGGUUGAAGUUUCCUUACAUAAGCAUCGCAUCCCCAAACUUUUAGAAAUGACAUCUUAGGUGUCUUCCCAAACCAUAAUUCAUACGGUGUCAUCUCAACGGAUUUCGACGGAGCCCUAUUUAAAGUGAAUGCGGCAGUCUCUAAAGCAUAGCCCCAAAAUGACAGCGGUAAAUCGGUAAGAGACAUCAUAGAUCGCACCAUAUCUAAUAGAGUGCGAUUAUGACAUUCCGACACACCAUUACGCUGAGGUGUUCCAGGCGGCGUGAGUUGUGAAACUAUUCCACAUUUUCUUAAGUGUGUGCCAAAUUCGUGACUCAAGUAUUCUCCCCCACGAUCUGAUCGCAAGAACUUGAUUUGCCUGUCACGUUGAUUCUCAACCUCACUUUGAAAUUCCUUGAACUUUUCAAAGGUCUCAGACUUGUGUUUCAUUAAGUAGACAUACCCAUAUCUACUCAAGUCAUCAGUGAGGGUGAGAACAUAACGAUAGCCACCGCGCCUCAACACUCAUUGGACCGCACACAUCAGUAUGUAUGAUUUCCAAUAAGUUGGUUACUCGCUCCAUUGUUCCUGAGAACGGAGUCUUGGUCAUUUUACCCAUGAGGCAUGGUUCGCACGUGUCAAAUGAUUCGUAAUCAAGAGACUUUAAAAGUCUAUCUGCAUGGAGCUUCUUCAUGCGUUUGACACCUAUGUGACCAAGGCGGCAAUGCCACAAGUAUGUGGGACUAUCAUUAUCAACCUUACAUCUUUUGGUAUUCACACUAUGAAUAUGUGUAACAUUAUGCUCGAGAUUCAUUAAGAAUAAACCAUUCACCAAUGGAGCAUGACCAUAAAACAUAUCUCUCAUAUAAAUAGAACAACCAUUAUUCUCGGAUUUAAAUGAGUAGCCAUCUCAAAUUAACCGAGAUCCUGAUACAAUGUUCAUGCUCAAAGCUGGCAGUAAAUAACAAUUAUUGAGGUUUAAAACUAAUCCCAUAGGCAAAUGUAGAGGCAGCGUGCCGACGGCGAUCACAUCAACCUUGGAACCAUUCCCGACGCACAUCGUCACCUCGUCCUUCGCCAGUCUCCGUUUAAUCCGCAGCUCCUGCUUUGAGUUACAAAUGUGAGCAACUGCACCGGUAUCAAAUACCCAGGAGCUACUACGAGUACUGGUAAGGUACACAUCAAUUACAGGUAUAUCACAUAUACCUUUAGUGUUGCCGGCCUUCUUGUCCGCUAAGUAUUUGGGGCAGUUCCGCUUCCAGUGACUACUUCCCUUGCAAUAAAAACACUCAGUCUCGAGCUUGGAUCCAUUCUUUGGCUUCUUCCCGGAAACUUGCUUAGCGGGCGCGGCAACUCCCUUGCCGUCCUUCUUGAAUUCUUCUUACCCUUGCCUUUCUUGAACUUAGUGGUUUUAUUCACCAUCAACACUUGAUGUUCCUUUUUGAUUUCCACCUCUGCUGAUUUCAGCAUUGAAUAUACCUCAGGAAUGGUCUUUUCCAUCCCCUGCAUAUUGAAGUUGAUCACAAAGCUCUUGUAGCUCGGUGGAAGCGACUGAAGGAUUCUGUCAAUGACCGCGUCAUUCGGGAGGUUAACUCCCAGCUGAGUCAAGCGGUUAUGCAACCCAGACAUUUUGAUUAUGUGCUCACUGACAGAACUAUUUUCCUCCAUCUUAUAGCUGAAGAACUUGUCGGAGACUUCAUAUCUCUCGACCCGGGCAUGAGCUUGAAAAACCAUUUUCAGCUCUUCGAACAUCUCAUAUGCUCCAUGUCUCUCAAAAUGCUUUUGGAGCCCCGGUUCUAAGCUGUAAAGCAUGCCGCACUGAACGAGGGAGUAAUCAUCAGCACGUAACUGCCAAGCGUUGAUAAUGUCUUGGUUCUCUGGGACAGGUGCGUGACCUAACGGUGCUUCUAGGACAUAAUAUUUCUUGGCAGCUACGAGGAUGAUCCUCAGGUUCCGGACCCAGUCCGUAUAGUUGCUGCCAUCGUCUUUCAGCUUGGUUUUCUCUAGGAACGCGUUGAAAUUGAGGACAACGUGGGCCAUUUGAUCUACAAGACAUAUUGUAAAGAUUUUAGACUAAGUUCAUGAUAAUUAAGUUCAUCUAAUCAAAUUAUACAAUGAACUCCCACUCAGAUAGACAUCCCUCCAGUCAUCUAAGUGAAACAUGAUCCAAGUUAACUAGGCUGUGUCGGAUCAUCACGUGAAACGGACUAGUCAACAUCGGUGAACAUCUUCAUGUUGAUCGUAUCUUCUAUACGACUCAUGCUCGACCUUUCGGUCUUCUGUGUUCCGAGGCCAUGUCUGUACAUGCUAGGCUCGUCAACUAAACCUAAGUGUAUUGCGUGUGUAAAUCUGGCUUACACCCGUUGUAUUCGAACGUUAGAAUCUAUCACACUCGAUCAUCACGUGGUGCUUCGAAACAACGAACCUUCGCAACGGUGCACAGUUAGGGGGAACACUUUCUUGAAAUUAUUUCGAGGGAUCAUCUUAUUUAAGCUACCGUCGUUCUAAGCAAAUAAGAUGUAAAACAUGAUAAACAUCACAUGCAAUCAAAUAGUGACAUGAUAUGGCCAAUAUCAUUUGCUCCUUUUGAUCUCCAUCUUUGGGGCUCCAUGAUCAUCGUUGUCACCAGCAUGACACCAUGAUCUCCAUCAUCAUGUCUUCUUGAAGUUGUCUCGUCAUCUAUUACUUCUACUACUAUGGCUAAUGCUUUAGCAAUAAAGUAAAGUAAUUACAUGACGUUUAUGUUGACACGCAGGUCAUAAAAAAAUAAAGACAACUCCUAUGGCUCCUGCCGGUUGUCAUACUCAUCGACAUGCAAGUCGUGAUUCCUAUUACAAGAACAUGAUCAAUCUCAUACAUCACAUAUAUCAUUCAUCACAUCCUUUUGGCCAUAUCACAUCAGACGGCACAUGCUGCAAAAACAAGUUAGACGUCCUCUAAUUGUUGUUGCAAGUUUUUACAUGGCUGCUAUAGGUUUCUAGCAAGAACGUGUCUUACCUACGCCAAAACCACAACGUGAUAUGCCAAUUUCUAUUUACCCUUCAUAAGGACCCUUUUCAUCGAAUCCGAUCUAACUAAAGUGGGAGAGAUAGACACCCGCCAGCCACCUUAUGCAAGUAAUGCAUGUCAAUCGGUGGAACCAGUCUCACGUAAGCGUACGUGUAAGGUCGGUCCGGGCCGCUUCAUCCCACGAUGCCGCCGAAUCAAGAUAAGACUAGUAACGGCAAGCAAAGUGACAAUAUCCACGCCCACAACUGCUUUGUGUUCUACUCGUGCAUAGAAACUACGCAUAGACCUGGCUCAUGAUGCCACUAUUGGGGAAUGUAGCAGAAUUUUAAAAUUUUCUACGCAUCACCAAGAUCAAUCUAUGGAGUUAUCUAGCAAUGAGGAAGAGAGGAGUGCAUCUACAUACCCUUGUAGAUCGCGCGCGGAAGCGUUCAAGAGAACGGGGUUGAUGGAGUCGUACUCGUCGUGAUCCAAAUCACCGAUGACCAAGUGCCGAACGGACAGCACCUCCGCGUUCAACACACGUCCGGUUGGGAAGACGUCUCCUCCUUCUUGAUCCAGCAAGGGGGAAGGAGAGGUUGAUGAAGAUCCAGCAGCACGACGGCGUGGUGGUGGAUGCAACAGGAUCCCGGCAGGGCUUCGCCAAGCGCAAGCGGGGAGGAGAGGUGUUACGGAGGGAGAGAGAGGCGCCAAGAGCAAGGGUGCGGCUGCCUUCCCUCCCCCCUCUUUAUAUAGGGGCCAUGGCGGGCGCCGGCCCUAGGAGAUGGAUCUCCAAGGGGGGCGAAGGCCAAGGGGUGGCUCCCCCCCCCAAGCCAAGUGGGGGGCGCCCCCACCCCUAGGGUUUCCCAACCCUAGGCGCAGGGGAGGCCCAAGGGGGCGCACCAGCCCACUAGGGGCUGGUUCCCCUCCCAAUUCAGCCCAUGGGGCCCUCCGGGAUGGGUGGCCCCACCCGGUGGACCCCCGGGACCCUUCCGGUGGUCCCGAUACAAUACCGGUUACCCCCGAAACCUUCCCGAUGGCCGAAACUGUACUUCCUAUAUAUAAAUCUUUACCUCCAAACCAUUUCAGAACUCCUCGUGACGCCCGGGAUCUCAUCCGGGACUCCGAACAACUUUCGGCUUACUACAUACUAAUAUCUAUACAACCCUAGCGUCACCGAACCUUAAGUGUGUAGACCCUACGGGUUUCGGAGACAUGCAGACAUGACUGAGACGCCUCUCCAGUCAAUAACCAACAGCGGGAUCUGGAUACCCAUGUUGGCUCCCACAUGCUCCACGAUGAUCUCAUCGGAUGAACCACGAUGUCGAGCAUUCAAUCAAUCUGUAUACAAUUCCCUUUAUCAAUCAGUACGUUACUUGCCCGAGACUCGAUCGUCAGUAUCCCAAUACCUUGUUCAAUCUCGUUACCGGCAAGUCACUUUACUCAUACCAUAAUGCAUGAUCCCGUGAUCAACCACUUGGUCACAUUGAGCUCAUUAUGAUGAUGCAUUACCGAGUGGGCCCAGAGAUACCUCUUCAUCACGCGGAGUGACAAAUCCCAGUCUCGAUUCAUGCCAACCCAAUAGACACUUUCGGAGAUACCUGUAAUGUACCUUUAUAGUCACCCAGUUACGUUGUGACGUUUGGCACACCCAAGGCACUCCUACGGUAUCCGGGAGUUUCACAAUCUCAUGGUCUAAGGAAAUGAUACUUGACAUUCGGAAAAGCUACAGCAGAUGAACUACACGACCUUUGAGCUAUGCUUAGGAUUGGGUCUUGUCCAUCACAUCAUUCUCCUAAUGAUGUGAUCCCAUUAUCAAUGACAUCCAAUGUCCAUAGUCAGGAAACCAUGACUAUCUUUUGAUCAACAAGCUAGUCAACUAGAGGCUCACUAGGGACGUGUUGUGGUCUAUGUAUUCACACAUGUAUUACGAUUUCCGGAUAACACAAUUAUAGCAUGAACAAUAGACAAUUAUCAUGAACAAAGAAAUAUAAUAAUAACCAUUUUAUUAUUGCCUCUAGGGCAUAUUUCCAACACCUACGUACCCCCAAACGAUCAUAUACGGAGCCAAAACCCUAAUUCCACCGCCGCAACUUUCUGUAUCCACGAGAUCCCAUCUUGGGGCCUGUUCCGGAGCUCCGCCAGAGGGGGCAUCGAUCACGGAGGGCUUCUACAUCAACACCAUAGCCUCUCUGAUGAAGUGUGAGUAGUUCACCUCAGACCUACGGUUCCAUAGUUAUUAGCUAGAUGGCUUCUUCUCUCUUUUUGGAUCUCAAUACAAUGUUCUCCCCAUCUCUUGUGGAGAACUAUUCGAUGUAAUCUUCUUUUUGCGGUGUGUUUGUUGAGACCGAUGAAUUGUGGGUUUAUGAUCAAGUCUAUCUAUGAAUAAUAUUUGAAUCUUCUCUGAAUUGUUUUAUGUAUGAUAGGUUAUCUUUGCAAGUCUCUUCGAAUUAUCAGUUUGGUUUGGCCUACUAGAUUGAUCUUUCUUGCAAUGGGAGAAGUGCUUAGCUUUGGGUUCAAUCUUGCGGUGUCCUUUCCCAGUGACAGUAGGGGCAGCAAGGCACGUAUUAUAUUGUUGCCAUCGAGGACAACAAGAUGGAGUUUUCAUCAUAUUGCAUGAGUCUAUCCCUCUACAUCAUGUCAUCUUGCUUAAGGCGUUAAUCUGUUUUUAACUUAAUACUCUAGAUGCUUGCUGGAUAGCGAUCGAUUAGUGGAGUAAUAGUAGUAGAUGCAGGCAGGAGUCGGUCUACUUGUCUCGGACGUGAUGCCUAUAUACAUGAUCAUACCUAGAUAUUCUCAUAACUAUGCUCAAUUCUGUCAAUUGCUCAACAAUAAUUUGUUCACCCACCGUAGAAUAUUUAUGCUCUCGAGAGAAGCCACUAGUGAAACCUAUGGCCCCGGGUCUAUCUUUAUCAUAUUAAUCUCCUACUACUUAGUUAUUUCCUUUGCUUUUUACUUUGCCUUUAUUUUACUUUGCAUCUUUAUCACAAAAAUACGAAAAAAAUUAUCUUUAUCAUAUCUAUCAAAUCUCACUCUCGUAAGUGGCCGUGUAGGAAUUGACAACCCCUAUUCGCGUUGGUUGCGAGGAUUUAUUUGUUUUGUGCAGGUACGAGGGACUCGCGCGUAGCCUCCUACUGGAUUGAUACCUUGGUUCUCAAAACCUGAGGGAAAUACUUACGCUACUUUGCUGCAUCAUCCCUUCCUCUUCGGGGAAAACCAAGGCAGUGCUCAAGAGGUAGCAAGGGUUCCUUUUUGUCGACGAUCCGAUGUUUCAACCCUGUUUUCCAGGUGGCCAACGCGUCGCUAAACUUGGUGACGGCGUGUUUGUUUAUCUUCUUCAUUGCCAGGUCCUUAUCUGGAUCUUUAUUAUCCUUUUCACUGCGGUCUGGGAACAAGAUUAUCUGGUGCAGUUUCUUAAGGAGGGAGGGCCUCAUAUUAUCUAUCUUCUGUAGUUUCCCAUCGUUGAUCGUGGCAGUUGUCCGUACGAUGCAACCUAUUUGAUUGCCGUAGCACGAUCGCGCUUCCUCGGGCGCUAUUGUCUCAAAAAUACCGCCGUCCAUCUCCGUGACCGCCAGUCUACUACUCAUGAGCUGGUUUGGGCGCUGUGGCCUCUUUGCUUUCGGUUCUAGACCAGCUCCGCUAGUCUCGGCGCCUGUCUCAGUUUCAUCAUCGGUCCGCAUGUCGGUAUCAGUCCCCGAUGCGACACCACAGUUGCUGCAACAUGGGUAAGGGAGACCACGUCAGUGGUGGGGGGUCUGAAAAUCAGAACACACUUUCGCGCGUCGCGGGCCGCCUCUCAGACAGCUACUGGGGAGGCGGUGGAGUACCUGGGUGCGCGGCGAAUCCCCGGGAACUCGGUGACCAACUUCCUUCCCGUGUGGCGCAUGGAGACGACGGCGACCCCGGCGAAGAGCAGCUUAGCCGCGAGCUGCACAGCCUCGUCCACCUCCUAAGUUGGGACCUCCGCGCGAGCGUUGCGGGGCCGCCACUCGGAUGGCUUCUGGAAGGCGGUUGUACAUGGGCACAUGGUGAAUCCCGGCGAGAGCUGGCCAUUGGCGCGCGCAAGUAGACGACGAUGUCCUCGAAGAAGAGCAGCCCGGCCAGCUCGCCUCACUAUCCUUUGAUUAGAAAUGAAAGAUUGGGAAGAAGCAGACUUGAGCCUGCAGGGAAAGGAUAAGGUGACGAUGCAGUCUCCACUCGUUCGGGGCGACACUCGUACUGAAUGUAUGAGAAACGUGACGUGGCAGAGACCCCAAGAUACUCCCUCCAUUUAUUUUUAGUCUGCAUAUAAAGUUUGGUCAAAGUCAAGAUUUGUAAAUUUUAACUAACUUUAUAAUAAAAAAAUAUCAACAUUCACAAUAUGAAAUCAAUAUUACCAGAUGCGUCAUGAAAUGUAUUUCCAUACUAUAUAGUUUUGGUAUUGUAGAUGUUCAUAUUUUUUUAUAUAUAUGGGAAGUAGAGGCACUCUUCUAUAUAAUGAAGUUUAUAAUAUAUGUGCUUAUAUUGUACUAUAAUUGUUUGAAUAACUUAGCAUAUAUUCAGAUGUAUGAUAUCUGUAAUUUAAACGCUUGAAUUUUACAUAUGAAUAUUUAUUAAUAAAUAUGUACCCCUAUAAUAGCUAGGCCGUGCAGUUGCACGGGUAGAUGACUAGUGAUUACAAUCUUGCUUGUGUGCAAGUCAAGCUUAUCUAGUUUACACGUAACAACUUAUAGAACAUUACAAAAUUUAUGCUUGCUAAUAACUUCUAGAACACUACAACACUUGACAUGUAAAAGGAAUUUGAUGAGUCAUGGCCUACUAAAGCAAGUUACAUUACUAGUCUUAUCUAUCUUAACAGACCACACAAGAUUACAAACUAUGUACCGUGACAGCCAUGCUUAUCUAGUUUAUGCGUAACAAUUUGCAGAAAAUUACAAACUUAGUUUCAGAAAGAUAGGCAAUCUAGAUUAGUGUUUGAGCUGUAAAGUGAAUAAGAUGAGUCAUGCAUGUCAUCACACCUUUUUGGUGGUGGAAUGAUAGUGCAACAACAAGGAACUUUAAUGACCAGUCCAAGAAUACACUUGUAAGUAGUGCCACCAAACAGAACAUACCAAAUGAUGAUUUUGAGAAGCAUCCAAGCACUUUCCACACAAACAAAUGCCAAUUGUGAAAGAGAUCAUUCCAUGGCAGCUAUAAAUAGCCCCAUAGCAUGACGAUCAUCCUUCCUCAUCCAUCAUUCUCAUAAGUAGAGCACAUCAUUUAAGCCAAGCAAGUUGUGGUCAAUACAAAUCCACCAUGAAGACCUUUCUCAUCCUUGCCCUCCUUGCUAUCGUGGCGACCACCGCCACAACUGCAGUUAGAGUUCCAGUGCCACAAUUGCAGCCACAAAAUCCAUCUCAGCAACAGCCACAGGAGCAAGUUCCAGUGGUACAACAACAACAAUUUCUAGGGCAGCAACAACCAUUUCCACCACAACAACCAUAUCCACAGCCGCAACCAUUUCCAUCACAACAACCAUAUCUGCAGCUGCAACCAUUUCCGCAGCCGCAACUACCAUAUUCGCAGCCACAACCAUUUCAACCACAACAACCAUAUCCACAACCGCAACCACAGUAUUCGCAACCACAACAACCAAUUUCACAGCAGCAGCAGCAGCAGCAGCAGCAGCAACAACAACAACAACAACAACAACAACAACAACAACCACAACAAAUCCUUCAACAAAUUUUGCAACAACAACUGAUUCCAUGCAUGGAUGUUGUAUUGCAGCAACACAACAUAGCGCAAGGAAGAUCACAAGUUUUGCAACAAAGUACUUACCAGCUGUUGCAAGAAUUGUGUUGUCAGCACCUAUGGCAGAUCCCUGAGCAGUCGCAGUGCCAGGCCAUCCACAAUGUUGUUCAUGCUAUUAUUCUGCAUCAACAACAAAAACAACAACAACAACAACAACAACAACAACCAUCGAGUCAGGUCUCCUUCCAACAGCCUCAGCAACAAUAUCCAUUAGGCCAGGGCUCCUUCCGGCCAUCUCAGCAAAACCCACAGGCCCAGGGCUCUGUCCAGCCUCAACAACUGCCCCAGUUCGAGGAAAUAAGGAACCUAGCGCUACAGACACUACCUGCAAUUUGCAAUGUCUACAUCCCUCCAUAUUGCACCAUCGCGCCAUUUGGCAUCUUCGGUACUAACUGAGAAGAAAAUAACUCUAGUACUAGAUAUAUGAAACACCGUUUUCUCAGUCCAUGGUUUGGUCGUUGUAGCGGUGAAAAAAUAAUGUGGCAUGCACUAUCAUGUAAGAACCCAAACUAUACUAGUUCAAACUUGGGAAUAAAAGACAAACACAGGUCUUGUCUACAUAUUUAUGUCGCAUCUAUUUAUAUAUUAAAAGUAAUAUAAGGUGAACCAGGAGCAAGGUAAAUAUGCUAGAAAAUUGCACGUUAAUUAGAAAUUACUAGCCCUCAAUCCGGUAAAUCUUAACAAAUAGAAUUAUCUUGACCGUUAGAUUUAUGUAACAUAUAUAAUUCUCUGGGCCUCCAACGACUGUACGUGACACAUCUGAACGCACAUAUGUUAAAGAAAAUAUAUUUGGUAAAUGGUGGGCCUCUUUAAAAAGAGAACUCACGUACAUGCACCAACUAAGAAAAACACAUACAUGUAAACGGGAAAAGGGCUCCACCCCGUUGAAAAAAUAUACAUCUGGAGGCCACUUUGUUUCCUCAUAAAAAAAAACUUACGUUAAAAAGAUUGCAUGCAUCCCAGGGAAAAUAGUCAAGAAGAAGUCGGACUCUUCCUUACAAAAACAAGGAACGUGUUAAGUUGACUUCAAAGAAAAAAGGAACAUGUUAAGUUAAAAAAAACAAGAAACCUGUUAAGUUAGAAAAAAACAAGGAACGUGUUGUCCUAGGAAAGAUAUGUGUCAAAUCUUACAAAAAAAAGAAUACACACACGUACGUUCAUGCACUUGGAAAAUAGAAAAAAAAAGGAACAUCACGUAUGUAUACACUUCGGAAACUCAUUACAUGACCAUGUCUGAUAUACUCCUCUAAUGCUUAAUAUUAGUGCCUAAUAAUUUAUAUUUAAAAUUUAAUUUACUGAUCAAAUAUCCCCACUGUUUAAAUUUUAAUUUGGCACAUUGUUUGGCUAUAGUAUGAACCUAAAUUUCCUCUUAUUAUUAUAUAUCAUGAUAAUAAUCCAAAGGCGACUAAUCUGCGCCGGCGCACCGGCGCAAUCAAUUCGGCCCGACACAGCGCGGCCGUUUGAUUAAAUUGCAUUUAACCGUCAGAUCUAGAAUCAUUUUAUUUCCAAUUAAACGGAUUCAACCAAACAGCAGAGGGGAAAACAAAGCAGCACCGCCGCCAACACUAGUCAUGGACGACCGAUGUAGCAAAACCUUGAAGAACCGCCGCCGGUCGCCACCCUCGCCGCUGGUCGCCGCCCUCGCCGCCUGCGUUUCUCAUCGGCUUCAUGCAUGCAACAACAUGCACUCGUGAUUGCAGGCUUGCAGCUCCGGCUCCGGGGGACAUGGCCGCAUCUCCGGUAGCGCCGGCCGCCAGCCGCAGCACCUGUCGUUGUGGUCACGCUGUACCUCGCCGUGUGCCCUCCCAAGGCUCUUGCUGGUUCCAACAAAAAACGAUACCUAUUGUAGCAAAAAAGUUUAUCGCUUCCAGCAAAAAAGCUUACCGCUAUAGCCCGCCAUCAUCAUUGUAGCAAAAAUGUUAACUCGAUGUAGCUUCUGUGGUUGCCGACUGCGGCCAAAAAUGACGUGGUUGUAGCAAAACACAAAAGAAAAACGCCGGCCGUCCGCUGUGUAUGGUGGUAACAAACCCUAUAGCCGGUGGUAGCGAAAAACUUCACUGUUUGCAGCAAAAAAAUGUUGUCGCCCGUCGUCGAGGUUGCAUCAUCUUCAUGAAUUAUGUCGCAAAAAAACGUUGUCGCCGGUAGUAGCAAAUGAAGCCGCCGGUAGUAACAAAACAAGACACUGGUUCCAGCCAAAAAAAUCAGCGACAGAACCUUUUGUUGGUUCCAACAAAAAAACUUGUCGGUUGUAACAUCCCUCGCCGCCGGAUGUAGCAUCUCCCAGGGCUAGUUGCAACACUCCAUAAAAAAAGUUGUCUAUGAGCGCAUCCAUGGCAACUGCUGCACCGUCAGCAACGAGGGGAAGAGGAGGCAAUGAAAAUCGUUCGAGUCGUAGCUCCACUGGACACGGCUGCAGCAUGGGGAGUCCAAAAAUCUGUCACAAGCAAGAUGCGCCUCGCCAUCCUCCUGCGCAGGAGAGAGAAGAAAAAGGAAUAAGAGGAAGAAGAAACGAAACGGGAGAAAGAAAAAAAGAAACGAUUGGUUGUGGGCUCAGGCAAUUAGUCAAAUGAGGGGCACGCGGGGCCGUAGGAUACAGCGCAAUCGAACGAAGUGCGCGCGUCCGGCCGAAGACUCAGCUGGACUGCCGGUCCAGCUGGAAAUGUUUCCCUAAUACAAAGGCUUUUCUGAAUGACAAGUCGUCUGAGUUAUCGGCUAACUAGAAAAAAGAUAAAUAUGCUAGAUAAUUCCAUAAUAAUUAGAAAUAUCUAGCCUUUAAUUAUGUAAAUCAGAAAAUCACAACCGUUGGAUUUACUUUAAAGGUAAAUUUCUCUAAAUUCCCACCAUUGCCAGUAUGUAGAAACAUGUGCUGCUUCAAUUCUCCCUUAAUCACCAAUCAAUCAACAACUGAAAACAUACCUCAGUUAAAAAAACUGAACAAAAAAAAGAAAAAAAGAAGAAAGGACAAGAUACACGCAUGUACACGACAGCCUUGGCUUGAAACACAUCAGUAGAUCAAGUGUCCGCCUCCCUUACACAGAAUAAAUUCUAGGGAAGAAAAUAAUAGUGCAACCUAACCUUAUACGUACUAUUCUAUCCUCACGUCCCAUGAGGUUUACUAGCCUACUGCCGCCGCAUCAUGCCAUCCUCUCCUUUCAGCUCCCUCCUUGCGGCGCCACUACUCGCCUAGGGAUAUUGCUGCUCAGACCGUGGAGCUUAACCUGCUUCUUCUUCAGCAAAUAUGGAACUGCUUUAGGAUCCUUCUGACAUCAGCGCGUAUGGGCCUCAUUAUACUGCAGCUCCUGGACCUCCUACAAUUGGUUGGCUAUGGCCAGUUGAUCGAUGUGCUGAAGUCCAGGUCUGUUUGCUGGCACAUAUGCUUUGGAAAUAGGCCACUAUGUUUGUACUUCGAAAUUGUUUCUGUAUUCUUCAGUGGUACAUCCUUUUAAGCGCCAGUUUUUUAUGUUAAUUCAUGCUGACAACACUUAACCUAGCCUUUCAUGUUCACGUACUAAAUACAGGAGCAAGUAAAAACAACAGACCACCUAAUUGCUCUGCAAGUUCUACAUAGGAAAAUUUGUCAUGUUCUACGAUCGCACCAUCCCACCCUUCUCUCUUGGUAUGGGCGCCAAUUGAGGGAUUGAUAAAACUGAAACGAAGACGUCACAGGGCUGGAAGUACCGCUAGCCUGGUUCGCACUGCAACCUACCCAACGCCAUCAGAAACUAGCAACUGAGUCAGGUGUUGAUCGAUUCUCUCAAAUUGCUCUCAUGUAAGUACUACCCCUUGCAUGUGCGUACAUACCUUUGUUGCAUUCUCAAACAGAUAGAACAUGUAUGAUCGGUGCAUGGCUAUUUUUCAUCACAUGACAUCCAGAUAACAAGCAUGAAAGGACUACAUUGGAGAUCAAAAAAUAUUGGUUCCUGGCUAGAGUACCACUACCUAUGGACUUGUCUCCAUAGAAUUUGUUCCCAAGAUGUUAUUUUAAUUAACCUCUUUAGCUUUCUUCCGUUGCAAACGGUGAUGUGCAUCAUGGUAUAUACGUGACCAUCUUGCACAUGUAUACACAAGAGGCUCAGACGGAGGUGCUGGAUUCUGGACGAGGGAAUAUGAAGCAGGAGUGAGCGAAGAGUAAAUAAUGGUGGGAGUACCGAUUGGUGUUAUGAAGAAAAAUGCCAUCCAAAGAUUGAUUAGUGUCAUGGAAGAUUAAUUUCUGAAUGCGAAUAUAUAUGUUACAUUGGUUUGGAUCUUUUUGAGAUAAUUGCACCUAAAUUAGGUUCUUUCUUAUUUCAUAUGUAUACCUUAUUUCAGUAAAAGUUCACAACGAACUUAGUAGGACAAAUAUAAUUUUGUUUGUUCUUUCUGUUGUCCGCCACCAAAGCUCAGUUUGAACUCUCUAGAAAUGGACAAUGAUUUAUGCAUUCUAUAUCUUCUUGAUUGAUUAGCCAUGACAAGGAAAUAAAAGGAUUGACUGAUAUAGCAUAACUUUGGAACGAUCUGUUCGUAGAGGUUACUACAAAUUAGAGUAGUGUCUGUUGGAAUUUUGCUAGUAGGCCUUUGGCCCAAAGCCCAACUAAAAUUCUGAAAUUCUCUUCGCUCAUUCAUGCACACAUGUGAGUGGAGUGAGUGAGACUAAAGUUUAGAGAGAGUUGCACCUCUUUAUAAGGUGAGCUCUUCUACCACUUGUAUGAGCAUGAGAAGAGGAGACCUAUACACGCGCUCCUCCUCCUCGCUCACCACGUCUCGUCACGCCGCGCCGCGCCGCGGAUUGCGGGAUUGAGCCGAGCCGAGGACGUUGUCUAUAUUUUUGCUGUUUGGGAAAAAUUAAUAAGUCAUUAAUUAAUAAUUAAUGGAUGCGUUAAUUACUGAACCAUUUUCGAUUCUUUUGGAUCGUGACGACUCGGACGUGGGGUUUACUCCCACGAUCUACCCGGCCCACACUAUAUAGUCAGGCAGACGUCUACCCUAGCCGCCGCCACUUCGUAUGGUUUCUCACCACCGUUACAGAUCGUUGCGCCGCCAAGCAAGUUUUCUCCAUUCCUCCUGUCGGCAUGCACUGGGAGAAGGGACAGCAGGCCUCCGGAACCCCGCCUCUCGUGAUCCUGUACGGGAGAGGGGCGAUCAGAUUUUUGGGGAGCGCACUCGCACGACUGCUGGCAGCGACGACUUCGCAAACGACGACUUCUUCCCCGACCUCGGCAACCUCAUCCUCGACUUCUGCACCGUAUGUUAUUCUAUCCUUCUUGUUCGAGAUCGUGGUAGAAUUCAGAUUUCUAGCAUGUUCCCUAGAUGUGAUUUGUUCAUCUACUAUUCUAAUUCGCAUGAUUAGUUUAAUCUUUGCUAUUGCUGUCAUGAUCUAUUUCCUAUUUAUUCGGAUUAAAUCUCGUAGUAAUUUGCUCAUUUUUCCAACAGUGCCAUCUAAUAGAUGAUGUAAAUCUCCUCAAGUUUGACGUUGUUGAGCUAAUUUACAAAAAAAACCUCAUCAUUAUUGGAUGUCCUUAACAGCUCAAGAACAAGUUGGGGUCGAAAUAAUGGAUUUUACACUUUUACAUUAAAGGUUUAGCUAAAGCAAGCAGGUGUUUUUAAACCUGAAUUUUUUUCCUCCUGAAUUUCUUUGUAUUUUCUUAUUGACACUAUUUAUACAAUCAUCUGACAAAGAUUAGCUAAAGCUGUUUGUAGAUACGUUCAAACCUGAAAAGCUUCUUUGGUUAUCCUUUUAAUAGUUCUACGUUUAUUUUCUCAUAGGUCUUAAUUCUUAUGUAAUACCAAGAUGCAUUGUGGUAGUGUACAUGUGUUAAAUUCAGGUUGUUAUUCACAAUUUGCGACAAAAUUUAGCUCACGCUACAUUUAAAUAUGUUGAAAUGUGAAAGCUCUUUUUCUUCUCCUUUCUACACCUUGCAUCGGAUUGCAUCCCUUUAGUUAUCCAACAUUUUGUACAACAUGUAGAGAUUAGGAAGUUCAUCAUAGUUUGUCUAUUUCCGUGCUAAUAAAUGUAUGAAAUCUGCAUUUCCAAGCUACUAGGACAAGUAAAAAAUAAUAAUUUUACUAUAGGAUUCAAAAACAGCAGUUCUGAAGUGCACUUUAUUUAUUUGUGAAAGUGAUCACAUUUUGUUUCAUUUUUCUAUAGACAAAUCUACUAAUACAUACUCACGAUAAAACUAUAAAAGUUCUAGUCCGCACAUUGGGCGGGCCACCCGGCUAGUUAGUCUAAAGAUAACAAAAUGAGUCUGGAAUUUGAAUUAAAUUGAAGUAUUUUCUUGGACUAUCCACAUCCUUGGCUUGCCCCUGAUCAAUUAUUUCCAGAGAAGCAUUCAAUUCAUCAAUCAAUUACAUUGAUUUUAGUGGCUGGUACUUCUCCUCGACAUCAGUAUAUUCACCGUGGCCACUCCAAAUCGGCAAGAAUGAGGUACCAGUGCUCUGGAGCAGUGCAAGCUAAUUGCUUCUCAUGUGAAGGGGUGCGGGCGCGGGAGAGGUAUUUCUGGUGGGCCAAGGGAUAAGAAGCGACCGUGGCAGCGGUACAGACGCCCGCAAAGCCCCAUAAUUUGUUUUUGGUUUACAGGAAAAAUGCACAUCCAUACCGGCCUGGGGAAUAUAGCACUGUAUUGCAUGGAAAACCAUGUCCGGAUGGUUGUGAGCGGUUUGAGGGUUAGCUUUUGUAACGCCCGGUUAGUUAUGCUAUAGCAAUUCCCUGCUAAUGAUGUCACGUCACCACGAUUACUGUUGUUAACCUCACAAUGAUUCAAUCCCGUUCAAAUUCAAAUUUGAAAUAAAGGUAAACAUCAAAAGUUUUCAAACAUUAAAACUAAAAUCUUUGAGAGGUGACAAAUAAUGCAUAAGUAAUUAUGGUGAAGAAACCACACUUUAAUCAAAUGUUUAAAUACUCUAAAAUGAAAAAAAAACAGUGACUUAAACUAUUAUUUAAAUGCUUUUAAAAUAGUAAAAAUCUUCUAACUAAAUUAUUUGGGUACCAAACUUUUGGUGGCAGUGGUAUAUUUAGUAGAACUAAUUUAGAUGCUAAUUAUAUAAUUUACAAAAUUAGAGUAAAUUGAAAAAUAGGAUAAAACGGAAAAAGGAAAGACAAAACAAAUAAAAGCAAAAGGGGGCAACCCCUCGCUGGGCCUCGGCCUAGCUGGCCACUAGACUAGCUAGGCUGGCCCCGCCGCCUCCCUUAACCCCCCACUCCCCAUCGAACCCAAGCCCGAUCGCCCCAUUUCCCACACACCCCCUCGCUAGUCUCCCCACCUCUUGAUCCCAUCUGGAUCGGGGAGGGUAUUGCCCCCAUCAACCCCGUUGCCGUCGCCGGAUCGCCCGCCGACGUCGGCAGGCCUCCUCCCCGUCGCCCGUCUCCGGCUCACCUCCCCUCUCGCUCCUCUUCCCCGACCCGAUCUGGAUCGUGAACGAGCAAUGAGCUCGAAGCCCCCCUUCACCAGCGCCAUCACCGUGCGCCACCACCACCACCUGAAGACCUCACCGUCGCUGAACCUUGCGUCGCCUCCUUGUAUCCCUCCCCUACUCGCAUCCUCAAGCCAGGCCGAGCCCCUUCUCGGCAACGCUGUGAGACGCCCCCGUUUCCCUCCUCUUUCCACCGCGUUCACCGCGCCGCCCGCCGUGCCCCUCGCCGUGCAUGAGCCCACCACCGCACCAGCCCCCGCUCCGCGCACGACCCUACCCGCGCCCGCGCCAUGAUCCCCUUUUCCGCCCUACCUUCACGCGCUCGCCGCGAUCCCCAUGCUCCCCCGCGCCCUCUUUCGGGGGCGCCGACUGCCCCUGUCCCGGUGCUCGCCGCCGUGCCUCGCCACCGCUCUACUGCUACGUUACUACUGCGCUGCGGCCGCCGCCUCUUCCCGCUGCUCCGCUAGCGCCGAAGCUCCCGGUUGGCUCCACCACUGCUCACGUUAAACCGCCGGCCUAAAUGGCCUAACCCUCGGCUAAUGAACCCCCACUAACCCACUGACACCGGGACCCACAUUCCCUAAUUAACCAUUUAAUAAAUUAACAUUAGUGUAUGACAUGUGCGUCCCCUGUUAAUUAAUAAUUUUACUGCUAGUUUUAUUAGUUUCUGUUUUUCUGCAUAUUUCUUUUGUAUUUGAACAGGCUUUAUACAAUAAUAUUUAGCGUAUCAUACACAUACAAAUGUAAUCAUAGCAUAUACAUACAAAUAGUCUCAUCAAAUCAUGUCAUCAUCAUAAUCAUCAUCCAUCACAAAGUGGUCUCUGGUCAUCAUCUCGAAAAUAGCGAUACAAGUCUCGAUUACUUGCAACUACAUCGUCAUCCAUCUAAACAAUGAUAUACACGAGAAGAGCUCUCACUAUGAGUGAGAGCGGAACUAUGCAGUACAUGAGUUUGUAUCCCUCUCUCGCAUUAGCGUGAACCUAAACUAACGACUGGCUGUUGCUCGGAAACCGGAAACCGGUACACCUGGGCCUGACACUCCGGCCACUCAUCGUAUACUCCUGGCGUAGCACUUCUUCGCCAUCGAUGAUCUAUGCACCUGCAUCGUCACAUGAGUCGAUGAUAUGCAACAUAUAUAGUUGAGCAACAGAAAGAGACAGACUUGGCAAAAAUAGAAGCAACAUAUCACAAGUAUAAAUAACAAAGUUAAUGUUUUGCAGGAUUACAACUCAACCCAUUGCAGAUUAGAAAACAAGCCCGUAUGAAUGCACAGGCUGACGACUAGUCUAUCUAUACCUAUACCUAUACCUAUACCUAUACCUACCUAUACUAAUUACAGACUCCCAAGGAAUUCCCACGUUAAUUAGUAAUUAGGAGUCGUUAAUCUUGUGGGACCAAAUUAUUACGACAGUCCACGAUCUCUUUUCUCUCUGUGUAAAAAAAGGUCCACGAUCUCUUUUCUCGGUUGUAAAAGAUAAAGGCAACUCAGGUCCACGAUCUCUUUUCACGGUUGUGAAAGAUAAAGACAACUCCCGUCUUCUUCUAAUCUAUAGUUCUAUACCUCCACGACCCCUUUCUCUCCCCAUUUAAAAGGAACAAGCUGAACCAAUAUCUAAGCAUGCAAUUGGUUCCUGUGCGGUCUUGACCUUCCAUCCGUCCACUGCUCGAUCGGCCCUCCCUCAACUACAAGCUGACAAGCCACCAUCGCCAUCCAGCGGCACGCCACCGUUCAUGCAUGUGUUUUUGCCCUUCAAUCUGAAGGAGAUGCGUUGGCUACUCAAGUAACUCUGUUUGUUUUGUUCAAACCAAUUUCGUUAAUUCGGUUCUUUGAUUAUCUAAUUGACAUGGCCUGUGAGUUUUGUGCUAGUGAUACAGGGCCUGUCUACUAGAUUCUCUCCUUGCAACUUCUAUUGUUGUCUCGAUUUGGUGUGGUCAAGAUCCUUGCCCCACCACAAGCAGCACCUUUGCACCAUCGGGGAAAUCUGUCAUAGCAAACAGAGGUAUGUAACAUGCUUUGGUGUUUUCCUCUUUCGUUUAGAUCACUAGAGUUGCUCAACCACACCAUUCAUUGAUUAGUAGUUGGCCUGAGAAGUUGCUCGGUCACCUGCAGCGUCUGAUCCCCUUCUUGACCCUCUCCUUCUGGUCAUUAUCCACCGGCAGGUCAAUGCAAAACGGAUCGUUCGUUGCCGCCACCUUGCGGAGACCGAUGUUUGGCUGCCCUCCUGCCAUCCUGGCACUCUGGUACCGGUCACUGUGCCGUUGUUCUAGAAGAACUAUGUCACACGAAGCGAGAUAUCUUCUUACUAAUCUGGAACAUAAGUGUUUCUUCUUACUAGGAUUCGCUCACCGGUGCAUUCAUCUCUUUUUGGAAAAUACGGCCUUCAUAUUUCACACGCCUAUACAUGGGUGCUGUCCCAACAAUAAUCCAUCUAAUCCAUGAUGCACAUUCAUGAAGACUGAUGUGACUGAAUUAAUAUAUCAAUCUGGUGCUUCCGGAUCAGCACUUGAAGAAGCAACCCCUUUAGUUCAUAAAUUUAUCAUACGAAAGUCAGGGGAAAAAUCAACUAAGUCAUGUGUGCUUUUCUAAUUAAUUACUAUACACUAAUUCCAUUUUUUUCAGUAGCAGGCUAGGAUACGUGGAUUGUGGCAGCACAGAAGUAAACCGAUGAGCUACAUUGGCCGUUCACCAGUCAUCGGAUCAGAAGCCAUGUCGACCAGAGGGACGGAACAGUUCUAUAUUAGGCGAUGGAUACAUGUGGAAGCAACUAAGCAUAUGUGGAUGCAUGUGAUCGCAUAGGUAAGGCCAUAGCUGUUCAAGCCCUACAGGAUCUUUAUUGCUGGUUUUAAUUAUGAGUUUACAACACCAUCUAUACAUACUACUUAUCCAUUUAUUUCCUUACCUUCUUUGUUUCUUUCUCUCCUUGAUCCCCUGUCAAAAGGGCAUCAACAUCCAUAUGCGCAACGGCACACGCAACAAACUAUGACUUCGGUUGCACGUCCAAUGGCAACCACAGUACAUGAUGAUAUCAUGUUUGCUGCAAGACGAAGUACAAGUUCAUAAUUUGGUCUUUUGCAUGGUCCCUUAGUAAAUUAUAUUUGUCCACAUACACCACAUACAUAAAAACAGGUAGAAGCGGUUGCAUGAUGAAAAUGUCCUCUCAAUAUGCAUGCCUAUGAAUACUAUCACCAGAAAGCCAAGGACUAACAAUUAUUCAGGGGUCAAGAUUGAAGACAGACGUCCAAGAUUGGCAGUCGGCCGGCCUAAGAGGGGCAAAACCGUUGUACAUUAUAUUGUAUGGACCUAGCAAGAUCCUAAAGAUAAGUGAUAAUGGAGAUCAUGGGGGCCACCCUUAUAACCAUAUGUCCAAAUGUUCUUAUUUGUUUAUUUUUCUUUUCUCUUUUCGGAAGAAUCCAUCCUGCCUCUAUGGUCAUCCUGACCACUUCGUAUUGUUAUCUAAUCUCCUCCCUUAAUUAAUAUAAAGAAUUACCGCAGCUGAAUUCACUAAAAAAAGUAUUCAGUUUAUUUUAAUUUAUUCAACUAUUAUGGCAUAUCAAUUGGAUUGCAAGUUCUUGGCGGUUGCAUUUGAAUCAUAUUUGAUGUGCACAAAGGCUUCAGUGUCAAGGUGGUCGGACGAGUAUUUAUGUCCAUUAUAUAUGUGUUAGCUUGAGAUCAUCAGGCACCUGUUAUGCAUCUGUCCAGUUAAAAGGAUGUUCAGACUCAGGCUUGCCCUACCAUAUAUGGCUGUGACACUCUGAACCAAGCAAGUUGGUCAUAUGUGUCGAGCACUAUUAACUCUUUGGAAGAGGAUCCACCAAGUACAGGAAACAAAUCAAAUAUCUUCUUAACCUUAUCACCAGAAAAAUUAGCAAGAGAUGAAUAGUAACAUUUUAAAGAAGAAAGAUAUGUUUGAAAAGGGAUAUAUAUUAUGGCGACGAUUAGAAGAGCCCUUGACGAAUGGUGCCUAGCCUGCGAAAGUUUCUUAUGAAUAUAGUCAACACUCUAUAUCAACUGUUGUAAGAUUUUAGAAAUAUUUUUGGGGACAUAUGAUACAUGUCUAUUAUACAUAUGAUUCAACAGAAGUUUGAUUGAAUACAUAUUUAAAACGUGACUGACUUCUAUAUGGACGGAGUAUUUCACAAAGGACUCACUGCCAACUGUGUGAAUAUUCCAAGAUAGUUAGUGCACAUAAAUGUUCAAAUCCAUAGCCUGCAUAAAUAUACAAAAGCAAUGUGUUAGACCACUACACAUGCUUCUGAAAGGAGGCAAAAAAAUGUAUGCUUGAUUGAUGACCGUUCAUGCAUGAAAUUAAUUUCUGAUUUCUAAUUAUUUUGGUCAUAUAAUGGAAAUAGAGACAUUAUAAAGAUCCAACAGCAUGCUAUCACACACGUGUGAACACAGACACACACAAAUAACAUUUGCCGAGCACUCACAAAUAAAAGGUGUGGCUACUCUUGGGUGUUCUACAGCUGGCUUAAAAAAACACGUAUGAAACAUGAUCCCCAAAAAUCUGAAAUUCGCAACAUAUGAAAAUCCACCCUCAAACAUAUUUCUGGUGUCUCAAUUCUUUUAGUUUCAGAUGGUAUGUCCAGCCAAAGUAGUUGUACACAUACAUUACUAUGUUCUAUUAUUUGAGAUUCUAAGACAACAUUUAGUAACUAGCCCGUGCGAUGCACGGGUUCACGACUAGUAUAUAUAAAGCUUAAUGGUGCCUAAGAAAGCUCGCACAAUUUUACAGUGGCUGUGGAGAUGUGUUGCCAAACUGAGACAUAAGAUUUUCGUUUGGCAUCCAGAGUUGCAGACCGCUUGUGUUAUCCUUAAUCCAUGGCCACUCUAAUUUUUCCGGCUGGGCCUUCCCUGUGGUACGGCAGCAAGGCUUGCGUGUGUAUAUGUUUCCUUUAACUACCACUAGCACAUAUGCCCGUGCGUGCGUUGCAAGGGGAGAGAUAAUGGCGUAUCCACCAAUAUAUCUAGCAGCAUGACCCAACAACAUCCGAAUGAUGUCACCCGACGACGGCAGGAAGGCACACACAGAGGUCUAGUAAAAACUCAACAAUUGUACGGGCAUGGUUAAUUCGCGUGAAUUCAAGGGUGUGAGAUUAGUUAGUGUUGGUCCCACAAUUGAAUUCGGGGGCUGAUUAGUUAGUGUGGGCCCACCCUUGAAUUCACCGGGGGAGACAAAAUAAUUAGGGUGAGGAGAGAUUUACGGGGCUUGGUCCCCAGAUGCGUUGCGGCAGUCAUUAUUCGAGCAUUGCAAUGCUCGCACGUGAGGAGCUCUUUUUCCAAUUGUAUAUUGAGAAGCAUUGCUACAGAUACAAUGUUUUUGAUACGUUUUUGUACGAUGAUCCUGAUCUUAAAGGGCCUUCUAAUUUUUAAAUCUUAAAGGCAUUAUUUGUAAGUUGUCGUGAAAAAAAUCUCGCUAAAAGGGUUAUGUUAGACCAUCUUCAGUACAUUAGAAAUAACGAAUUAUAAUUCCUUGGCAUUUGAACAAACAAUCCCUACUUAUUUACACAUACAAUACUUUUGGUAUGAUUUUGAAAUCUUGAAGGCAUUAUUUGUAAGUUGAAGCAAUUUUGAAAUCUCACUAAAAGGUCUGUUAGACCAUCUAUAGCUUUAGAAAUAACUAAUUAUAAUUUUGCAAAAAAAAGAAAUAACUAAUUAUAAUUCCUUAAGCAUCUGACCGAAACGACCCCGAUUUAUUGUCUGGGUAGUAAUUCCUUUGCAACAUUAUUCUCUCCUUUCUUGAAGGAACUCUUGCCUGGGUAGUAAUUCCUUUGCCCACGUAUUUGCAAGGUUAUUCUCUCCUUCAUUUUUACAGGAGCUCUCCUUCCUUAUACUAAUUGGUCAUUAUCCUCUCCUUCCUUUUUCUUUUUGCCAAACUCUCUUUCCAUAUUUAUGCCGCUAACCACGCCACUCUUUUUCCUUAUUUAUGCCCUUUGAUCACGCCACACAUCUCAUGAAAUCUAAGCCAUAUAUAUCACCCAUCUUUUUUCCUUAUUCCGGUGCUUUCCUCACAAACAGUAGUUCUCUAGGAUGCUUAACGAUUUUGAAACAGAAACAUAUAUAAAUCGGUAGAACGGGUUGUAAAGCAGCGAGGUGGUACUAAUUUAUAAAGAAACAAACCUUUUCUUUUUGUGUAAUGAUGCCUUGGUUCGGCUGGUUGCGUUGGGAAAAGGACCGGCGAAGUGGGCGAACCAAAAACGGAUAAAAUUACGGUGGUAAGAAGCGAUAGCCCUUUUAUUAGUAGGUAUGAGGAUGUCUAGGAUGUCUAGGAUGAGGAUUUACUGCACACAAGUGCGGGGGCACUCAGGUCCUGAUGCCGCCUUUUUAUUUUGGCUUCCGAUUUUCAAACUUCUAUAUCUUUUAAACAAAAAAUUCAAUUUAAGUUACGUUUUCAUAUUCGUGCUUCUCGCGGCCAGCGCUUUCAAAUAAGAUCCAUUUUGCAUACAUUUUGGUGGCUUUUGGAAACGGGCGAAUAGCUCCUAUGCGACGUUGUUGGUGUGUAUUGUCUCUCAUGCGACGUUGUUGGCUGUAAUAGCUCUCAUGCGACAUCUGCGUUGGAAAAAAUAGCUCCCAUGCGACACACCAUUUACGCGGCUAGUUGGCUGUUAGUUAGGCUGAGGUUUGGUUAGGACACUGGGGGUUAUGUGCUCUGACUGGUGGGGUCCACCUAUGGUCACGUAGACAAGAGUCAACCGUCCACGACUCGACCUGGGACUGUGUGACCGUGCUCGACUCACCCGUGCUGGACUGAGUGAGCGGUGCCGCCGUAAGCAUCUUCUCCGACAGCGGUUUCUUCUCCGCGGUGGUGGAGCGCAUUUCUCGGCAGCGGCAGAGCUAUUGCGAGGUGAGCCCGAAACCCUAGUCCCACUCCCCAGAAUUUUGGGGGAUCUGUGGCCUCAUGCUGCCCUCUGUUUCUUGGCGAUUUAGAAUCGGGCUCCAUUGGAUCCGGGGGUUGUUUCUUCUCCGUGGCCCGGUGGUGGAGCGCCUAUCUCUGUAGCGGCUAUUGCGAGUGAGUAUUUUCCAAACACUACUCGCAUUCCACUAAAUUUUGGAUAAAUCUGUGGCCUCAUGCUGCCCCUAUUUCUUGGCGUUUUAGAAUCUCGAUUGGAUAGGAGAUGGAGCGAGGGCUGGAUGAGAUGGAGCGAGGAGACAGUGCUUCAAAUCGGUAAUGCCACACUCUUUUCUUGGCGAUUUAGAAUCGAACUCGAUUUGGUAGUGACUGCCGCCGCUGCCUGCCAUUGACAAAACAGGGGAGGUUCAAGUUCUGCCACCACAUUCACAAUUAUAGUGGAAUUUUUUCCCUGUAAAGCCAAGCUCAGUGAUGGCAGUGUCCAAGACAUUGAUAGAGAUACCACCGUGAGGUUCGAUGUCGAAUUUGCAGAUGUUGAUCCCCAGGAAUUGGAGAGCAUGAAGGAGAAGGCCGUGGGCAAUUUGGUGGAGAGAAUUGGGGAGAAUAUUGUUUGGGGUCCAGAACAAGAGGUAUGUCUGCAACGUUUCGAUAACUAUAAUGGUGAAUAUGUGAGAAUUGAAGAUGGAGAAUCCAUGGUUGCUGAAAUUGAUCAGCAAGAAGGGUGGGCAACUAAACAAGUAACAUUUUAUGCAGAGCUAAUUGAUCUACAAACUCAUUCCAGAGUUGGUUAUGUGCAAUCAAAGAGGGCUGCACAGAUGGAAGAUGAUGAGUGGGUUUCACAAAAGAAGAUGUUGGCAUUGUUGACUGAACCGACUGUAGUAGCUGAAGAUACAGGGAUUGAUGCAGAUGGAGAGGAGGGAACCCAUGGUGCUAGGAAGAUUGUUGUUGACUGGAAUGUAGUAGAGUUGAAUGAAAAAACAGAUUUGGUCAUUACACCAAUAUCUGACAUUGAUAUGGCCGAAAUGUUUGGCAUUCAAGUUGAUGACAAAGAUAAGGAGAAGGAUGACAGUUCUUUGCCUGCUGAAGGAACAUAGGCCCUAGAAAUGCAAAUGAGGAUGAAGAACAGCUGAUGAGAGAGGCUGCAGAUGAUGUGGAUGAUGCAGAUGAUAAUGAGUUGGUUUGUUUGUAUGACAAAGAGAACCCAGUUAUUGAGGUGGGAAAGUUGUGGCCAAGCAUGAAGGAGUUUAGGAUGUCUUUCAGGACCUAUGCAGUGAAAAAGAGUUUGAUGCCAAGACUAUGUGGACUGAUUGAAAGAAAUUUUAUGCUCGGUGCAAAGGUUAUGAUGGUGGUGGCAAUCCUUGCAAAUGGUACUUGUCUGCCAGACUACAACCUGAUUGAAGUACAGUAAGGGUAAAUCAAAUACCACACCAGCAUACAUGUAUGACCACUUCACAGAGAGUUUCAAAGAUGACAUCACAGCUUUGGGUUACAGAGAAGAUUACUCCUAUUUUAGCCAAGACUCCAAACACUACUGCAAAGAGGCUUAAAGUUGACUUGGAGAAGCUGUACCCCAUCCAGCUGCAAUAUACCACAGUGUGGAAAGCAAAACAAAGGGCCAUGAAAUCAUUGUAUGGUGACUGGGCAAAUACAUUUAGGAUGUUGUAUAGUUUUAAAGCAGAGGUGGAGAAGAGGUCACCUGGGAGUGUGGUGGAGAUAGAUACAGAGGUAACAGAGGAUGUCAUGGUUUUAUUCAGCAAGUUUUUUAUGUGUUUGAAGCCAUGCAUAGAUGGAUUCAAAGCAGGUUGUCGUCCAUAUUUGAGCAUAGACUCAUCUUUUUUGACUGGAAAGUGGAAUGGUCAGUUGGCUGCAUGCAAUGCUCUAGAUGGACGCAACUGGAUGUUCCCAAUUGCAAUAGGAAUGUUUCAAUCAGAGACAGAGGCAUCAUGGAUAUGGUUCAUGAUGCAACUGAAAAGAUGUAUAGGGCCAGUUUCUCCUUUAGCCAUCCACACAGAUGCAUGUAAAGGGUUCGAAAAUGCAGUAAAAAAUGUUGUCCCCCAUGCUGAGCAGAGGGAGUGCUUUGGACAUAUGUGGAUGAAUCUGAUAAAAAAAUUAGAGGAGAUGAAUUUGGGCGCAUGUGGCCAGCAGCAAGAUCCUACACCAGACAGACACAUUCCUAUCACCUUGGUAAGAUAUUGGCAUCAUGUAGUGAUAAUGAAUUUGCUUCAUGGUUGAACACCCGCCAUUCUCUGUUGUGGUAUAGAUCAGGUUUUAAUACUGCCAUAAAAUGUGAUAAUAUCAAUAACAACUUGGCAGAAAGUUUUAACAACAAAGUGAAGGAUUUGAAAGACUUGCCUGUGCAUGACAUGGUGGACCAAAUAAGGAUCAUGAUCAUGCGUUUGUGGGAGUUGAGAGGAAAAAUUGCUAAUAUUUUGGAAGGGGACAAGCUUCCAGCAGUGGUACAAUAGGUGGUCAACAGGAGUAGAAAUCUUUCACAUCUAUCUGUUGAGAAAUCUUCCUUGUGGGGUGCUGAAGUUAGAGAUACAAAGAGUGGCAAGAGGCAUGUGGUAAAUACUGAGUUGCAUGAGUGUACUUGCCGAGAGUGGCAACACACUGGAAAACCAUGUGAGCAUGCCAUACUUUUUUUGGCAUCUAAACCCAGGUUAAAUAUGCACCCAUAUUUGCAUGAGUAUUAUUCAGUACAAAAAUUCAAAGCUGCAUAUGCAAGUCCAAUUCCUGCACUGACUGACCAAUCUCAGUGGCCUGAGGUGGAAAUAGAAUUUACCUUGUGUCCCCUGUCACUAGAAGAAAGGCUGGGAGGCCUAAACAGAGCAGAUUCAAAGCUUGGUUUGAGAAAGGUGGUUGUAGUAAGAAGGGGAAAAAAGAAAAGAAAAAGAAUGAUAAGCCCAAAAGGGCUCAAAAAGGUAAGAAAAAUAGGUGCAAGUUGUGUGAGGUACUUGGGCACAGAAUUGGUUCAUCCAAGUGCAUCUAUACUCCUCAGAGGACAAAGUAUGUUCAUGUUACUGUUUUUACAAGUUUUUGAUUUUGUUACUUGUUCUAGUAUCUAACCAAGUCAAAUGCUUUAUUUUUUAGGAGGAAGCGUGCAGAAAAAGCCCCACCUCUUGUUGUUGAACAAUGCUGGCCAGUGAAAAAAGCAAGACUCAAUGGCUAUAUAGAAGGAAGAGCACUAAGCAGAUAAUGUUUGGUGACAAAGAUAUGGAGCUAACUGAAACUGUUACUGCUGAACAUGAGCUAAGUGUUUCUGUUUUGGACGAUGUGAUGCAUACUGAAUCUGUUUUGCAGACGCUAGGGCAAUCUGAAACUGUUGCAGAUGAAGCAACGGUUGUGCUGCCAUGCGAAUCUGCUUUGACAACUGUGUUGCCAUGUUUGGAGGUUGUGCUGCCAAGUGUUGAGUUGCAAACUGAAGUAGUUGAACAAUUUGUGCCAUCUACUCAAUCUGCAGAAGUGCAAACUGAAGAAGUGCAAACUGAAGAAGUGGGACAUGGUCAGGUGAAAAAGUUGAGGGGGCCUAGUGGAGUUUGCAAGGGGCCAAAAAGCAAGAGCAUCAACAUCAACAAACUAUGCGCCGUGGAACCAAACGAUGGAAAAAAGCAGAAGAAAUCGAGUGGUAGAAAGAAGCAAAAGAAAUAGAGUCGAAAUCAUUCAAAUUUGAUGUGAAAACUUAAGUUUGUUGUCAUUUGAUGUGAAAACUUAUGUUCUUUCAUGUGAAAACUUAUGUGCUAUGAUGUUGAUUUGACUUGAAAUAAAAUUCAAAUUUGAACCGACAUUCAAAUUUGAACCUAUCUCCAAAUUUUUUUGAGUUCAUUUGUUUGUUCUGUGAUGUUGCAUCGUUUUAUGUACUACUAUGCACUUUGUGAAGUCCAACUCAUAGUCACUGAAAAUGCUGUACAAACAGGCUCCAAAGUAAGGGAAAACGGCCCCAUUUCUAAGCAAGUUUUUUUCGAUCUUCUCAAAAUCACCCAAAAAAGAUUUUCUUAGCUUAUAUUAUACCUAUAUAGGAUCAAUACAAAGUCUCACCUUUUUUGAAUAAGUAUUCAUAUUAUUUAAUUUAUUUUUGAAAAAACACCCUUUAAUACAAAGUCAGCAAUAAAACAAGUUUAAAAAUUUUAAAUGCAAAAAUAACUUCAGAUCCUCCUUAGUCACUCUAAAAUGAAGCUAAGGUGAUGUUUUUUGAUUUUUUUGCAUUUUCAAAACCUCAAACCCUCUUCUCACUCCUUUGAACUCUAUGCAACCUCAGUCGAGAUAGUCCAAUUUGUGAAGGUUUUUUCAUGCAAAGAUCAUUAGAUCAAGUUUAUCAUUUUAUAUCAUAACUAUGUAACAUAAAAAGGCUAUAUGCGCAGGUUUUUCAUUUUUUAGAUUUUUUUGAAUUAGUUAUACACAUUUGAAUGUUCGGUCAAACCUUUCAAAACCCCGUUGACUGCCUCAAAACCCCAUGUAACCCUAGCGCCAAACGUCCACCGUCGAUCUAACCCUAACGCCAAACUGCGGCCGUCGGAUGGGACUUCUAGAAGGAUUCCGCGGGGGCGAUCCAUGGGCUCCAAUCUGAUUGGCCAUUGUUUUUUCUCUCUGACGAACAGAUAACGUUGAGCGGGGGAGCAUCUAAGUGACCGUUGGGCCGAGUGGAUUGGGCCUGGCAAAGCCUGGCGUGCGUGCACACGGCUGUUGAGAGGGGGGAUGGGCUGCAUGCGAGCGGGUCAAUGACAUGUGGGCCAUCCUUGUCCCAUGCAUGCCAUGCAACGUCGCAGCCUAGCUAUUCUUUGCUCGUGAAAGCCUAGCCAUUUGCAUGCGGGCUUGCAUGCACGCAUCGACGCAGAGUACGGCAAGGGUGCAGCGUAUAGGUACGUCGCAUCUAAGCUAUUUUAACAAAUGCAUGUUUGAACGAGAUGGACGCGUCGGUGGUGCAGCUCCUUUUUCAGUGUCACGCGCGGAUGAACGGGCCUGUUUCCCAUGCGGCAUCACCGCCGAUGCAAGUGCCCGUGCCUCUUUGGAUGCUCUGGCCGCCGUUUUUUGAAUUAAUGCCCGCAAUUACUUAUGCCAUGCGAACGGAGAAGAGAAAAAGAUCGAGAAGGGGCACCGUGUACACAUUGACCAUGGUUGCAAUGCGGCUAUAAAAGGGCACCAUUUCCUCAUCCUCUCACACUCAUCUCUCAAGCCUCCUCCCCUUCUUCUUUUCGAGCCAAAUCCACCACUCGAGCCACCAUGCAGUUCAACGGCCCUACCUACCGUCGCCCUUGCACCGUGCCGGAGAGGCAGUACCCAGCCGGAGUCGUCGUGGAGAACAGCCUGAGGGUGUGGGCCAUCUCUAGGUGGAGGGGCCCUAGAGAGUUGGCUCGCUUCUUCCUCCAAGCUGGCUACCGCCACCUCCCUCCGGGCACUCCGCCCAUGUUCCACCUCCACGAGCAGUACGAUGGCAAUGCCGGCCCCGACGGCUUCGUCAUCGGCCUCUAUGUCACCUUCACCAACCCCUACGACGCUCACCACCUCCCCGGGGAGGUGUUCUGGUGUGGAUGCGAGUUUAUCGCGUUCACGACCUACAACAUCUUCACCAACUUCCACCACAUCUUCCCUCACCACAACGGCAUGCACACCCUCCCCUAUCAGAUGCCGGAGGACGACGAGUGAGGGGCCCAAGGAGGAGGGUCCAAGGAGUGGCAAGGAGGAGGGGCCAAGGAGUUGUUCAAGCGGCGAGUCUUCUAUCUAUCUAGUUUGGGGCUCUAGUUUGUGUUUGUGUUGGUUCGGGCGUGUGUGCCCGUGUCUUUUAUAUAUCUAGUUUUAAUUAUUUUACUUUCAUGUUUUAUGAACUAUAUGUAGUGGGGGGAUGCCCCUCUAUAAGUUUUAUCUAUCUAUGCUACUAGGGUACCCGAUGCCCCUCUAUCUAUCUAUAUGUUUUUUCGGUCCUAAAGUUUCUCCAUUGCAUUUUAUUUAUGUGGCCAUGUGUACUAAAAAACAAUUGAUCUGGUAUCUAAAAUGUACGUUACCAAGAAAUUGACAAUAAAGAUUAUAUACUGUACUACAUAAUCAUACAGUUGGUAUACAAUGCAUUUGAAGACAAUGGGCAAGAAAAAUGCUAAUUAUCUGGUGCUGGUGACAUGCGUAAGUGUUGUCUGAUGUUUAAAUCAUGCUUGCUAUGUCAUUUUUUGCUGCCAAACAUGGCAUUAGCGAGAAAGGUCAUUUGGGCACUGAAUGUAUUAAAGUAUACACCAUAUAUAAAAAUGUCUAGCCAAAAGAUUUGGGUGUACAACUGUACACCAAUGACCAAGUAUGGAUCCGCCCCUGGUUGUAAGGGGAUGCCCCUCUAUGUUGUAAGGAGAUGCUACUAGGGGCACACUAGAUGUCUUCUUUUUUUGAGAGAGGCACAACCUUUUUCGGUUGAAACACACGAGUAAAAACUUUGAAAACACCAUAGCACAAGUAAAAAAAUAUAUUAAGAAAUGGUGCUUGGUUGAAAUAAACUAGAACCAAACAAUUGCAACUUUCUUGGUUCACAAAGACUGCUCAAAUAAUUAUCUCAAAUAGCUUAUGCAUAAAAAUAUCUCAAAUAAUUAUUAGAUGAGUUAUCUCAAAAAAGGUGACUGCAGGAAACUUAAAAUUUGUGAAAUGAUCUAAAGCCGAAAAGAUAUAUCGAUGAAUUAUCUCAAAUAGCUUAUGCAUAAAAAUAUCUCAAAUAAUUAUUAGAUGAGUUAUCUCAAAAAAGGUGACUGCAGGAAACUUAAAAUUUGUGAAAUGAUCUAAAGCCGAAAAGAUAUAUCGAUGUCAAUGACCGUGUGCACUUUUUUUGCACUCCUUUUAUCAAUGGGCCUGGAUAUGUUCUAUUCGGCCCUGCCUAACUUCUAUAUGGGCCUGGCCUUUUCGGGCAACUAUGGACGAACCUUUUUUUUCCUUUUCUCCCUCUACCACUGAAACUGAAACUGAUGACGAACUGAAGAACUAAAAAACGGGGCCGAAACAGAGUGGAGAGGACAUGCUGAAUUCGUACAACGCAACACUUUUAUUCAAAUAUACAUAUCAUUAGGAUUACAAAUGAUGCCCAAUCUAUUCACUUACGACUAAUUAUCAUCACAUAAACAAAUGCGAGAGCAAUUACACAAACAUAAAAAAGUCCGGCCAUCAGCCCCAUCAAAUUGCCCUGCUUCUGCAAUUUGAUGAGUUUCUUCAUCUGCUUGUUUAGCUUCUUCAGCUCUGCCGUCACUACUGCAUCCCCCACAGUAGCCCCAAUGGAAUGGGCACAUCCAGGGGCCCCAGAUCCAGAAGCGCCCGAUCCAAACUUGCCCAACUUCUCCACCUCCAGCGGUAAAUCGAGCUCCCCUGAUGCACCCUCCAGUUGAAUCCGCUCUAUGUACUCAUUUAGCCACUCAAAAUGGGUGCAUUGCUUCAAUUUCUGAAAUUGGAAAGAUGAACCCUAAAUCCCAAAUCCGAUGAAAAAUGGGGAAAAAUUGUGAUAUGAAAUUGGGAUACAAAAACCAAAAUUGGCAUAUUGAGAAGUAAAAUCUCACCUUUCCCUGCUCUGGUUUGCUCUCGCAUUUCACGAAUUCCCGCCCAAGGUUGCCAUUCUUGUCGGUCGUUGUGACUAGCCGCUUCAGGGGUGUGAUACGUGGGCCUGCAGGGCACCUUGUCAUGGGCACUGCGCCAUAGCGCGGCCAUGAGCGGCGGGAGGCUGAAGCGGAGCUCGACAUUGCUAGGUCGCGGCCCGGAACGGCGUUGCUGCGCGUCGUCGCCGGAGAAGAAGAACAACAACGGUCGGGGAGGGGGGGUGGGGGCGGGGGCGAGGAUGGGCCACGGCUCGGGCCACGGCUCGGUGUCCUCUUGUACCAAUGCUGACCUGGAUAAGUUAGUGGGUCCCACGCAGUGGGUCCCGCUCACCUGACCAAUGCUGAGUUGGAUAAGUUAGUGGGUCCCGCGCUGUGGGUCCCGCUCACCUGAUUCGAGUUUUAAACAUGUGUCUUUGGAUUAGACAGCAGUGUCGCAUGGGAGCUAUUUUUUCCUAUGCAGAUGUCGCAUGAGAGCUAUUACAACCAACAACGUCGCAUGAGAGACAAUACACACCAACGAUGUCGCAUAGGAGCUAUUCGCCCUUUGGAAACAUUGCUAAGUUUCAUUGUUUGAAACUUAGUACGAGCGACCGAUAAAAUUUAAUUAUUUUGUGUCUACGACCAACAGGAGAAAUUGCUUAAAAUUACAUCUUUGAAACUGGUCAUUUUUUGAUGCAAAAAUGUAAGUUUCAUCAUUGAAACUUAAGGGCAUGUCCAAUGCUGGAUGCUUAUCCAGGCGCUUAUCGUGUGGAAAAAAAAAAUGCCACGAAGUUAGCUCUCGCUUGUCCAACAGCCAAUGCUAACAACGGGCGCUAACCACGGCUGGAGCUAUAGAUUAGAAAGAAAGAUCUGGUUCACUUGUACGUGAAAAAAGGAGCAAGCGCUCGAUGCCUUGCUUUGCAUCGAUGCCAGACUGAGGUGCUGGGAAUCGACAAGAUAACCGCCAAUCUACCAGGAUUAAAUUCCUAGCGCCUUCUUCUAGCGCCUCCCACUGAAAAUGCCCUAAAGGUUUUUGAGGGAUUUUUUUACUGUGUCCUACUUCACGUAUCACGAGGCAAAUCAAGUAGGCGGCAUGGCCUGGCCGGUGAGUGCCAUUGCACUUACUUGCCCCAGCGAUUUUCCGCCUGCAUUGUAGAAUUCUUUCUCCGAGUCCUGUGAAUUAAAGAUGGUGCAGACAAAAGUAUAUCCUAUAUGCGUACAUGUGCAUGAUCAGAACAUGUUUUUACGUGCGUCUACUAUAAAUCAUGACCAUUUUUAACACAAAUCAUGACCAUUCAUGAUUAGUGAAUCAUACUGUCUUAACUUAUGUGAAAUCAUGUGGAGUAAUAUAAUAUAAUAUAAUAGAUAGAUAGAUCCAUGUUGUAUCAUUACACAUUUUGAUUUAUGCAUUUGUUUACAAAAAAAACAGUAAAAUUUCAUGGUGAAAAGUUUGUAUUGUUUCAUACUGAACACCAAUGUUUUCCCGUAAAAGAAAAUAAUGCCUACGCAUAUGCUUUUAUAUUAUUAUUAUUCUUUCAAACUUAUUCAUAUAGUAUUUUUGAUUGUGCAACCAUAAUUUUUAUUAUCUCUCUUGUUCCACUACAUGCUCUUACUCAAUGAUUUUUUUAUAAUGGGUGUUUUUAUUAACUCAAAAUAUAGCAUCAAGCGGAUACAAAACAUAACGAGCCACGUCCGGUCUCUGCAUAACUAAGAUGCACACAGCCAAAAGCAGAAGUCUGACAAAAAUAAGAUAAGAAAAUCAACAUAUCGACAACAGUGAGUCAUAUAGUUCCGACACUAUGCCUCUGUUGAAGGACGGGGUGGAGCGAUCUGGAGAUUAUGCUUCCCUCCAUUUUGAGUAAAUACCUCCCUGGCCACUUGUUCCAACCGCAUAGACGCCGCCACGAAUAAUGGUUGGUACUCUGUUCGGUGUAGCAUACACCAUGUAGGAAGUGAGUGCUCACUCCUAGUUACUAAAUUAUGUACACACUAGUAGAAAAAGGGCCAUUUGUCCCGGUUCGUAAGGCCCAUUUGUCUCAGUUAGGGAACCGGGACUAAAGGGUCGGUACUAAAGCCCUACACCUUUAGUCCCGGUUCUUACACCAACCGAGACAGAUGGGGCUCCACGUGGCCGCUGCGGCUUGCCAUGGCAGGGGGGCCUUUUGUCCCGGUUGGUAGCACCAACCGGGACCAAUAAGCUACCACGCGUCAGCAUUUGAGGGGCUUGGGUUUUUGUUUUUUUCUGAAGGGGGGGAGGGGGGUUGGGGGUUUUGGGGGGUUUUGUAUGGUUAAUUUUGGGGGGUUUCAUAUAUAGUGUUAGGUAGUAAUUAAUUAAUAGAGAGAAGUGUCCUCUCUUAUCUCCGUGCUUGGUCGACGCUACGUACUAUACGUAUAGAGAGGCCCUCGACACGCUUGCCAGUAAGCAAAUGAAGGAAACCAUUAAGUACAGAAGUUCGUCAUGAACAUAUGCAUACAAACAUAAGUGAUAUCGACCUCUCCUUCUCCGAGAGAUAGGUCGAAGAACAAGUUUCCGUAUAUCUAUCCGGCGCUACUAGCUACAUAUAUACAAUAUUAAGAUCUCUUACAAUAUAAUCCCCUAAUUAUAUAUGAACUCAGCUUCCAGAUGGUAUUCUCCGGCUUUAUUGAUGACGUGGUCAAGAAAGAAUCCCUCCAAUUCCUCUUGAAUUGCUUUGAUGCGAUCUUGUGGUAGGAGUUCAUCCUGCAUCUGCCACAUCUAAUUUGAAGAAGGGGGUCAAUCACUAGUGGAAUAACAGCCAUUUGUCUAGGUUCGUAAGGCUCAUUUGUCCCGGUUGGGGAACCGAGACUAAAGGGUCGUUACUAAAGCCCUACACCUUUAGUCCCGGUUGUCGGUGUCAAAACCGGCGGAUCUCGGGUAGUGGGUCCUGAAUUGUGCGUCUAGGCCGGAUGGUAACAGGAGGCAGGGAACACGAUGUUUUACCCAGGUUCGGGCCCUCUUGAUGGAGGUAAAACCCUACGUCCUGCUUGAUUAAUAUUGAUGAUAUGGGUAGUACAAGAGUAGAUCUACCACGAGAUCAAGGAGGCUAAACCCUAGAAGCUAGCCUAUGGCAUGAUUGUUGUGUAUGGAGUUGAUUGCCUACGGACUACAACCCUCCGGUUUAUAUAGACACCGGAUAGGGUUAGGGUUACAUAGAGUCGUUUACAAUGGUAGGAGAUCUUGAAUAUCCGCAUCACCAAUCUUGCCUUCCACGCCAAGGAAAGUCCCAUCCGGACACAGGACGAAGUCUUAAAUCUUGUAUCUUCAUAGUCCAGGAGUCCGGCUGGACGUAUAGUCCGGCUACCCGAACACCCCCUAAUCCAGGACUCCCUCACCGGUUCUUACACCAACUGGGAGAGAUGGGCCUCCACGUGGCCGCUGCGGCGAGCCCAGGUAGGAGGUCCUUUGGUCCCCGUUAGUGACACUAAUACGUCUCCAACGUAUCUAUAAUUUUUGAUUGCUCCAUGCUAUUAUGUUAUCCAUUUUGGAUGUUAAUGGGCUUUAUUUUACACCUUUAUAUCAUUUUUGGGACUAACCUACUAAUCGGAGGCCUAGCCCAAAUUGCUAUUUUUUGCCUAUUUUAGGUUUUUGAAGAAGAGGAAUAUCAAACGGAGUCCAAACGGAAUGAAACCUUCGGGAACGUGAUUUUCUCAACGAACAUGAUCCAGGAGACUUGGAGUGUGCGCCAAGAAAUAAGGGAGGAAGGCACGAGGCAGGGGGGCGCGCCUACCCCCCUUGAGCAUGCCCUCCACCCUCGUGGGCCCUCCACUGCUCCACCGACGUACUUCUUCCUCCUAUAUAUAUCCACGUACCCCCCAAACAACCAGGAGCACCACGAAAACCUAAUUCCACCACCGCAACCUUCUGUACCCGAGAGAUCCCAUCUUGGGGCCUUUUCCGGAGGGGGCAUCGAUCACGGAGGGCCUCUACAUCAACUGCAUGGCCUCUCCGAUGAUGUGUAAGUAGUUUACUUCAGACCUACGGGUCCAUAGUUAUUAGCUAGAUGGCUUCUUCUCUCUCUCUUUGGAUCUUAAUACAAAGUUCUGCUCGAUUUUCUUGGAGAUCUAUUCGAUGUAAUCUUCUUUUGUGGUGUGUUUGUCGAGAUCCGAUGAAUUGUAGGUUUAUGAUCCAGAUUAUCUAUGGACAAUAUUUGAUUCUCCUCUGAAUUCUUUUAUGUAUGAUUCGUUUAUCUUUGCAAGUCUCUUCGAAUUAUCAGUUUGGUUUGGCCUACUAAAUUGAUCUUUCUUGCAAUGGGAGAAGUGCUUAGCUUUGGGUUCAAUCUUGCGGUGUUCGAUCCCAGUGACUGAAAGGGAAGCGAUAUGUAUUGUAUUGUUGCCAUCGAGGAUAAAAAGAUGGGGUUUAUAUCAUAUUGCAUGAGUUUAUCCCUCUACAUCAUGUCAUCUUCCUUAAAGCAUUACUCUGUUCUCUUGAACUUAAUACUCAAGAUGCAUGCUGGAUAGCGGUCGAUGUGUGGAGUAAUAGUAGUAGAUGCAGAAUCGUUUCGGUCUACUUGUCUGGGACCUGAUGCCUAUAUACAUGAGCAUACCUAUAUAUUCUCAUAACUAUGCUCAAUUCUAUCAAUUGCUCGACAGCAAUUCGUUUACCCACCGUAAUACUUAUGCUCUUGAGAGAAGCCACUACUGAAACCUAUGGCCUCGGGGUCUAUCUUCUAUCAUAUUAAUCCUCCAAUACUUAGUUAUUUAUAUUUCUAUCUAUUUUACUUUCCAUCUUUUAUUUCUCUUUAUCAUAAAAAUACCAAAAAUCUUAUCUUAUCAUAUCUAUCAGAUCUCACUGUUGUAAGUGACCGUGAAGGGAUUGACAACCCCUUUAUCGCGUUGGUUGCGAUGUUCUUAUUUGUUUGUGUAGGUUCGUGGGACUUGAGCGUGAUCUCCUACUGGAUUGAUACCUUGGUUCUCAAAAACUAAGGGAAAUACUUACGCUAAUUUACUUCAUCACUCUUUCCUCUUCAAGGGAAAACCAACGCAAUGCUCAAGAGGUAGUGUCGGUGUCAAAACCGGCGGAUCUCGGGUAGUGGGUCCCGAACUGUGCGUCUAGGCCGGAUGGUAACAGGUGGCAGGGAACACGAUGUUUUACCCAGGUUCGGGCCCUCUUCAUGGAGGUAAAACCCUACGUCCUACUUGAUUAAUAUUGAUGAUAUGGGUAGUACAAGGGUAGAUCUACCACAAGAUCAAGGAGGCUAAACCCUAGAAGCUAGCCUAUGGUAUGAUUGUUGUAUAUGGAGUUGAUUGCCUACGGACUACAACCCUCCGGUUUAUAUAGACACCGGAUAGGGUUAGGGUUACAUAGAGUCGGUUACAAUGGUAGGAGAUCUUGAAUAUCCGCAUCGCCAAGCUUGCCUUCCACACCAAGGAAAGUCCCGUCCGGACACGGAACGAAGUCUUCAAUCUUGUAUCUUCAGAGCCCAGGAGUCCGGCUGAAGGUAUAGUCCGGCUAUCCGAACACCCCCUAAUCCAGGACUCCCUCAGUAGCCCCUGAACCAGGCUUCAAUGACGACGAGUCCAGCGCGCAAAUUGUCUUCGGCAUUGCAAGGCGGGUUCCUCCUCCAAGUCCUUCAUAGAAGAUUGUAAGCACCAAGAGUAGUGUCCGGCUCUGCAAAAUAAGCUUCCACAUAUCGCCAUAGAGAGAAUAAUAUUAACACAAAUCAAAUCUGCUGACGUAUUCCGCAGUGCGUCAUCACACUACAGCCAAGUCCUUCACUCGAAUCGUUUUCACUUUUCCACCUCAGCGUGUUUUGCGAGGCGGUUUCCUUGGCACGUCUUGUCAAAGCAGAGAUCGUGUCCCCCUUGUUUACGGGAUUCUCGUUAAUACGGACGUGGGUAACCCAACCGCGCCACUUAUCACGGCGCUUGGGAGGCAAGCGAGUUUUACUAGGCUGGUGGGGACGCAUAGUCGCAUCCGCCCAUAUAAGGGGAUAAGGAUCCACCUUUUUACCUACGCCUUCUUCCUCCUUUGCCUAGCCAUCUUCUGCGCACCCGAGCUCUAGCGCCCCAGCCCGCGCUUCCUACCUCAACCCUCUCCAACAAUGUUCGGAGCGGGAGGCAAGUGGAUGGUCUCCUCCGUCACGGAGGGCCAUGUCAAAAGGUUAAGGAAGGCCGGAUACUUGUCCAAAGACAUCGCGCACCGGCUUCCUGAGGAGGGGCAGCUUCUCCCCACCCCAAGGCCCCAUGAGAGGGUAGUAUUUCUUCCCCACUGCCUCCGCGGACUGGGUUUUCCUCUCCACCCAUUUGUCCGCGGGCUCAUGUUCUACUAUGGCCUAGAUUUCCACGAUCUGGCCCCGUACUUCAUCCUCAAUAUCUCGGCGUUUAUCAUCGUGUGCGAGGCUUUCCUCUGCAUUCGCCCCCAUUUCGGCCUCUGGCUCACGACCUUCAACGUCAAGCCAAAGGUGGUGCGCGGUAACCAGGCGGAGUGCGGAGGUGCCAUGGCGGGCAAAAUUGCCAACGUCCUAUGGCUCGAGGGCUCCUUUGUGGAGACCUUGAAGGGGUGGCAGUCAGGGUGGUUUUACAUCACCGAGCCACGCGAUCCGAAGUGGAUCGCAGCCCCUGAAUUCCGAUCCGGACCCCCUACGCGGCUCAUGUCCUGGAAGGAGACGAGCUUGUCGUGGGGCGACGAAGGAGAGUUGACCAGACUGCAAAAAUGCAUCCAGUCCCUGGUGAACAAGCAGCUCAAGCUUGUCAACGUAAUCUAGGUCAUGCUCGUCCGCCGGAUUCUUCCGUGUCAAGAACGGGACUUCAAUUUGUGGGAGUUCAACCCGGCGCAACACCGAACUCUGAGAAGGCUCUUCAACACGACGUACGAAGAUGUCUGGAGGGGGCUAACCAAAGGCGCCGAGACUCCCACAUCCGCCUCCGAAGACCGCGGAUUCAGCUCGCAGCGUCCUGCUGGCGAGGUAAGAUAUUUCCAUCUUUUACAGGAUGUUAAGCUUUUUCAUAGUUGACUCUAUGCGGGAUCAAAACUCCCUCACCUUUGACAGGAUUGGCGGGAGAAGUCCGGACAGAUUAAAUGCCCGGCUCCCUUGCCCGAAGACCUAGCCCCUGCUCUCCUAGAGAAGCUGCUGGUUUCGGCACCUUAUGUGGUGCCGGAGAAGAGGGCCAAGAAGAAGAAGGCCACGGGGACUCGAAAGAGUUCCUGGCAUAUGGUGGUGUCGGACUCGUCGUCCGACCAGUCCGAGACGCACUCCUCCCGUGAAGACGAGGAGGAAGAGUGUCGGACUCGUCGUCCGACGAGUCCGAGACGCACUCCUCCCGUGAAGAGGAGUGGCCGGACUACGUCCCCGACGCCGACGAGGACGAAGAGGAGUGGCCAGACAGGGCCAAGCAUCCGGCGAGAUCGUAAGUGUUCGGAUACCAGAGUAACUCGUGAUAUUCCUUUUGUUGCACAGCUUUCCCUAAUGUCGGAUAUAAUCAUGCAGUCCGCCCAAGGAUGGGCUCGACGAGUCGUCGAGCGGCUCCCUGGAUUCAUCGGACGUGAAUUCAGUUCCGCCUACUGCUUCCCCCUGUGCUGCAGAUGACGCCGAAGUGGCGUCGCGACAAGCUCCGGGACGAGAGGAGGUGGUCCAGGAGGAGUCGCGAGGUGACCUCCCGGACUCCAGGAGUGAAGGGGACAAGACCCCCCUGGGAUCCAAGUUCGGCUUUAAGCCGGACACUGAGAUGGAAUCAUCAACAGUUCCGGACUGCGGUAGGCGAACUCCUACCAGGAGGAGCAAGCCUACUGAGCCGGCAUCCUCCGUCCAGCCGGAGGCGCCGGACAAUCUGCUGGAGGAGCUUAAGGGCGCCUCCACCGACGAGGAGCACCGUGCCGUCAUGAGUACGGUGAUCCAGAAGGUUCGGUCCGCCAAAAGCGGACUGACUGAAGCUUGUGCUGGCCUUCUAACAGGCUUCGAGGUAAGUAAAAAUAUGUAAAAAUAUUACCGUAUAGACAGUAGCCCCUGAUGCUCUGUUUGGCGUUUGUAAAGAAAAGCCAAAUAGAGGAUCUAUUAAAUAUCGCAGGAGUCUAACUAAAAAGGAGUCAAUAUAUGUAUGCAGGCUUCGCUGCUGGCCACCGCCGCACUGACUGCGGAGGUGGGUGCCCUGAAGGAGGGCCUCCAGCGGACCGAGCAAGAGCUCGGCCUUGCCAAACGGCAGCUCGAGGAAAAAGAAUGUAAGAGAUACCUUACAGAAAAAGUGCCUAUAAAAAGGCUUGAUUGCAAAAAGAGUAGCAGGAUUGUACUGCUUAUUGUAGGGGCCACGACUGAGGUGGCGACCUUUAAGCAGGUGUUGUCUGAGGCCGAAAAGAAAACGGCCGCGGAGCGCACCGAGCGAGACAGACUUGGGGCUCAGGUCAGCGAGGUGCAGCAAGAGCUUCAGGCUCUCAUGAAAAAACAUGAGAGUUUGAAGCUGGAGUCGAAGGCGCAAGCAUCCGAGCUUGCAACGGCCCUAGAGGCUGCCAAGUCUACCAAGGCCGAUGCCCUAAAGACCCUCCAAGAGUUGGAGGAGAUGAGGAAGAUAGCAACGGGUAAGGCAUUCUUUAUGCAAAGCAGAAAUAUAAAAGUGAACUACCUGUUACUUACCCGAAUCCGAAGCUCUCCAGGGGCAUUCGCAGAUCUUCCCUGCAGCGUAUCCGAUGCCGCCGCAUUAUACCAAGCUGAAGAGGGUAGCUCGACGGAGAAGGUGUUCUGGUUUCAGUAUUCUGAGGCCGGACACCCUGUGCCCUUGAGCAACCAGCUGAAACAGCUGGUUGAGCUCCACAAGGCGGCCAAGCAGGCCAUGAAGGGCUUCAUAGUUCGGCUGUGGCCUGGAGAGGCCCUACCUGGGAGCUAUCUCGGGCUGGUGCGGCGGCUGGUGGAGGCCUGUCCGAGGCUUGAGGUCAUCAAGUGCUCCGUCUGCAUCGAUGGUGCCCGUCGGGCCCUUGCCCGUGCAAAGGUGCACUGGGGUAAGCUGGACGGUGAGAAGCUUGUGAAGGACGGGCUGCCGCCGGGGAAGGAGCAUCGCAAGCCCGAGAACUACUACAAGGAUGUUCUUGCAGGUGCCCGCCUUAUGGCGGAUCAAUGUACCAAGGAUGUGAUAUUUGAAUGAACUCGCUCGUGUUUAUCUUGUGCGCUGAAAACUUGUUCAUAUGUGCUAAGCAAUGCUUAUUGAAUUUAAAAUAUUACUUUCUGUGCGGCCAUUUAUCAAAAAUUGAGAGAUGGCCAGUCGUCGGCUUCUGCCCCCGUGCCACUAGUGCUGGGGUGUUCGGGAUAAACCUGAGCGCUCUUUUUCCCAUAGUUGGGUCCUUCGAGGGAGGCGCUCAGCACAACGAACCAGGCAAUCGGACUAUAAUGCUUGAACACUCUCACUUAGCCAUAGAGCUCUAUAAUUUUAAAUUUCGGUGAAGCCCGUAGUUCGGAAGACCGAGUUCGGGGCGCUAUCCACGCCUUGGCCGGACAAAGCCGGCUCCUCGCUCGAAGCGGCAUAAGCCUUUAGGGACUCGAAAAACCUCUCGAACAGCGAUCGGUCUCUCGCCACAUCAUGACAGUCAGUUUUAGCUUUCUCCACUCAGGUGCUUAACCCAGGUGAACCGGGGCACAAUCGCAGUGGUUCUCCUAGUGCUACCUUAGCCGAUAGAGCGGAACGUAAGGCACCAAAACAUAGGAGCCACGCAAACCCAACUAUUGACCCAAAUCAUGAUUCGGAGCCGAUGCAUAUAGUGCUAUAAGUUCGGGGUGCCGCACUUGUGAAAGUGUACGGACUUCUCACACCAUUAUGAGCGGUACUGAAGCCCCUGGCAUGUUUGCCAUACCAUGGUGUACGGGUGCAAUCAUGUCAUUUAAUAAACAUAAAUGUGAAAAGAAGAUAAUGCAAAAAAUAGACUAGAAGCUAAGCAUUGUUUAUAGAGAGGCUAUUUAUCAAAGCCGAACGAUACAAAUAGUGCGGUAAGCAAAAGAUAUUGGACUAUUCAGUAUGUCCUGACCAGGGGCAGGCCGCGGAAUUGUAUUUAAAACAGGUAUACCGCUCGUAACAGAGACCACCUGGGAGUUCCAUAAUGCGUCAUGGCUUGUCUGCCUCCCUGGAUCUUGCAUCGUUUGUGCGGCAGUCGAAUUGCCGAACAGGUCGUCCGAAGUAUGGAGUCCUGAAAGAAGAAAAAAUUAAAAAAAGAAUCCGGCAGCCCCUAGUACGUAUUAAGCCGUAUUUUGGGCGUGUUGUUAUUGUGCCCCUUCCCCUGUGCCCAUGGUAUUUCAAGGGCGUAGUUAUGUACGUGAGGUACUGGUUUCGCUAUGUUGCGAAAGCUGGGGUUGGGGCCGCAUUGCUACGCUUGCUUAGAGUGUGCCAGGCAGUGUCUGGCUUUUUAAUGGCCGGACUGGAGAAUUGCCUGAGAAGGCUACUUUGUACCUCCGCUGCGAGAGCCGCCGUAUGCUCCUCCAUAUGGAGGGAGCGUUCGGUGUUUCCGUUGAACGUAAUUACUCCUUGAGGGCCUGGCAUCUUGAGCUUGAGAUAUGCGUAGUGCAGCACCGUGUUGAUCUUUGCGAAUGCGGUUCGUCCGAGCAGGGCAUGAUAGCCACUGCGAAACGGUACUAUAUCGAAGAUUAACUCUUCGCUUCGGAAAUUGUCCGGGGAUCGGAAGACCACAUCAAGUGUUACUGAGCAUGUACUGUUGGCUUCUACACCUGGUAUAACGCCUUUAAAGGUCGUUCUUGUGGGCUUAAUCCUUGAGGGAUCUAUGCCCAUUUUCUGCACUGUAUCCUGAUAAAGCAGGUUCAGGCUACUGCCGCCGUCCAUGAGGACUCUUGUGAGAUGAAAUCCGUCGAUGAUCGGGUCGAGAACCAAUGCGGCGAAGCCGCCAUGACGGAUGCUAGUGGGAUGGUCCCUUCGAUCGAAAGUGAUCGGGCAGGAGGGCCAUGGGUUGAACUUUGGGGCGACUGGCUCCAUCGCAUAUACGUCCCGUAGCGCAUGCUUCCGCUCCCGCAUGGGAAUGUGGGUUGCGUAUAUCAUGUUCACCGUCCACACUUGUGGGGGAAAGCCCUUCUGUCCAUUGUUGUUCGGCGGCUUGGGCUCCUCGUCGUCGCUGUGCAGCCCCUUGUCUCUGUUUUCGGCCCUUAACUUGCCUGCCUGCUUGAACACCCAACAAUCCCUGUUAGUGUGAUUGGCUAGCCUUUCGGGGGUGCCAUGUAUCUGGCACAAGCGAUCGAGUAUUCGGUCCAAACUGGACGGGCCCUGAGUAUUCUUUUUGAAUGGCAUUUUCCGCUGACCGGAUUUAUAGCCUUUGAAUCCGGCAUUGACUGCCGUGUCUUCAUUGCUGUCGCUGCUAACGCGGCGUUUUUGCUUAUUCCGAUGUGUCCUACCACUUUUGUCCUUGGUAUCCGAAUUACCAGGGUGCUUUGAUAAGUUGUUACUGCGAGCUAGCCAGCUGUCUUCUCCCGCGCAAAAGCGGGUCAUGAGUGUCGUGAGGGCUGCCAUGGAUUUCGGCUUUUCCUGUCCCAGGUGCCAGGCAAGCCACUCGUCGCAGAUGUUGUGCUUCAAGGCUGCCAGGGCCUCUGCGUCCGGACAGUCGACUAUCUGGUUUUUCUUUGUUAGGAACCGUGUCCAAAAUUGUCUGGCCGAUUCCUCUGGCUGCUGAAUUAUGUGGCUUAAGUCGUCGGCAUCCGGUGGUCACACGUAAGUGCCCUGGAAGUUGUCGAGGAAUGCGGCUUCCAGGUCCUCCCAAGAACCGAUUGAGUCUGCUGGCAAGCUGUUAAGCCAAUGCCGGGCCGGUCCUUUAAGUUUGAGCGGGAGGUAUUUGAUGGCGUGUAGAUCAUCGCCGCGUGCCAUGUGGAUGUGAAGGAGACAAUCCUCGAUCCAUACCGCCGGAUCUGUUGUGCCAUCGUAUGAUUCGAUGUUUAUGGGUUUGUAGCCCUCUGGGAUUUUAUGAUCCAUUACUUCAUUCGUGAAGCAUAGCGGGUGUGUGGCGCCUCUGUAUUGGGCUAUAUCACGACGUAGCUCGGAAGAGCUAUGUCUGUUGUGUUCGGCCCGGCCGGAUUUGUUGUAUCCAGAGUGAAGAUCAUUUUCCCGUGCCUUAGUUGAGAGGUGUCGGGGCAUGGCUUGGGUGGAGGGCCGAGACGCCUCUCUGUCGCGGCCGCGAGGUGGCCGGUCUGCCAUGUCAUGCGCUGGUGAUGUAGGUGCUUCCUCCUCUGAUCGGGGUAGCGGCCUAUGCUUCGGGUAACUCUUGGAGGGGCGUUCGAGUUCAUACUCUUCGGCCGCAAGGACUUCAGUCCAUCUGUCAGCUAGCAAAUCUUGGGCAGCUCUAAGUUGUUGCUGCUUUUUCUUGAGGCUGCUUGCCAUGGCUAAAAGCCUGCGUUUAAAAAGCUCUUGUUCGGCGGGGUCUGAUGGUAUGACGAAUUCGUCGUCAUUGAGGCUUGCCUCGUCUUCGGAGGGAGGCGUAUAGUUAUCAUCCUCGACCUUUCCGUCUGCCGCUCUCUCAUCAGGGCUGGCUUCUCCAUCUUCCUGUGCCGAAUCUUGCUGAGGUGGGUGUUCUUCGGCGCUAUCCGGGGUAGUAUUAUCUCUCAUGUCGGAAUCACCGUUUUUGCUUUGGCGGGAUUUAGAGCGGCGCCGCUGGUGCCGGCGCUUUGGCUGUUUCUUGGGGGCGUCAUCCCCCACUGUUCCAUCGCCAUCUCCAUCUUUUGGAGUAUCCACCAUAUAUAUGUCAUAUGAUAAGGUGGCCUUCCAGCGCCCUACAGGUGCUGGUUCCUGUUCGUCUCCUACAUUGUCGUCCAUGCCGUCGAUGUCUUUGGAGCUGAAGUCAACCAUGUAGGUUAGACCGUCGAUAAUGGCUACAAAGUGGGUGGUGGGUGGGCUUUGAAUUUCCUCAUCGUAUGUAUCCCACCCUCGCUGACCGUAGUCCGGCCAGGGCUCUCCUGAUAAAGAGAGAGACUUAAGAGAAUUCAGGAUGUCGCCAAAAGGCGAAUGCUGAAAGAUGUCUGUAGCGGUGAACUCCAUUAUCGGCACCCAAUCGGAUUCGAUUGGCAGGGGCGCGGGGGGUUCGGAGUCCGGGGAGGAGUCCGGAUCCUCGGAGUCACGGGUCGUGCAGAGUGCGGGGCUAGCGUUCGGCUCGAUCGCUUUCGGGAUCGCAGCCCCCGAGGUGACGUCCAACCGCUCAUCCUCGAUUGGCGCAAUAGGUUCCGAGUUAGGGGUCGGAACCGAUGCGUGUGCGGCCUCCAGGACACUGGCCGGGGGCAGAGCUAGAUCAUGCCCCUCGGGAUAGUGCGGCGUGCUUGGCCGUGGCUCGAGCCCGUCGAAGAUCAAGUCUCCGUGGAUGUCAGCCGUGUAGUUUAAGCUUCCAAACCUGACUUGAUGGCCAGGGGCGUAGCUUUCGAUCUGCUACAGGUGGCCGAGCGAAUUGGCUCAUAGAGCGAUGCCGCCGAAGACGAAGAUCUGUCCGGGGAGAAAAGUCUCACCCUGGACCGCAUCGUUGUUGAUGAUCAAAGGAGCCAUCGGGCCUAAAGGCGACGAGACAGAGGAACUCUCAAUGAAAGCACCAAUGUCAGUGUCAAAACCGGUGGAUCUCGAGUAGUGGGUCCCGAACUGUGCGUCUAGGCCGGAUGGUAAUAGGAGGCAGGGAACACGAUGUUUUAUCCAGGUUCGGGCCCUCUUGAUGGAGGUAAAACCCUACGUCCUGCUUGAUUAAUAUUGAUGAUAUGGGUAGUACAAGAGUAGAUCUACCACGAGAUCAAGGAGGCUAAACCCUAGAAGCUAGCCUAUGGUAUGAUUGUUGUAUAUGGAGUUGAUUGCCUACGGACAACAACCCUCCGGUUUAUAUAGACACCGGAUAGGGUUAGGGUUACAUAGAGUCGGUUACAAUGGUAGGAUAUCUUGAAUAUCCACAUCGCCAAGCUUGCCUUCCACGCCAAGGAAAGUCCCGUCCGGACACGGGAUGAAGUCUUCAAUCUUGUAUCUUCAUAGCCCAGGAGUCCGGCUGAAGGUAUAGUCCGGCUACCUGAACACCCCCUAAUCCAGGACUCCCUCAGGUAGCAAGAUGGAUUUCUGGCGCCAUUGCCGGGGAGAUUCGCGCCAAGUCAAGACAUACCAAGUACCCAUCACAAACCCUUAUCCCUCGCAUUACAUUAUUUUCCAUUUGCCUCUUGUUUUCCUCUCCCCCACUUCACCCUUGCCAUUUUAUGCGCCCUCUCUUUUUCCGUUCCCCUCUUUUCCACUUGCUUUGUCGUUAUGGCUAGUCCUUUAUCUACUCCUUUGUCUCCCGAGAAUGAAGUUCUUAAUUUUAAACAAAGGGAGGGAGAAAAUCUAAAAGAUGCUUGGUACAGAAUUUGCAACACACAAAUUAGAUCUACUAGGAAACAAUCUACUUUUGUUCUUCUUCACGAUUUUUAUGUAGGCAUCACACCUUGGAAUAGAUAUAUUCUUGAUGCCAUUACCGGAGGGAAUUUCUUGGGUAGCCAUACUUUUGAUUCUUAUAAUGCUAUGAUAGAUCUGUUUGGCCCACCACCUCUUUUGGUUAAUGGAACUAUUUUAACUUUGGAACAUGUGAUGCAAUGGCUUGAAAUUAGUGAAAAUAAAGUUGCCACCAUAGAGUUAAUUGAAAAUUUGGAUAGAAAGAUCCAUAACCAAAUUACCCAAUACGGAUCUAAGUUAGGAGUUGCUCUUAAAAGUUUUAAAGAAAAGGGACCUAUGGUUAAUGAAAAGAUAGAAAAGGAUUCCACUAGAAUUGAUAAAAUUGAGGAUAUUAUUACCAACCUUGGGUCUUCCUUUUCUUCUAUUAUAAAUACUCCGCCUAAUGCUAAGAUUGCCAAACUAAUGUAUGUUACAAAAAAUAAGGGUGAAACUUCUAAUAAGGAAAAUGCGGAUCUCAAAUCCAUAAGUGUUCACCCCAAUUUUCUCACUAUCCUUAAGGAACCUUUUGCUACAAAUGAUUUUCUUGAUUUCAUACCUAGGAGUUUGAUAAUUAAUAAAAACAAAGAAACUCCUAAAAGUUAUUGGUGUGUUAUUGAAGAAUCACCUUCCAAAGACGGCAAUACCUAGGUCUAUCUUCGCUUUUAUGCCUAGCUAGGGGCGUUAAACGAUAGCGCUUGUUGGGAGGCAACCCAGUUUUACUUUUAUUCCUUGAUGUUUGCUCCUAUUUAGUAAUAAAUAAUUUAUGUAGCCUAUGUUUUGGUUGUGUUUUUUGUGUUUAAUUUGUGUUUGUGCCAUGUAGAACCAUUGGGUAGACUUGGGGAAAGUCUUUUUGAUCUUGCUGUAAAAAACAGAAACGUUAGCGCUCACGAGAAUCGCUGACAUUUUUAUUUGGAAAGUGAUAUUUAGAUAAUUCUUUUUGCGGAUGAUUAAUAGAUAAAUUCCUCACGUCCAGCAAUUUAUUUUAUAAUUUUUGGGGUUACAGAAGUUCGCGUUAGGUACAGAUUACUACAGACUGUUCUGUUUUUGACAGAUUCUGUUUUUCGUGUAUUGUUUGCUUAUUUUGAUGAAUCUAUGGCUAGUCAAAGAGGUUAUAAACCGUAGAGAAGUUGGAAUACAGUAGGUUUAACACCAAUAUAAAUCAAGAUUGAGUUCAUAACAGUACCUUGAAGUGGUGUUUUGUUUUCUUUCGCUAACGGAGCUCACGAGAUUUUCUGUUUGAGUUUUUUGUUGUGAAGUUUUCAAGUUUUGGGUAAAGAUUUGAUGGAUUAUGGAACAAGGAGUGGCAAGAGCCUAAGCUUGGGGAUUCCCAUGGCACACCAAGGUAAAAUUAAAGGACACCAAAAAGCCUAAGCUUGGGGAUGCCCCGAAAGGCAUCCCCUCUUUCGUCUUCGUCUAUUGGUAACUUUACUUGGAGCUAUAUUUUUAUUCACCACAUGAUAUGUGUUUUGCUUGGAGCGUCUUGUAUGAUUUGAUUAUUUGAUUUUUAGUUUACCAAAAUCAUCCUUGCUGUACACACCUUUUGAGAGAGACUCACAUGAUUGGGAAUUUAUGAGAAUACUCUAUGUGCUUCACUUAUAUCUUUUGAGCUAUAUGGUUUUUGUUCUAGUUCUUCGCUUAUAUAUUUUAGAGAAUGGCGGUGGUUUUAUUUUAUAGAAAUAAUUGUUCUCUCAUGCUUCACUUAUAUUAUUUUGAUAGUCCUUUAGAACAACAUGGCAAUAAUAAAACUGUCAUACAAGUGCAUUGAAUACUAUGAGAAGUUUGAUACUUGAUAAUUGUUUUGAGAUAUGGAGAUGGUGAUAUUAGAGUCAUGCUAGUUGUGUAGUUGUGAAUUUGAGAAAUACUUGUGUUGAAGUUUGUGAUUCCCGUAGCAUGCACGUAUGGUGAACCGUUAUGUGACGAAGUCAGAUCAUGAUUUAUUUGUUGAUUGUCUUCCUUAUGAGUGGCGGUCGGGGAUGAGCAAUGGUCUUUUACUACCAAUCUAUCUCCCUAGGAGCAUGGGCAUAAUACUUUGCUUUGAUAACUUAUAGAUUUUUGCAAUAAGUAUGUGAGUUCUUUCUGAGCAAUGUUGAGUCCAUGGAUCAUACGCACUCUCACCCUUCCACCAUUGCUAGCCUCUCUAAUACCGUGCACUUCUCGCCGAUAUCAUACACCCACCAUAUACCAUCCUCAAAACAGCCACCAUACCUACCUAUUAUCACUAGUGCAGAACCGGGCAAUAGCACCGGUUCGUAAGGCCCUUUAGUGCCGGUUUAGGAACCGGCACUAUUAUUUCGGCACUAAACCCCCCCCCCUUUAGUACCGGUUCAGCACGAACCGGUGCUAAAGGGGUACCACGUGGCACGAGCCAGCUCCGGGGGCCGGGAGCCCUUUAGUACCGGUUGGUAAAACCAACCGGUACUAAAUGGUUGUGGGUUUUUGUUUUAUUUUGUAUUUUUCAAUUAAAUUUGUGUUAUCAAUUUAAAUUAGGAUUGUUUUACGUUAUAAUGAGUUGUAGUCGUCAUCAUCAUCAUCAUCAUCGCAUAUUAAUAAAUAAAUAAACUCUAGCUAGCUAAAAAUCAUCGUGGUCGUCUAAUUACCACUAUUUAAUCAUCAUAGUCAUUACCGCUAGCUAUGUAAUCAUCAUCAACGUUGGCUAGCUUAAAGAGGAAACAUUCACUUUGUAACAGAAGCAAAGAGAUAUCAUCAAGUUCAACAUAAUCAUCACCAACAUCGAAGUUCAGGACACGGAUCCAUGAGACGAGUACUAAUUAAGAGCAUGAAGUAGUAGCUACUGAUCCUGCUUCUCCCUCUCAGGUAGAAUAGCACAGAACAUGUAUAGCUCUCCUGAUUCAUCAUACUGAAGCAUGCAGAUGAAUCUGUCUCCUAAUCUUGGGUUGCGCUUCUCCUUACUGCCCCCUAGUACUUCUCUGCGAUCGUUAACAAUUUUGCUCCAAUCUUUCACUAUUAAGCAUUCUUCGCUUUUAGAAAUCCUGAAUGCACUCAUGUGCAAUGUAGGAAAUCUUGGUCGUAAGCUAACCAUUGACAUGCGACCUUUUGUCUCGAUCCACUAAGGCACAACUGUCAUCGGAAGUCCCUGUUGAACAACAUCGUAUAGUAAUUAAUAUACUAAGCAAUGAAAGUUUAGCUUUAAAAAUAAUGUACGCAAAAGAUGCACUAAUUAAGGACAAAUAUUUAAAAUCUUACCAUCUUUUGAUUAUAGAUGUGACCGUAGUUCAAGGCGAUCACCAUUGGUCGCACGUUUUGAGUACUAACAUUUCUAAGUUUAGAAAAAAAAUUGUCUUGACAGUAUUAAGAUCCUCAAGCCAUGAAACACAAUGACUUAUUUCCUCGCAGUUUAGUUGAGCCCCGAGGUAGUAGUAGGUCCUGUCUACCAAGCGCCGGACAUGUUUGCUUGAACCGAAAUAAGCUGACAAUACACAUCAGUUGUCAACUAUUUUUGAAUAAACUGUACGAAAGACAUAAACGUAUAUAUGCAUGCAUGGUUGAGAAAAACUCACCAAAUGGUAGAACUGGAGGCGUUUGCACAUCGACCCAGAUGUCUAUAUUACCUUCAAUAUCAUCUUCCGGACGAAUAUCAAAGGUGAUAACCAUAUCAGGCUCAAAUGCAUAAGCCUUGCAUAGUGCUUGCCAAGUUUUGCAUUCAAAAUGGGUGUAUGUGCCUCCAUUAUAUAAUUUGACGUUGAAAGUAUACCCAUGCUCCGUCUUCAAGUAAACUCUCUUUACCUCCAUAUCAUCUAUAGCACUAAAACCUAUCUUAUAUAAUACAAAAAUUCUUGUAUGGCAGGGGAUGCGCUAGUAGAAUAGUGAAAAUUUAAAAUUAUAAGUUGAAGCAAAUGAAGCAUAAGUUUUGCAUUCAAAUAAUAAUUGACAAAGUGGCUUACUGUAUCAACUUCAAAUGUCUCAUCCAGCUUGAUGUUGAAGCGCCUACCAUCAACAAGGAAAUUUUGGUCGCACAGGCCGCGCUGGUCUUCACAGUGUUCGCACAUAAUAAAAUCUUUUUAGUUGUCAGAUGACAUUUCCUAUGUUCAUAUAGGUGAAACAUUAAACACCUAUAUCUAGCCAAAUAUAUAUUCAUCUAACAUUUGACAUUAAUAUAUCUAACUAUAUAUUCAAUUGACAUUACUAUAUAUUUAACUUUUCUAUCUAAUUCAUCUAACAUUCGACAUUAAUCUAACAUUUAUAUAAACUCAAAAUAUAUAAAAAAUUAAAUAAACAGAAAAACUCAUUAACAAAUAAUAUUUUAAUUAGAUCAUCAAAUCUCAUAUACCUAAAUUUUCUUACUAAAAAUAAACUAGUUAUAUUAAUUAUUCAACUAGUUCUAAUCUNNNNNNNNNNNNNNNNNNNNNNNNNNNNNNNNNNNNNNNNNNNNNNNNNNNNNNNNNNNNNNNNNNNNNNNNNNNNNNNNNNNNNNNNNNNNNNNNNNNNNNNNNNNNNNNNNNNNNNNNNNNNNNNNNNNNNNNNNNNNNNNNNNNNNNNNNNNNNNNNNNNNNNNNNNNNNNNNNNNNNNNNNNNNNNNNNNNNNNNNNNNNNNNNNNNNNNNNNNNNNNNNNNNNNNNNNNNNNNNNNNNNNNNNNNNNNNNNNNNNNNNNNNNNNNNNNNNNNNNNNNNNNNNNNNNNNNNNNNNNNNNNNNNNNNNNNNNNNNNNNNNNNNNNNNNNNNNNNNNNNNNNNNNNNNNNNNNNNNNNNNNNNNNNNNNNNNNNNNNNNNNNNNNNNNNNNNNNNNNNNNNNNNNNNNNNNNNNNNNNNNNNNNNNNNNNNNNNNNNNNNNNNNNNNNNNNNNNNNNNNNNNNNNNNNNNNNNNNNNNNNNNNNNNNNNNNNNNNNNNNNNNNNNNNNNNNNNNNNNNNNNNNNNNNNNNNNNNNNNNNNNNNNNNNNNNNNNNNNNNNNNNNNNNNNNNNNNNNNNNNNNNNNNNNNNNNNNNNNNNNNNNNNNNNNNNNNNNNNNNNNNNNNNNNNNNNNNNNNNNNNNNNNNNNNNNNNNNNNNNNNNNNNNNNNNNNNNNNNNNNNNNNNNNNNNNNNNNNNNNNNNNNNNNNNNNNNNNNNNNNNNNNNNNNNNNNNNNNNNNNNNNNNNNNNNNNNNNNNNNNNNNNNNNNNNNNNNNNNNNNNNNNNNNNNNNNNNNNNNNNNNNNNNNNNNNNNNNNNNNNNNNNNNNNNNNNNNNNNNNNNNNNNNNNNNNNNNNNNNNNNNNNNNNNNNNNNNNNNNNNNNNNNNNNNNNNNNNNNNNNNNNNNNNNNNNNNNNNCGGCGGCGGGGACAGCGACGAUGACGACGGACGACGGUACGGGCGACGGGCGGCGACGACGGGAUCGAGCGGUCCGCGCGGCGGAGGUGGGAGACGAAGUGGGGAGUUGAAACUGAAAUUUUCGUAAGUGCUAUAUAUAUAUAUAUAUAUAUAUAUAUAUAUAUAUAUAUAUAUAUAUAUAUAUGAUUGGCCUUUAGUACCGAAUCGUGGCUCCAACCGGUACUAAAGGCCUAUUUUCGCCAGGCCAAGCGGCGGGAAACGAAGGCUUUUAGUACCGGUUGGAGCCACCAACCGGUACUAAAGGGGGGCCUUUAGUACCGGUUGGAGCCACCAACCGGUACUAAAGGCCUUGCGCUGCCACCCCAAAAUUUAGUCCCACCUCGCCCGGCGAAGGGCAGCCGCACUGGUUUAUAAACCUAGCCGCGGCUACCUCUUCGAACUCCUCUAUAUAGCAGCCUUCUGGGCCUAAUUAAUUAGGGCGCGCUGCCAUGUGAGUCUGCUGGCCCUUCUGGGCCUGCAUUUGCACACCCUAGGUCUGGUAGACCCACAGGGCAGUGCGCCAACAAAUUUUUUAUAUAGUUUUAUCUUUUCUGCAUUACUUAUUUUCUUUUAUUUAUUUUUGAGUAGUUUUUUAUAUAGUUUUUGUUUUCUGCAUUAUUUAUUUUCUUCUAUUUAUUUUUGAGUAAUUUUUUUGUAUAGUUUUUUUAUUUUCUGCAUUACUUAUUUUUGCAUAGUCCGAAACCCUGAUACUCGGAAAGAGUUUGUCCAGUUUGUACACGAAGUGCGUCCAGUUUUUGCCGUGACCCUCUCUACUCUUUCGCGCAUGCUAUGCGGGUGAUACGAUGAUACCAUGCCAAGUUUCAACAUUUUCAGGAUUCAUUUUGUAGUGAUUUUCAAUUUCACGGUCAUUUAGCUCUCUAAACAAUUAGGUAAAUGACUGAAAAACAACAAAUGAUGUCAGAACAUGUUGAAAAUUGAUGACGUCGCUUUAAAUGCUGCAUACUGAACACAAAAGAAGUCCGGAGUACAAAUAAGUUUAAAAAACAUUGAAGUGGCCAUGUAACAGAUGAGUUCUCGUCCGAAACCCUGAUACUCGGAAAGAGUAUGUCCAUUUUGUACACGAAGUGCGUCCAGUUUUUGCCGUGACCCUCUCUACUCUUUCGCGCAUGCUAUGCGGGUGAUAUGAUGAUACCAUGCCAAGUUUCAGCAUUUUCAGGAUUCAUUUUGUAGUGAUUUUCAAUUUCACGGUCAUUUAGCUCUCUAAACAAUUAGGUAAAUGACCGAAAAACAACAAAUGAUGUCAGAAUAGACUGCACUGCACAUAGCUCAGUGUAGACUACACUGCACAUAGCUCAGUGCAAUCUAUGUUAUUCCGCAAGGCUUGAAGCUAAUCAACAUGUAGAUGAGCAUUGCAAUUCUUCGUCAUUGUCUGUGCACUCACGGCUUAUAAACCGCUCAUACUGCCUCUCUCUUGGCGAGGUGGGACUAAAAACAACUUGCCAUAACCUCAUCAAUUUCCUCUUGAAGCUUGUCCUUGCCUUUUUGCUUGUAUUCUUGUGGUGGAAGAUCAUCUUGAGCUUGUGUCCCCUUGAAGGAAGUAGGAUACUUCUCUUGUUGAGGAACAAACUUUGUCUUGGGGUAUUGAUCUUCUUCCCACUCAACUCCAUUGGCAUUGAACUUUCGUUCAAAACCAACACCUUGAUUCUUCCAGUGCCUUCCUUGCUUGCGCACAAUUUCCUCGAAUUGCUUACUCCCGGCAAGGCUUUUGUACAUUCCUUUCUCUAUAAUUCCCUUCAAUAAGCUAUUUUCUUGCUCAAGUGUAACUUGGCUAAGAGAAUCAUUAGUGGAAUCAAGAGAACUACUAGAAGCAACAAUGUUAGAUCUUAUGUCACAAAAAAGAAGUCGUAUCAAACCUUUUAUGUCGGAUCUAGAACAAACCAAUCGGUAUCGCCAUCAUACAGCCCUACCGUGGCUUGUGAUGCAUAUAUAUAUGCAUAUCAAAUGCACGGUUGGGCGUAUGAUGGCGAAUCCGAAUGAUUUGUAUUCAGUCGAUGAACUGGUAGAUGUAUGCAGUCGAUGAACUGGUAGAUGUAUGUAGUCGAUGAACUGAAAGACUUAUGCAGGGAAGGCGAGAGAUGGGCUAUAUAUAGGGUCGUCUGGCUCACAAAGUGAUUGUGGUAGUUUCGAUCCAACGACUCACAUGAGCUAGGAAGAAGCACACCCUUGAUCCAACGACUCGCAAGAGCUAUAAAGAAACACACGAUCCAUGUGAUUCUUCCUGAUUGGUGGGAUGCACAUUAGUAUCGGUUUGUGCCAUGAACUGGUGCUAAAGAUUGGCAAUGAACCGGUACUAAUGGUAGCAGCCCGCCUAGCCGUUGGAAUCGGCACUAAUGGUCACAUUUGUGCCGGCUCAAAUUCAAACCGGCACUAUAAUGUGCUUCACAUUUGACUGUUUUUCUACUAGUCAAUAGAGUUUGCCAAACUUGAGUUUCCCAAGUCACUUACACAAAAAGCUAUGAUUCAUGGUUGUCAAAUCCAUAAUUUACAAACCACAACAACCUUGAGGCAUAACAAGCUUUAAAUGCUGCAUACUGAACACAAAAGAAGUCCAGAGUUUAAAUAAGUUAUUAAAAAUAAAAAAGAGGUGCAAUGCUGGUUAAUUUGCUUCAAGCUAUUCGGAAUAGUGUAGAUUGCACUAAGCCACUGCACAUAGCUCAGUGCAAUCUAUGCUAUUCCGCAAGGCUUGAAGCUAAUCAACAUGUAGGUGAGCAUUGCAACUCUUCGUCAUUGUCUGUGCACUCACGGCUUAUAAACCGCUCAUACUACCUCUCUCUUGGCGAGGUGGGACUAAAAACAUCUUGCCAUAACCUCAUUAGUACUGGUUCAUGGUACGAACCGGCACUAAAUGGUGAUGGUGGGGCCAUAGCCUGACCGCAGGCUGACACAGCCUCUUUAGUACCGGUUCGUGGCAUGAACCGGUACUAAAGGUUCGCCACGAACCGGUACUAUUGAUCGCCGCCACGAACCGGCACUAAUGUACACAUUAGUGCCGGCUCUAAUUCAAACCGGCACUAAUGUGCUUCACAUUUGACCCUUUUUCUACUAGUGUAUGGCAUUUCCAUAGCCAUUCCGAGAUAUAUUGCCAUGCAACUUUCCAUCGUUCCAUUAUUAUGACACACUUCAUCAUUGUCAUAUUUGCUUGCAUGAUCAUGUAGUUGGCAUCGUAUUUGUGCAAAGCCACCAUUCAUAAUUCUUCAUACAUGUCACUCUUGAUUCACUGCAUAUCCCGGUACACCGCCGGAGGCAUUCACAUAGAGUCAUAUUUUGUUCUAAGUAUCGAGUUGUAAUUCUUGAGUUGUAAGUAAAUAAAAGUGUGAUGAUCAUCAUUAUUAGAGAAUUGUCCCAAGUGAGGAAAGGAUGGAGACUAUGAUUCCACAACAAGUCGGCAUGAGACUCCGGACGAAAAUAAAAAAAGAGGGAAAAAAGAGAAAGGCCAUAAAAAAGAAGGCCCAAAAAAUGAGAGAAAAAGAGAGAAGGGGCAAUGUUACUAUCCUUUUUCCACACUUGUGCUUCAAAGUAGCACCAUCAUCUUCAUGAUAGAGAGUCUCCUAUGAUAUCACUUUCAUAUACUAGUGGGAAUUUUUCAUUAUAGAACUUGGCUUGUAUAUUCCAAUGAUGGGCUUCCUCAAAUUGCCCUAGGUCUUCGUGAGCAAGCAAGUUGGAUGCACACCCACUUAGUUUCUUUUGUUGAGCUUUCAUACACUUAUAGCUCUAGUGCAUCCGUUGCAUGGCAAUCCCUACUCAAUCACAUUGAUAUCUAUUAAUGGGCAUCUCCAUAGCCCGUUGAUACGCCUGUUCUGGAGCUCCGCCAGAGGGGGCAUCGAUCACGGAGGGCUUCUACAUCAACAGCAUAGCCUCUCCGAUGAAGUGUGAGUAGUUGACCUCAGACCUACGGGUCCAUAGUUAUUACCUAGAUGGCUUCUUCUCUCUUUUUGGAUCUCAAUACAAUGUUCUCCCCCUCUCUUGUGGAGAACUAUUCGAUGUAAUCUUCUUUUUGCGGUGUGUUUAUUGAGAUCGAUGAAUUGUGGGUUUAUGAUCAAGUCUAUCUAUGAAUAAUAUUUGAAUCUUCUCUGAAUUCUUUUAUGUAUGAUUGUUUAUCUUUGCAAGUCUCCUCGAAUUAUCAGUUUGGUUUGGCCUACUAGAUUGAUCUUUCUUACAAUGGGAGAAGUGCUUAGCUUUGGGUUCAAUCUUGCGGUGUCCUUUCCCAGUGACAGCAGGGGCAGCAAGGCAUGUAUUGUAUUGUUGCUAUCGAGGACAACAAGAUGAGGUUUUCAUCAUAUUGCAUGAGUCUAUCCCUCUACAUCAUGUCAUCUAGCUUAAGGCGUUACUCUGUUUUUAACUUAAUACUCUAGAUGCAUGCUGGAUAGCGGUCGAUGAGUGGAGUAAUAGUAGUAGAUGCAGGCAGGAGUCGGUCUACUUGUCUCGGACGUGAUGCCUAUAUACAUGAUCAUACCUAGAUAUUCUCAUAAAUAUGCUCAAUUAUGUCAAUUGCUCAACAGUAAUUUGUUCACCCACCAUAGAAUUAUUAUGCUCUCGAGAGAAUCUACUAGUGAAACCUAUGGCCCCCGGGUCUAUCUUUAUCAUAUUAAUCUCCUACUACUUAGUUAUUUCCUUUGCUUUUUCCUUUGCCUUUAUUUUACUUUUCAUCUUUAUCACAAAAAUACCAAACAUAUUAUCUUUAUCAUAUCUAUCAGAUCUCACUCUCAUAAGUGGCCGUGUAGGGAUUGACAACCCCUAUUCGCGUUGGUUGCGAGGAUUUAUUUGUUUUGUGCAAGUACGAGGGACUCGCGCGUAGCCUCCUACUGGAUUGAUACCCUUGGUUCUCAAACUGAGGGAAAUACUUACGCUACUUUGCUACAUCAUCCCUUCCUCUUCGGGGAAAACCAACGCAGUGCUCAAGAGGUAGCAAGAAGGAUUUCUGGUGCCAAUGCCGGGGAGGUCUACGCAAAAGUCAACAUACCAAGUACCCGUCACAUACCCUUAUCUCCCGCAUUACAUUAUUUGCCAUUUGCCUCUCGUUUUCACCUCCCCCACUUCACCCUUGCCAUUUUAUUCGCCCUCUCUCUCUCUCUAUCCUCCCUCUCUUUCUCUAUUUGCCUCUUUUUUCCCGCUUGCUUUCUGUUUGCUUGUGUGUUAGUUGCUUGCUUGUCACGAUGGCUCAAGAUAAUACUAAAUUAUGUGACUUCACCAAUACCAACAACAAUCAUUUUAUUAGCACUCCGAUUGCUCCUCUUACCGAUGCUGAAUCUUGUGAAAUUAAUACUGCUUUGCUGAAUCUUGUCAUGAAAGAUCUGUUUUCCGGCCUUCCUAGUGAACAUGCCGGUACCCACCUAAAUAGAUUCAUUGAUUUGUGUGACAUGCAAAAAAAAGAAAGGUGUGGAUAAUGAUAUUGUUAAAUUGAAGCUAUUUCCUUUUUUGCUUAGAGAUCGUGCUAAAGCUUGGUUUUCGUCUUUGCCUAAAAAUAGUAUUGAUUCAUGGAAUAAGUGCAAAGAUGCUAUUAUCUCUAAGUAUUUUCCUCCUACUAAGAUCAUCUCUCUUAGAAACAAUAUUAUGAAUUUUAAGCAACUUGAUCAUGAACAUGUUGCACAAGCUUGGGAGAGAAUGAAACUAAUGGUACGUAAUUGCCCUGCCCAUGAUUUAAAUUUGUGGAUGAUUAUACAAAAAUGUUAUGCCGGAUUGAAUUUUGCUUCUAGAAAUCUUUUAGAUUCGGCCGCGGGAGGCACUUUUAUGGAAAUCACUUUAGAAGAAUCUACUAAACUCCUAGAUAAUAUUAUGGUUAAUUAUGCUCAACGGCAUAGUAAAAUAUCUAAUAAUAAAAAGGUGCAUGCGAUACAAGAAAUUAAUGUUUUGAGUGGAAAGAUGGAUGAACUUCUGAAAUUAUUUGCUAAUAAGAGUGUUUCUUCUGAUCCUAAUGAUAUACCCUUGUCUACUUUGAUUGAGAAUAGUAAUGAAUCUAUGGAUGUGGAUUUUGUUGGUAGGAACAAUUUUGGUAACAACGCGUAUAGAGGAAAUUUCAACCCUAGGCCUUAUCCUAGUAAUCUCUCUAAUAAUUAUGGUAAUUCCUACAACAAUUCUUAUGGAAAUUAUAAUAAGAUGCCCUCUAAUUUUGAAUCUAAUAUUAAAGAAUUUAUUACUUUGCAAAAGAAUUUCAAUACCUUGAUUGAAGAAGAACCGCUAGGAUGCGUGCUAAGAAAGAUGCCUUUAUAAGAGCGUGUUCUUCUAGUUCCUAUGAAAAUAAUGAUGAAGAUCUAAAAGUUAUUGAUGUGUUCCCUAUUAAAUCUUUGUUUUUCAACAUGGAUCUUGAUAAUGAUGGGAUUGAAUAUGAUCCACCUUUACCUAUAAGGCGUUCCAAGAAUUCAGAAUUUGUUGAUCUUGAUGCUAAAAUUGAUAAAGGUGGGAUUGAAGAAAUUAAAACCCUAGAUGUUGCUAAACCCACUAUUAUGGAUUUCAAGGAAUUUAACUAUGAAAAUUGCUCUUUUAUUGAUUGUAUAUCCUUUUUACAAUCCGUGCUAAAUUCUCCUCAUGCUUAUAGUCAAAAUAAAGCGUUUACUAAACAUAUCGUUGAUGCCUUGAUGCAAUCUUAUGAAGAAAAACUUGAAUUGGAAGUUUCUAUCCCUAGAAAGCUUUAUGAUGAGUGGGAACCAACUAUUAAAAUUAAAAUUAAAUAUCAUUAAUGCUAUGCUUUAUGUGAUUUGGGUGCUAGUGUUUCCACGAUUUCAAAGACUUUGUGUGAUUUGUUAGGUUUCCGUGAUUUUGAUGAUUGCUCUUUAAACUUGCGCCUUGUGGAUUCCACUAUUAAGAAACCUAUGGGAAGAAUUAAUGAUGUUCUUAUUGAUGCAAAUAGGAAUUAUGUGCCUGUAGAUUUUAUUGUUCUUGACAUAGAUUGCAAUCUUUCAUGUCCUAUUAUUCUUGGUAGACCUUUCCUUAGAACGAUUGGUGCAAUUAUUGAUAUGAAGGAAGGAAAUAUUAGAUUCCAAUUUCCAUUAAGGAAAGUCAUGGAACACUUUACUAGAAAGUAAAUUAAAUUACCUUAUGAAUCUAUUAUGAUAGCCACUUAUGGAUUGCCUACCAAAGAUGGCAAUACCUAGAUCUAUCCUUGCUUGUUAUGCCUAGCUAGGGGCGUUAAACGAUAGCGCUUGUUGGGAGGCAACGCAAUUUUGUUUUUAUUCCUUGAUUUUUGCUCCUGUUUAGUAAUAAAUAAUUUAUCUAGCCUCUGUUUUGGUUGUGUCCUUUGUGUUUAAUUAGUGUUGGUGCCAAGUAGAACCGUUAGGAAGACUUGGGGAAAGUCUUGUUACACUUGCUGUAAAAAACAGAAACUUCAGCGCUCACGAGAACUACUGCCAUUUUUAUUUGGAAAGUUCUAUUUAGUUAAUUAUUUCUGCAGAUGAUUAAUAGAUAAAUUCCUCACGUCCAGAAAUUUAUUUUAGAAUUUUUGGGGUUCCAGCUCUUGAGCUAGGUACAGAUUACUACAGACUGUUCUGUUUUUGAAAGAUUUUGUUUUUCAUGUGUUGUUUGCUUAUUUUGAUGAACCUAUGGCUAGUAAAAUAGUUGAUAGACCAUAGAUAAGUUGGAAUACAGUAGGUAUAACACCAAUAUAAAUAAAUAAUGAGUUCAUUAUAGUACCUUGAAGUGGUCUUUUAUUUUCUUUCGCUAACGGAGCUCACGAGAUUUUCUACUUUAAGUUUUGUGUUGUGAAGUUUUCGAGUUUUGGGUAAAGAUUUGAUGGUUUAUGGAACAAGGAGUGACAAGAGCCUAAGCUUGGGGAUGCCCAUGGCACCCCCAAGAUAAUCUAAGUACACCUAAAAGCCAAAGCUUGGGGAUGCCCCGGAAGUCAUCCCCUCUUUCGUCUACUUCUAUCGGUAACUUUACUUGGAGCUAUAUUUUUAUUCGCCACAUGAUAUGUGUUUUGCUUGGAGCAUCUUGUAUUAUUUGACUCUUUAUUUGUUAGUUUACCACAAUCAUCCUUCCUGUACACACCUUUUUUAGAAUACUCUAUGUGCUUCGCUUAUAUCUUUUGAGUUAUAUAGUUUUGCUCUAGUACUUCACUUAUAUCUUUUAGAGCACGGUGGUGGAUUUGUUUUAUAAAAACUAUUGAUCUCUCAUGCUUCACUUAGAUUAUUUUGAGAUGCUUAAUAGCAUGGUAAUUUGCUUAAAAUCCUAAUAUGCUAGGUAUUCAAAGUUAGUAUAAUUUUCUUAAGAGUGUUUUGAAUACUAAGAGAAGUUUGAUGCUUGAUGAUUGUUUUGAGAUAUGGAGGUAAUAAUAUCAAAGUCGUGCUAGUUGAGUAGUUGUGAAAUUGAGAAAUACUUGUGUUGAAAUUUGCAUGUCCCGUAGCAUGCACAUAUGGUAAACGUUGUGUAACAAAUUUGAAACAUCAGGUGUUAUUUGAUUGUCUUCCUUAUGAGUGGCGGUCGGGGACGAGCGAUGGUCUUUUCCUACCAAUCUAUCCCCCUAGGAGCAUGCGCGUAGUACCGAGGUUUUUGAUCACUUGUAGAUUUUUGCAAUAAGUAUGUGAGUUCUUUAUGACUAAUGUUGAGUCCAUGAAUUAUACGCACUCUCACCCUUCCAUCCUUGCUAGCCUCUUCGGUACCGUGCAUUGCCCUUUCCCACAUUGAGUGUUGGAGCAAACUUCGCCGGUGCAUCCAAACCCCGUGAUAUGAUACGCUCUUUCACACAUAAACCUCCUUAUAUCUUCCUCAAAACAGCCACCAUACCUACCUAUUAUGGCAUUUCCAUAGCCAUUCCGACAUAUAUUGCCAUGCAACUUUCCACCAUUCCGUUCAUCAUGACACAUUCAUCAUUGUCAUAUUGCUUAGCAUAAUCAUGUUGUUGACAUAGUAUUUGUGGCAAGGCCACUGUUCAUAAUUCUUUCAUACAUGUCACUCUUGGUCCAUUGCAUAUCCCGGUACACCGCUGGAGGCAUUCAUAUAGAGUCAUACUUUGUUCUAGUAUCGAGUAGUAAUUAUUGAGUUGUAAAUAAAUAGAAGUGUGAUGAUCAUCAUUAAUAGAGCAUGGUCCCAAAGAGAGAAAAAAGGAAGGGCCAAAAAAGGCCAAAUAAAAAAUAUAAAAAAGGGGGGCAAUGCUACUAUCCUUUUUUCCACACUUGUGAUUCAAAGUAGCACUGUAAUCUUCAUGAUAGAGAGUAUCUUGAUUUGUCACUUUCAUAUACUAGUGGGAAUUUUUCAUUAUAGAACUUGGCUUGUAUAUUCCAACAAUGGGCCUCCUUAAGUGCCCUAGGUCUUCGUGAGCAAGCAAGUUGGAUGCACACCCACUUAGUUUCUUUUGUUGAGCUUUCAUACAUUUAUAGCUCUAGUGCAUCCGUUGCAUGGCAAUCCCUACUCCUUGCAUUAACAUCAAUCGAUGGGCAUCUCCAUAGCCCAUUGAUUAGCCUCGUUGAUGUGAGACUUUCUCCUUUUUGUCUUCUCCACAUAACUCCACUCAUUAUAUUCUAUUCCACCCAUAGUGUUAUGUCCAUGGCUUGCAAUCAUAUAUUGCGUGGAAGUUUAUAGGUUUGAGAUCACUAAAGUAUGAAACAAUUGCUUAGCUUGUCAUCGGGGUUGUGCAUGAUGAGAGCGUUGUUGUGUGACAAAAAUGAAGCAUGACUAAACUAUAUGAUUUUGUAGGGAUGAACUUUCUUUGGCCAUGUUAUUUUGAGAAGACAUAAUUGCUCAGUUAGUAUGCUUGAAGUAUUAUUAUUUUUAUGUCAAUAUGAACUUUUGUCUUGAAUCUUUCGGAUCUGAAUAUUCAUAUCACAAUUAAGAAGAAUUACAUUAAAAUCAUGCUAAGUAGCACUCUGCAUCAAAAAUUCUGUUUUUAUCAUUUACCUACUCGAGGACGAGCAGGAAUUAAGCUUGGGGAUGCUUGAUACGUCUCCAACGUAUCUAUAAUUUUUGAUUGCUCCAUGCUAUAUUAUCUACUGUUUUGGACAAUAUUGGGCUUUAUUAUCCACUUUUAUAUUAUUUUUGGGACUAACCUAUUAACCGGAGGCCCAGCCCAGGAUUGCUGUUUUUUGCCUAUUUUAGGGUUUCGAAGAAAAGGAAUAUCAAACGGAGUCCAAACGGAAUGAAACCUUCGGGAACGUGAUUUUCUCAACGAACAAGACCCAGGAGACUUGGACCCUCCGUCAAGACACAAAAGAGGAGGCCACGAGGUAGGGGGCGUGCCUACCCCCCGGGCGCGCCCUCCACCCUCGUGGGCCCCCUGUUGCUCCACCGACGUACUCCUUCCUCCUAUAUAUACCUACGUACCCCCAAAUGAUCAUAUACGGAGCCAAAACCCUAAUUACACCGCCGCAACAUUUUGUAUCCACGAGAUCCCAUCUUGGCGCCUGUUCCGGAGCUCCGCCGGAGGGGGCAUCGAUCAUGGAGGGCUUCUACAUCAACACCAUAGCCUCUCCGAUGAAGUGUGAGUAGUUGACCUCAGACCUACGGGUCCAUAGUUAUUACCUAGAUGGCUUCUUCUCUCUUUUUGGAUCUCAAUACAAUGUGCUCCCCCUCUCUUGUGGAGAACUAUUCGAUGUAAUCUUCUUUUUGUGGUGUGUUUGUUGAGACCGAUGAAUUUUGGGUUUAUGAUCAAGUCUAUCUAUGAAUAAUAUUUGAAUCUUCUCUGAAUUCUUUUAUGUAUGAUUGGUUAUCUUUGCAAGUCUCUUCGAAUUACCCGUUUGGUUUGGCCUACUAGAUUGAUCUUUCUUGCAAUGGGAGAAGUGCUUAGCUUUGGGUUCAAUCUUGCGGUGUCCUUUCCCAGUGACAGUAGGGGCAGCAAGGUACGUAUUGUAUUGUUGCCAUCGAGGACAACAAGAUGGGGUUUUCAUCAUAUUUUAUGAGUCUAUCCCUCUACAUCAUGUCAUCUUACUUAAGGCAUUAAUCUGUUUUUAACUUAAUACUCUAGAUGCAUGCUGGAUAGCGGUCGAUGAGUGGAGUAAUAGUAGUAGAUGCAGGCAGGAGUCGGUCUACUUGUCUCGGACGUGAUGCCUAUAUACAUGAUCAUACCUAGAUAAUCUCAUAACUAUGCUCAGUUCUGUCAAUUGCUCAAUAGUAAUUUGUUCACCCACCGUAGAAUACUUAUGCUCUUGAGAGAAGCCACUAGUGAAACCUAUGGCCCCCGGGUCUAUCUUUAUCAUAUUAAUCUCCUACUACUUAGUUAUUUCCUUUGCUUUUUUACUUUGCCUUUAUUUUACUUUGCAUCUUUAUCACAAAAAUAAAAAUAUCUUUAUCAUAUCUAUCAAAUCUCACUCUCGUAAGUGGCCGUGUAGGGAUUGACAACCCCUAUUCACGUUGGUUGCGAGGAUUUAUUUGUUUUGUGCAGGUACGAGGGACUGGCGCAUAGCCUCCUACUGGAUUGAUACCUUGGUUCUCAAAACCUAAGGGAAAUACUUACGCUACAUUGCUGCAUCAUCCCUCACUCUUCGGGGAAAACCAACGCAGUGCGCAAGAGGUAGCAAGGGUUCCUUUUUGUCGACGAUCUGAUGUUUCAACCUUGUUUUCCAGGCGGCCAACGCAUCGCUCAACUUGGUCAUGGCGUGUUUGUUUAUCUUCGUCAUUGCCAGGUCCUUAUCUGGAUCUUUAUUAUCCUUUUCAUUACGGUCCGGGAACAAGAAUAUCUGGUGCAGCUUCUUUAGGAGGGAGGGCCUCUGGUGCAGCUUCUAUAGUUUCCCAUCGUUGAUCAUGGCAGUUGUCCGUACAAUGCAACCUAUUUGAUUGCCGUAGCACGAUUGCGCUUCCUCGGGUGCUAUUGUCUCAAAAAUACCGUCGUCCAUCUCCGUGACCACCAGUCUAGUACUCAUGAGCUGGUUUAGGCGUCGUGGCCUCUUUGCUUUCGGUUCUAGACUAACUCCGCUAGUCUCGGCGCUGGUCUCAGUCUCAUCGCCGGUCUGCAUGUCGGUAUCAGUCCCUGAUGCGACAACACAGUCGCUGCAACAUGGGUAAGGGAGACCACAUCAGUGCUGGGGGGUCCGAAAAUCGGGACACACUUUCGCGCGUCGCGGGCCGCCUCUCAGACAGCUACUGGGGAGGCGGCGGAGUACCUGGGUGCGCCGCGAAUCCCCGGGAACUCGGUGACCAACUUCCUUCCCGUGUGGCGCAUGGAGACGACAGCGACCCCGGCGAAGAGUAGCUUAGCCGCGAGCUGCACAGCCUCGUCCACCUCCUAAGUUGGGACCUCCGCGCAAGCGUUGCGGGGCCGCCGCUCGGGUGGCUUCUGGAAGGCGGUUGUACAUGGGCACAGGGUGAAUCCCGACUAGAGCUGGCCAUUGGCGCGCGCAAGUAGACGACGACGUCCCCGACGAAGAGCUGCCCGGCCAGCUCGCCUCACUCUCCUUUGAUUAGAAAUGAAAGAUUGGGAAGAAGCAGACUUGAGCCUGCAGAGAAAGGAUAAGGUGACGAUGCAGUCUCCACUCGUUCGGGGCGACACGCGUACUGAAUGUAUGAGAAACGUGACGUGGCAGAGACCCCAAGAUACUCCCUCCAUUUAUUUUUAGUCUGCAUAUAAAGUUUGGUCAAAGUCAAGAUUUGUAAAUUUUAACUAACUUUAUAAUAAAAAAAUAUCAAUAUUCACAAUAUGAAAUCAAUAUUACCAGAUGCGUCAUGAAAUGUAUUUCCAUACUAUAAAGUUUUGGUAUUGUAGAGGCACUCUUCCAUAUAAUGAAGUUUAUAAUAUAUGUGCUUAUAUUGUACUACAAUUGUUUGAAUAGCUUAGCAUAUGUUCAGAUGUAUGAUAUCUGUAAUUUAAGCGCUUGAAUUUUACAUAUAAAUAUUUAUUAAUAAAUAUGUACCCCUAUAAUAGCUAGGCCGUGCAGUUGCACGGGUAGAUGACUAGUGAUUACAAUCUUGUUUGUGUGCAAGUCAAGCUUAUCUAGUUUACACGUAACAACUUGUAGAACAUUACAAAAUUUAUGCUUGCUAAUAACUUCUAGAACACUACAACACUUGACAUGUAAAAGGAAUUUGACGAGUCAUGGCCUACUAAAGCAAGUUACAUUACUAGUCUUAUCUAUCUUAACAGACCACACAAGAUUACAAACUAAGUACCGUGACAGCCAUACUUAUCUAGUUUAUGCGUAACAAUUUGCAGAAAAUUAGAAACUUAGUUUCAGAAAAAUACGCAAUCUAGAUUAGUGUUUGAGCUGUAAAGUGAAUAAGAUGAGUCAUGCAUGUUAUCACACCUUUUUGGUGGUGGAAUGAUAGUGCAACAACAAGGAACUUUAAUGACCAGUCCAAGAAUACACUUGUAAGUAGUGCCACCAAACAGAACAUUCCAAAUGAUGAUUUUUAGAAGCAUCCAAGCACUUUCCACACAAACAAAUGCCAAUUGUGAAAGAGAUCAUUCCAUGGCAGCUAUAAAUAGCCCCAUAGCAUGACGAUCAUCCUUCCUCAUCCAUCAUUCUCAUUAGUAGAGCGCAUCAUUUAAGCCAAGCAAGCUGUGGUCAAUACAAAUCCACCAUGAAGACCUUUCUCAUCCUUGCCCUCCUUGCUAUCGUGGCGACCACCGCCACAACUGCAGUUAGAGUUCCAGUGCCACAAUUGCAGCCACAAAAUCCAUCUCAGCAACAGCCACAAGAGCAAGUUCCAUUGGUACAACAACAACAAUUUCUAGGGCAGCAACAACCAUUUCCACCACAACAACCAUAUCCACAGCCGCAACCAUUUCCAUCACAACAACCAUAUCUGCAGCUGCAACCAUUUCCGCAGCCGCAACUACCAUAUUCGCAGCCACAACCAUUUCGACCACAACAACCAUAUCCACAACCGCAACCACAGUAUUCGCAACCACAAGAACCAAUUUCACAGCAGCAGCAACAACAACAACAACAACAACAAAUCCUUCAACAAAUUUUGCAACAACAACUGAUUCCAUGCAUGGAUGUUGUAUUGCAGCAACACAACAUAGCGCAUGGAAGAUCACAAGUUUUGCAACAAAGUACUUACCAGCUAUUGCAAGAAUUGUGUUGUCAGCACCUAUGGCAGAUCCCUGAGCAGUCGCAGUGCCAGGCCAUCCAAAAUGUUGUUCAUGCUAUUAUUCUGCAUCAACAACAAAAACAACAACAACAACCAUCGAGCCAGGUCUCCUUCCAACAGCCUCUGCAACAAUAUCCAUUAGGCCAGGGCUCCUUCCGGCCAUCUCAGCAAAACCCACAGGACCAGGGCUCUGUCCAGCCUCAACAACUGCCCCAGUUCGAGGAAAUAAGGAACCUAGCGCUACAGACGCUACCUGCAAUGUGCAAUGUCUACAUCCCUCCAUAUUGCACCAUCGCGCCAUUUGGCAUCUUCGGUACUAACUGAGAAGAAAAUAACUCUAGUACUAGAUAUAUGAAACACCGUUUUCUCAGUCCAUGGUUUGGUCAUUGUAGCGUUGAAAAAAUAAUGUGACAUGCACUAUCAUGUAAGAAUCCGAACUAUACUAGUUCAAACUUGGGAAUAAAAGACAAACACAGGUCUUGUCUACAUAUUUAUGUUGCAUCUAUUUAUAUAUUAAAAGUAAUAUAAGGUGAACCAGGAGCAAGGUAAAUAUGCUAGAAAAUUGCACGUUAAUUAGAAAUUACUAGCCCUCGAUCUGGUAAAUCUUAACAAAUAGAAUUAUCUUCACCGUUAGAUUUAUGUAACAUAUAUAAUGCUCUGGGCCUCCAACGACUGUACGUGACACAUCUGAAUGAACAUAUGUUAAAGAAAAUAUAUUUGGUAAAUGGUGGGCCUGUUUAAAAAGAGAACUCACGUACAUGCACCAACUAAGAAAAACACAUACAUGUAAACGGGAAAAGGAUGAGAUUUUCUCACGUACGUGCUCCCUGGCUCCACCCCGUUGAAAAAAUAUACAUCUGGAGGCCACUUUGUUUCCUCAUCAAAAAAAACUUACGUUAAAAAGAUUGCAUGCAUCCCAGGGAAAAUAGUCAAGAAGAAGUCGGACUUUUCCUUACAAAAACAAGGAACGUGUUAAGUUGACUUCAAAGAAAAAAGGAACAUGUUAAGUUAAAAAAAACAAGAAACCUGUUAAGUUAGAAAAAAACAGGGAACGUGGUGUCCUAGGAAAGAUAUGUGUCAAAUCUUACAAAAAAAAAGAAUACACACACGUACGUUCAUGCACUUGGAAAAUAGAAGAAAAAAAAGGAAACAUCACGUAUGUAUACACUUCGGAAACUCAUUACAUGACCAUGUCUGAUAUACUCCUCUAAUGCUUAAUAUUAGUGCCUAAUAAUUUAUAUUUGAAAUUUAAUUUACUGAUCAAAUAUCCCCACUGUUUAAAUUUUAAUUUGGCACAUUGUUUGGCUAUAGUAUGAACCUAAAUUUCCUCUUAUUAUUAUAUAUCAUGGUAAUAAUCCAAAGGCGACUAAUCUGCACCGGGGCACCCGCGCAAUCAAUUCGGCUAGACACAGCGCAGCCGUUUGAUUAGAUUGCAUUUAACCGUCAGAUCUGGAAUCGUUUUCUUUCCAAUUAAACAGAUUCAACCAAACAGCAGAGGGGAAAACAAAGCAGCGCCGCCGCCAACACUAGCCAUGGACGACUGAUGUAGCAAAACCUUGAAGAACCGCCGCCGGUCGCCACCCUCGCCGCUGGUCGCAGCCCUCGCCGUCGGUCACCGCCGGUCGCCGCCCUCGCCGCCUGCGUUUCUCAUCGGCUUCAUGCAUGCAACAACAUGCACUCGUGGUUGCAGGCUUGCAUCUCCGGCUCUGGGGGACAUGGCCGCAUCUCCGGUAGCGCCGGCCGCCGGCCGCAGCACCUGUCGUUGUGGUCGCGCUGUACCUCGCCGUGUGCCCUCCCGAGGCUCUUGCUAGUUCCAACAAAAAACGAUACCUGUUGUAGCAAAAAAGUAUCGCUUCCAGCAAAAAAAGCUUACCGCUACAGCCCGCCAUCGUCAUUGUAGCAAAAAUGUUUACCCGAUGUAGCUUCUGUGGUUGCCGAUUGCAGCAAAAAAUGACAUGGUUGUAGCAAAACACAAAAGAAAAACGCCGGCCGGCCGCUGUGUAUGGUGGUAACAAACCCUAUAGCCGGUGGUAGCGAAAAACUUCAUAGUUUGCAGCAAAAAAAAAUGUUGUCACCCGUCGUCGAGGUUGCAUCAUCUUCAAGAAUUAUGUCGCAAAAAAACGUUGUCGCCGGUAGUAGCAAAUGAAGCCGCCGGUAGUAGCAAAACAAGACACUGGUUCCAGCCAAAAAAAAUCAGCGACAGAACCUUUGGUUGGUUCCAACAAAAAAACUUGUUGGUUGUAACAUCCCUCACCGCCGGAUGUAGCAUCUCCCGGGGCUGGUUGCAACACUCCAUAAAAAAAAGUUGUCUAUGAGCGCAUCCAUGGCGACUGUUGCACCGUCAGCAACGAGGGGAAGAGGAGGCAAUGAAAAUCGUUCGAGUCAUAGCUCCACAGGACGCAACUGCAGCAUGGGGAGUCCAAAAAUCUGUCACAAGCAAGAUGCGCCUCGCCAUCCUCCUGCGCAGGAGAGAGAAGAAAAAGGAAUAAGAGGAAGAAGAAAGGAAACGGGAGAAAGAAAAAAGAAACGAUUGAUGGUUGGCUCAGGCAAUUAGUCAAACGAGGGGCACGCGGGGCCGCAGGAUACAGCGCAAUCGAACGAAGCGUGCGCGUCCGGCCGAAGACUCGGCUGGACUGCCGGCUGGAAACGUUUCCCUAAUCCAAAGGCUUUGUCUGAAUGACAAGUCGUCUGGGUUACCGGCUAACUAGAAAAAAGAUAAAUAUGCUAGAGAAUUCCAUAAUAAUUAAAAAUAUCUAGCCUUUAAUUAUGUAAAUCAGAAAAUCACAACCGUUGGAUUUACUUUAAAGGUAAAUUUCUCUAAAUUCCCACCAUUGCCAGUAUGUAGAAACAUGUGCUGCUUCAAUUCUCCCUUAAUCACCAAUCAAUCAACAACACAAAACAUACCUUAGUUAAAAAAAACUGAACAAAAAAAAAGAAAAAAAGAAGAAAGGACAAGAUACACGCAUGUACACGACAGCCUUGGCUUGAAACACAUCAGUAGAUCAAGUGUCCGCCUCCCUUACACAGAAUAAAUUCUAGGGAAGAAAAUAAUAGUGCAACCUAACCUUAUACGUACUAUUCUAUCCUCGAGUCCCAUGUGGUUUACAAGCCUACCGCCGCCGCAUCAUGCCAUCCUCUCCUUUCAGCUCCCAUGCUCUCCAGCACCCUCCUUGCCGCGCCACUACUCGCCUAGGGAUAUUGCUGCUCAGGCCGUGGAGCUUAACCUGCUUCUUCUUCAGCAAAUAUGGAACUGCUUUAGGAUCCUUCUCACAUCAGCACGUAUGGGCCUCAUUAUACUGCAGCUCCUGGACCUCCUACAAUUGGUUGGCUAUGGCCAGUUGAUCGAUGUGCUGAAGUCCAGGUCUGUUUGCUGGCACAUAUGCUUUGGAAAUAGGCCACUAUGUUUGUACUUCAAAAUUGUUUCUGUAUUCUUGAGUGGUACAUCCUUUUAAGCGCCAGUUUUUUAUGUUAAUUCAUGCUGACAACACUUAACCUAGCCUUUUCAUGUUCACGUAAUUGCUCUGCAUGUUCUACAUAGGAAAAUUUGUCAUGUUCUACGAUCGCACCAUCCCACCCUUCUCUCUUGGUAUGGGCGCCAAUUGAGGGAUUGAUAAAACUGAAACGAAGACGUCACAGGGCUGGAAGUACCGCUAGCCUGGUUCGCACUGCAACCUACCCAACGCGAUUGGAGCAGGUGGCUAUGGAGAUUUUACCCAACAUGGGUGGCAGCAUAAUCUCCGGAUCGGUCCACCAACCGUUUCGACAUAGGCAUAUUGUCGGUCUAUAGGACUCUACUGUUGCCGAAUUGUCGGGUUUUUUUCUUAUCAGAUUUUUUAUGUUUGGCUGUGUGCAUCCUAGUUAUGCAGAGGCCGGGUGGUACUCUAAAUGCUUUGUAUCGCUUGAUGCUACAUUUUGAGAUAAUAAAAACGUCCUUUAUCAAAAAAAAAUUGUAAGUACUACCCCUUGCAUGUGCGUACAUACCUUUGUUGCAUUCUCAAACAGAUAGAACAUGUAUGAUCGGUGCAUGGCUAUUUUUCAUCACAUGACAUCCAGAUAACAAGCAUGAAAGGACUACAUUGGAGAUCAAAAAAUAUUGGUUCCUGGCUAGAGUACCACUACCUAUGGACUUGUCUCCAUAGAAUUUGUUCCCAAGAUGUUAUUUUAAUUAACCUCUUUAGAUUUCUUCCAUUGCAAACGGUGAUGUGCAUCAUGGUAUAUACGUGACCAUCUUGCACAUGUAUACACAAGAGGCUCAGACGGAGGUGCUGGAUUCUGGACGAGGGAAUAUGAAGCAGGAGUGAGCGAAGAGUAAAUAAUGGUGGGAGUACCGAUUGGUGUUAUGAAGAAAAAUGCCAUCCAAAGAUUGAUUAGUGUCAUGGAAGAUUAAUUUCUGAAUGUGAAUAUAUAUGUUACAUUGGUUUCCAUCUUUUUGAGAUAAUUGCACCUAAAUUAGGUUCUUUCUUAUUUCAUGUGUAUACCUUAUUUCAGUAAAAGUUCACAACGAACUUAGUAGGACAAAUAUAAUUUUGUUUGUUCUUUCUGUUGUCCGCCACCAAAGCUCAGUUUGAACUCUCUAGAAAUGGACAAUGAUUUAUGCAUUCUAUAUCUUCUUGAUUGAUUAGCCAUGACAAGGAAAUAAAAGGAUUGACUGAUAUAGCAUAACUUUGGAACGAUCUGUUCGUAGAGGUUACUAUAAAUUAGAGUAGUGUCUGUUGGAAUUUUGCUAGUACGCCUUUGGCCCAAAGCCCAACUAAAAUUCUGAAAUUCUCUUGGCUCAUUUAUGCACACAAGUUAGUCCCACCCCGGAAGUUGAGAGAGAGUUGCACCUCUUUAUAAGGUGAGCUCUUCUACCACUUGUAUGAGCAUGAGAAGAGGAGACCUACACGCGCGCUCCUCCUCGCUCGCCCCGCCGCGCCGCGGGUUGCGGGAUUGAGCCGAGCCGAGGACGUUGUCUAUAUUUUUGCUGCUCGGGAAAAAUUAAUGAGUCAUUAAUUAAUAAUUAAUGGACGCGUUAAUUACUGAACCAUUUCCGAUUCUUUUGGAUCGUAACGACUCGGACGUGGGGUUUACUCCCACGACCUACCCGGCCCGCACUAUAUAGUCAGGCAGACGUCUACCCUAGCCGCCGCCGCUUCGUAUGGUUUCUCACCAUCGUUACAGAUCAUUGCGCCACCAAGCAAGUUUUCUCCAUCCCUCCUUUCGGCGUGCACCGGGAGAAGGGACAGCAGGCCUCCGGAACCCCGCCUCUCGUGAUCCUGUACGGGAGAGGGGCGAUCAGGUUUUUGAGGAGCGCACUCGCACGACUGCUGGCAGCGACGACUUCGCGAACGACGACAUCUUCCCCGGCCUCGGCAACCUCAUCCUCGACGACAUGGGCGACAACGUCAACGCCGGCGGUGCUACACCCACUACACCGUAUGUUAUUCUAUCCUUCUUGUUCGAGAUCGUGGUAGAAUUCAUAUUUCUAGUAUAUGUGCUAUAGAUGUGAUCUGUUCAUCUACUAUGCUAGUUCGCAUGAUUAGUUUAAUCUCUGCUAUUGCUGUCAUGAUCUAUUUCCUAUUUAUUCGGAUUAAAUCUCGUAGUAAUUGGCUCAUUUUUCCAACAAUCCAAAAACCUGAUUAUAGGCAAUUUACUCCGAGUGGUUUUACUGCGCAUCUAAAAGCCGCCUGCCUUUAAGGGGGCGUAAUAUAAGAGGUGGCGCACCAGAGCAGUCUACUGGUUUCAGAUCAUGGGCUGCUAUGAUGCCACCAAGGGCAAGCCUGAGGGCGAUCUUAAUCCAGCACAGCUGGAAGCUUUCAAGGAGAUCAAUACCCUCUUUAAAGGCACUCUUCUGAGUGUUCUUGAUGACUCCAUUGUAGAUUCGUAUAUGUCAUUUGACAACGGCAAGAACAUGUGGGCUACGCUCGAGUCCAAGUUUGGUGCCUCAGACGCCGGCAGCAAGUUCUACGUCAUGGAGCAAUUCUAUGACUCCAAGAUGACUGAUGAGCGCCCUAUUGUACAGCAGGCUCAUGAGAUACAUUCGCUCGCAAAAGAACUUGAGUACUUCAAGUGUGUGUUGCCGGACAAAUUUGUUGCCGGAGGCAUCAUUGCCAAGCUUCCACCUUCGUGGAACAAUUUUGCUACUUCCCUGAAACACAAGAGACAGGAGUUUUUCAUUGCGGAUCUCAUUGGUACUCUUGAUGUUGAAGAGAAGGCGAGAGCAAAGGAUACACGUGCUCGAGUUGCUGAGGGAGGUUCUAGUGCCCACAUGGUACAGAAGAAGAACUUCCAGCCCAACAAGUUCAAAAACAACAAGAACAAAACUUAGGGCAAAGGCAAGUUUGAUACAAAGAACAAGCCAUCACAUUCUACCAACUUCAAGAAGAACUCUCAUAAGAAGGGGAAGGGACUUUGCCAUGUCUGCGGUGAUCCUAAUCACUGGGCUCCGAAGUGUGCUAACCGCUUUGAGGAGCGCGAAGAUGAGAAGAGCCGCAAGUCCGCUAAUGUUAUCAUCGGUGAUACUGAUAUGAAGGAAUCAGGGUACGGUAUUUUUCCUACCAUCCUUUCAGUAUUCCAAACCCCUGAUUCGUUAAUUGACACCGGUGCCAAUGUACAUGUUUGUGCUGAUGCCUCCAUGUUUUCUUCUUACCAGGCCACUGGGACUUCUCCCGUGCUAUUGGGGAACGGGUCACAUGCCAUCGUUCGAGGUGUUGAUACGGUCGAUCUGAAGUUUACUUCAGGGAAGACCGUGCGUCUGAAGAACGUUCAUCAUGUGCCGUCCAUCAAUAAAAAUCUCGUUAGCGGUUCCCGUUUAUGUCGAGAUGGUUUUAAGUUGGUUUUCGAAUCCAAUAAAGUUGUAAUUUCUAAGUAUGGACAAUUUGUUGGAAAAGGCUAUGAGAGCGGAGGCUUGUUUCGCCUGUCUUUGUCAGAUAUUUGCACUAAAGUUAUUAAUAAUGCUUGCCACAACAAUGAGUCUGAUAUUUGGCAUUCACGACUUUGUCACAUUAACUUUGGUUGCAUGACGCGGCUAGCCAAUAUGAAUUUAAUUCCGAAAAUCUCUACUAUCAAAGGCUCUAAGUGCCAAGUAUGUGUGCAAGCUAAGCAACCUCGCAAGUCCCAUAAGACUGCAGAGGCAACAGACUUGGCGCCACUAGAGCUUAUACAUUCUGAUAUUUGUGAGAUGAAUGGCGUGUUGACAAAAGGUGGAAAGAGAUACUUCAUGACGUUGAUUGAUGACUCCACUAGAUAUUGUUAUGUGUAUCUUGUGAAAUCAAAAGAUGAGGCUUUGGCUUUCUUCAAAAACUAUAAAGCUGAGGCAGAAAACCAACUUGAUCGAAAAAUUAAACGGCUUAGGUCCGAUCAUGGUGGCGAGUAUUUUUCCAAUGAAUUUGAUCUGUUUUGUGCGGAACAUGGUAUAAUCCAUGAGAGGAUGCCUCCCUACUCACCCCAGUCAAAUGGGGUAGCCGAAAGAAAGAACCGAACUCUAACUGAUAUGGUUAACACCAUGUUAGACACUUCGGGUCUAUCCAAGGAAUGGUGGGGGGAGGCGCUAAUGACUGCGUGUCAUGUCCUAAACCGAGUUCCCACAAAGCAUAAGACCAUGACUCCAUUUGAGGAAUGUGAAAGGAAAAGGUUGAAACUCUCUUACCUAUGUACUUGGGGUUGUUUGGCAAAAGUCAAUAUAUCAAUUCCCAAGAAGCGCAAGCUUGGACCAAAAACCGUGGAUUGUGUUCUUCUUGGCUAUGCUUUUCAUAGCAUCGGCUAUAGAUUUUUGAUAAUAAAAUCUGAGGUAUCCGACAUGCAUGUUGGUACGAUUAUGGAGUCGAAUGAUGCAACUUUCUUUGAGGACAUAUUUCCUAUGAAGGAUAUGUCGAGUUCAUCAAAUCAGGAGACACCUACUCCAUCUAGUGAGGAGUUCACUGCAAUUCCUAAACCCAUCAUUGCGAUGGAAUACGUUGAGAAUCCUGUUGAGGGUGACAAUGGAACUCCUGUGAGGAGUAAGAGACAUAGGGCUACAAAGUCCUUUGGUGAUUAUUUCAUUAUGUACCUCGUGGAUGACACACCCAGGACUAUUUCAGAAGCCUGUGCAUCUCUUGAUGCUGACUACUGGAAGGAAGCUGUACGUAGCGAGAUGGAUUCCAUCUUAGGUAACGGAACCUGGGAGAUCACUGACCGUCCUUAUGGGUGAAAACCUGUAGGAUGUAAGUGGGUGUUCAAGAAGAAGCUUAGACCUGAUGGUAUGAUUGAAAAGUAUAAGGCACGGCUUGUGGCCAAGGGUUAUACCCAGAAAGAAGUUGAAGACUUCUUUGAUAGUUACUCACCCGUGGCUAGACUGUCCACAAUUCGGGUGCUACUAUCACUUGCUGCCUCACAUGGUCUUCUCGUUCAUCAAAUGGACGUUAAGACAACUUUCCUCAAUGGAGAGUUGAAGGAGGAAAUUUACAUGGAUCAGCCAGAUGGUUUUGUAGUACCUGGUUAGGAAGGAAAGGUGUGCAAGUUAUUAAAGUCUUUAUAUGGCCUUAAACAAGCUCCUAAAGAGUGGCAUGAGUAGUUCGAAAGAACAUUAACUACUGCCGGCUUUGUAGUAAACGAUGGUGACAAGUGCGUGUACUAUCGCUAUGGUGGGGGCGAAGGAGUUAUUCUUUGUCUGUAUGUCGAUGACAUAUUGAUCUUUGGAACCAAACUUGAUUUAAUCAAGGAGGUUAAGGAUUUCUUAUCUCGCUAUUUUAAGAUGAAGGAUCUAGGAGUAGCUGAUGUUAUCUUAAACAUCAAGCUGUUGAGAGAUGAGAAUGGUGGGAUCACACUGCUUCAGUCUCACUAUGUGGAAAAGGUCUUGCUUCGUUUUGGGUAUAGCGACUGCACACCUUCUCCAACUCCAUAUGAUGCUAGCGUGUUGCAUCGAAAGAAUCGAUGGAUUGCUAGAGAUCAACUAAGGUAUUCUCAUAUUACUGGCUCGCUUAUGUAUUUGGCGAGUGCCACGAGGCCUAACAUCUCGUUUGCUGUUAGCAAGCUGAGUCGGUUUGUGUCAAAACCGGGAGAUGAUCAUUGGCAUGCGCUUGAGAGAGUUAUGCGCUAUUUGAAAGGCACCGCGAGCUAUGGGAUUCACUACACCGGGUAUCCAAGGGUACUGGAGGGUUAUAGUGACUCAAACUGGAUAUCUGAUGCUAAUGAGAUUAAGGCCACAAGUGGUUAUGUUUUUACACUUGGUGGUGGCGCUGUUUCUUGGAAGUCCUGCAAGCAGACCAUCUUAACGAGGUCAACUAUGGAAGCAGAACUCACAUCAUUAGAAACUGCCACUGUUAUAGAAGAGUGGCUUCGUGAGCUCUUGAUGGACUUACCUAUGGUUGAAAAACCAAUACCCCCUAUCCCGAUGAACUGUGAUAAUCAAACUGUGAUCGUCAAGAUAAACAGUUCUAAGGACAAUAUGAAGUCCUCAAGGCAUGUGAAGAGGAGACUGAAAUCUGUCAGAAAAUUGAGGAACUCCGGAGUUAUUAUGUUGGAUUAUAUCCAAACGUCAAAAAAAUUAGCAGAUCCCUUCACAAAGGGUCUAUCACGUAAUGUGAUAGAUAAUGCAUCGAUGGAGAUGGGUCUGAGACCCACCGCAUGAGUUGUCCAUAGUGGUAACCCACUCUAUGUGAUCGGAGAUCCCGUGAAGUAGAAGUGGGAGACAAGUUGUUGGUCAGCUGGGAGGAGAGUAUCCCUAUAUUACCUAUCCCACUUCAUGAAGAUGCAAUACUCUCCUAAUCUGCAUGGCAGGUUGAUACUUAUCUUAAUGUGUUCCAAGUGGCUUAUUCGGGUAAGCAGAGAUGUUGUCCUGCAGAACAUCUUCUAAGAAACACAUCUAUAUGAAUUUGACUGUUAACAUUGCAGUCUGUGAGAAUUGGGUGUUCUCUAAUAAAUUCAUGAAAAGGCCCUGGAAUAUGACGUAUACACUCCACCCGCGGGGAAGCCUUGCGGCAGCCCAGUAUCGGUCAAGAAUUUAUGUGAAACUAGUCUCGCAGAAAAUUUUUAGUUCAAGGCAUAGUCCACUAUUCAAGUUGUGAUCUAGUGUAGCAUAAAUCUCUAAGUGGAAGUUAAACUUCACAGUCUCCACUAAGCCCUGGUAUAUAAACAAUGUUUUGGAACUAAAUGAUGAGAUGUGCCCAUGAGACUUUGUGGGGGAUUGUUGGAAUUUUGCUAGUAGGCCUUUGGCCCAAAGCCCAACUAAAAUUCUGAAAUUCUCUUGGCCCAGUCAUGCACACAUGUGAGUGGAGUGAGUGAGACUAAAGUUUAGUCCCACCCCGGAAGUUGAGAAAGAGCACAUCUUUAUAAGGUGAGCUCUUCUACCACUUGUAUGAGCAUGAGAAUAGGAGACCUACACACGCGCUCCUCCUCCUCGCUCGCCACACCACGCCUCGUCACGACGCGCCGGCCGUGGGUUCGGGAUUGAGCCGAGCCGAGGACAGAGCUAUGCACAUUGUCUAUUUUUUGCUACCCCGGAAAAAUUAAUGAGUUAUUAAUUAAUAAUUAAUGGACGCAUUAAUUACUGAACCGUUUCCGAUUCUUUUGGAUCGUGAUGACUCGGACGUGGGGUUUACUCCCACGACCUACCUGGCCCGCACUAUAUAGUCGGGCAGACGUCUACCCUAGUUGCCGCCGCUUCGUAUGGUUUCUCACCACUGUUCCAGAUCAUUGCGCCGCCAAGCAAGUCUUCUCCAUCCCUCCUUUCGGCGUGCACCGGGAGAAGGGACAGCAGGCCUCCGGAAUCCCGCCUCUCGUGACCCUGUACGGGAGAGGGGCGAUCAGGUUUUUGGGGAGCGCACUCGCGCGACUGCUGGCAGCGACGACUUCGCGAAUGACGACUUCUUCCCUGACCUCGGCAACCUCAUCCUCGACGACAUGGGCGACAAUGUCUACGCCGGCGGUGCUGCACCCGCUGCACCAUAUGUUAUUCUAUCCUUCUUGUUCGAGAUCGUGGUAGAAUUUAGAUUUCUAGUGUGUGCCCUAGAUGUGAUCUGUUCAUCUACUAUGCUAGUUCGCAUGAUUAGUUUAAUCUCUGUUAUUGCUGUCAUGAUCUAUUUCCUAUUUAUUCGGAUUAAAUCUCAUAGUAAUUUGCUCAUUUUUCCAACAGUGCCAUCUAAUAGAUGAUGUAAAUCUCCUCAAGUUUGACGUUGUUGAGCUAAUUUACAAAAAAAAACUCAUCAUUAUUGGACGUCCUUAACAGCUCAAGAACAAGUUGGGGUCGAACUAAUGGAUUUUAAACUUUUACAUAAAAGGUUUAGCUAAAGCUAGCAGGUUUUUUUAAACCUGAAUUUUUUUCCUCCUGAAUUUCUUUGUAUUUUCUUAUUGACACUAUUUAUACAAUCAUCUGACAAAGAUUAGCUAAAGCUGUUUGUAGAUACGUUGAAACCUGAAAAGCUUCUUUGGUUAUCCUUUUAAUAGUUCUACGUUUAUUUUCUCAUAGGUCUUAAUUCUUAUGUAAUACCAAGAUGCAUUGUGGUAGUGUACAUGUGUUAAAUUCAGGUUGUUAUUCACAAUUUGCGACAAAAUUUAGCUCACGCUACAUUUAAAUAUGUUGAAAUGUGAAAGCUCUUUUUCUUCUCCUUUCUACACCUUGCAUCGGAUUGCAUCCCUUUAGUUAUCCAACAUUUUGUACAACAUGUAGAGAUUAGGAAGUUCAUCAUAGUUUGUCUAUUUCCGUGCAAAUAAAUGUAUGAAAUCUGCAUUUCCAAGCUACUAGGACAAGUAAAAAAUAAUAAUUUUACUAUAGGAUUCAAAAACAGCAGUUCUGAAGUGCACUUUAUUUAUUUGUGAAAGUGAUCACAUUUUGUUUCAUUUUUCUAUAGACAAAUCUACUAAUACAUACUCACGAUAAAACUAUAAAAGUUCUAGUCCGCACAUUGGGCGGGCCACCCGGCUAGUUAGUCUAAAGAUAACAAAAUGAGUCUGGUGUUUGAAUUAAAUUGAAGUAUUUUCUUGGACUUUCAAAUUGAGUAUUAUUAAAGUAGUAAGGACUAUUCACAUCCUUGGCUUGCCCCUGAUCAAUUAUUUCCAGAGAAGCAUUCAAUUCAUCAAUCAAUUACAUUGAUUUUAGUGGCUGGUACUUCUCCUCAACAUCAGUAUAUUCACCGUGGCCACUCCAAAUCGGCAAGAAUGAGGUACCAGUGCUCUGGAGCAGUGCAAGCUAAUUGCUUCUCAUGUGAAGGGGUGCGGGCGCAGGAGAGGUAUUUCUGGUGGGCCAAGGGACUAAGAAGCGACCGUGGCAGCGGUACAGACGCCCGCAAAGCCCCAUAGUUUGUUUUUGGUUUACAGGAAAAAUGCACAUCCAUACCGGCCUGGGGAAUAUAGGACCGUAUUGGAUGGAAAACCAUGUCCGGAUGGUUGCGAGCGGUUUGAGGGUUAGCUUUUGUAACGCCCGGUUAGUUAUGCUAUAGCAAUUCCCUGCUAAUGAUGUCACGUCACCACGAUUACUGUUGUUAACCUCACAAUGAUUCAAUCCCCUUCAAAUUCAAAUUUAAAAUAAAGGCAAACAUAAAAAGUUUUCAAACAUUAAAACUAAAAUCUUUGAGAGGUGACAAAUAAUGCAUAAGUAAUUAUGAUGGAGAAACCACACUUUAAUCAAAUGUUUAAAUACUCUAAAAUGAAAAAAAACAGUGGCUUAAACUAUUAUUUAAAUGCUUUUAAAAUAGUAAAAAUCUUCUAACUAAAUUAUUUGGGUACCAAACUUUUGGUGGCAGUGGUAUAUUUAGUAGAACUAAUUUAGAUGCUAAUUAUAUAAUUUACAAAAUUAGAGUAAAUUGAAAAAUAGGAUAAAACGGAAAAGGAAAGACAAAACAAUAAAAGCAAAAGGGGGCAACCCCUUGCUGGGCCUCGGCCUAGCUGGCCACUAGGCUAGCUAGGCUGGCCCCGCCGCCUCCCUUNNNNNNNNNNNNNNNNNNNNNNNNNNNNNNNNNNNNNNNNNNNNNNNNNNNNNNNNNNNNNNNNNNNNNNNNNNNNNNNNNNNNNNNNNNNNNNNNNNNNNNNNNNNNNNNNNNNNNNNNNNNNNNNNNNNNNNNNNNNNNNNNNNNNNNNNNNNNNNNNNNNNNNNNNNNNNNNNNNNNNNNNNNNNNNNNNNNNNNNNNNNNNNNNNNNNNNNNNNNNNNNNNNNNNNNNNNNNNNNNNNNNNNNNNNNNNNNNNNNNNNNNNNNNNNNNNNNNNNNNNNNNNNNNNNNNNNNNNNNNNNNNNNNNNNNNCAUCUGGAUCGGGGAGGGUAUUGCCCCCAUUGUCCCCGUUGCCGUCGCCGGAUCGCCCGCCGACGUUGCCAGGCCUCCUCCCCGCCGCCCGUCUCCGGCUGACCUCCCCUCUUGCUCCUCUUCCCCGACCCGAUCUGGAUCGUGAACGAGCAAUGAGCUCGAAGCCCCCCUUCACCGGCGCCAUCACCGUGCGCCACCACCACCGCCUGAAGACCUCACCGUCGCCGAACCUUGCGUCGCCUCCUCGUAUCCCUCCCCUACUCGCGUCCUCAAGCCAGGCCGAGCCCCUUCUCGGCAACGCUGUGAGACGCCCCCGUUUCCCUCCUCUUUCCAGCGCGUUCAUCGCGCUGCCUGCCGUGCCCCUCGUCGUGCGCACGCCCACCACCGCACCAGCCCC